UUUUUUUUUGGUUAUUUGUUGGGUUUUUCUUAAAUAUAAGACAUACACUGCCAAACACAUAUUCCGGCGACCACAUUUUCAACGUAACACUAUCAAAGCAAUUGCCUUUAGAGAAGUCUAUUAUUUACCAAGAUAUAUUGAUGAUAAUUUAAUCAAAUACUGAUAGAUAAUUUAAGGACUCAAUUAAAAAUAUAUUAUUUUUAACACGAAAUGGAUUCUUACAUUUAACAAAAGAAAACUACCAAUCAAAUUAGAAUGUAAAGGUAAAGAAUUACAAUAAAAGUGUAAACUAUUAACAUUUACCAUAAAAAAUUUGAAACUUUGUAUAAAAAUAUACAUAUAUAUAUAUAGGUGUAAUAAUGAAUUUGAAAUAGCUACUCUUAUAAUUGGGUUUGGUUCGGUUGUUUUCUGAUUAAAACCAUAACCAAACCAAAUUUAAUCGGUUUUUAAAAUUCAAAACCAAACAAAAAAUAUCGAUUUUUUAGUCGAUUUGGUUUGCUUUUCGUUACCAAUCAGACUAGAACAUAAAGGUAAAGAACUAUAUUAAAAGUGCAAACUAUUAACAUGUACCAUAAAAUUUUUGAAACUUUAUAUUAAAAUAUACAUAUAUAUAAGUGUAAUAAUAAAUUUAAAACAGCUAAUCUUAUAGUCAGUUUGGUUCGAUUUUUUUCUAAUUAAAACCAAAAUAAAAUCAAAUUUGAUCGAUUUUUAAAAUUCAAAACCAAAACCAAAUCAAACAAAAAAGUAUCAACUUUUUAAUCGUUUUGGUUUAAUUUUCAAUUUGGUUCGAUUUUUCGGAUUUUUAUGAACACCCAAAAUUAUUUCAUAACACUUCUUUUUCUAUUUAUGGGAAGAAUACAUCUUUUGACUUUUGAAAGUAGUUAUUGCUCCUCUUGAAAGUUAUUUUCCGCCUAAAAUUUUGAUCAAACACAUCCAAUUUUAAAAAUAAACACUUUUUUGAAGGAAAAAAAAUCACUUUUAGACUCCUUGAAACUUGGUCAAACUACUAUUAACUUGUGCUCGUCUCAAGUAUAUUUAUCGGGUAAAUUCUCAACUUCAGCCUUAUAAUUUUUUAACGUCUAAUAAUUAUAACUUUUCAUGAACGAAAUAAAGUUAGCCAUCAACAUCUCGAAAGUCAUAUUAAUCGCGAAGGAGGGUGGCUACUGGUGGAGGAAAGGCGGAGGGUAGCGGAGGCUAUUUUGGGUCGCCCUAAAAUCCAAAAUGGGGCAGAGAAUUUGAGAGAGUCUAAAUCGAGGUGUAAAAAUGUGAUCUUUACACUUUAUUUUUAUUGAAAGAGGCUUUACGCAAAAAUGACAUCGCUUCAAAUGAAAACGGCGUCGUUGCAGUGGCUCAAAGACUAACCUGAUUAGACGGGUAAAACUAUUAGUUUGGGCCAGGGUAGGCAUUGGGCAGUGAAAAUAGCACGGGCUAUUCAGUUUUCAGAUCGGUAAUUAAAAAAUAAUCAGUGUUUGUAAAGUCAUUUAAAAAUAGUCAUUUUUUUUCUACAACACGUAAAGUUCCAUCAUAAUAUACUGGAGAUUGGAGCACAUGUGUAUGAAUUUCCAGCAUAUUAUGCUGGACCAGUAUAUUAUGCCGGAACUCCAGUAUAUUAUGCUAGAACUCCAAUAUAAUAUGCUGGAAUAUUUUUUGAAUUUUGAAUAUUGUUUUUGUUCAAAUUUACCUUUACAUAAAAAGUGGCUAAAUUUCAAUUAGUUCGAAAUUGUGAAUAUUUUUCAACUACCACUUUUUAAAUCUAGCUAUUUUUGAAUUUUACCCCAUUGGACAUGGCGGUCGGCGGAUGAUUUGGACUGUUGUUCCGAUUUUAAACACCCCCGCGCUCUCAGUUCUUUCCCCUCAUUUGAUUGGUACAUUUAGCUACUUAAUUUGAUUUUGAAAUAAAUCCUCUUUUGAUAAUUAGCCACUUUUGGUUUAAUUCUAAAUUAGACUAGAACUCAAUUGCACAAAUAACCUAUUCAACACAUUAUUAAACAACCAACUACUAAGCUAUCAAUUAAUCUCAUUAACCAACUAAUUAUACAACUAAUAAGUUCUACAAUACAAAGAUGGAAGAAAGAGAAAAAUAAAUAUAUAUUUUUUGUGAUUUUGUGUAUUUAAAGUGCAACUAAAUGCAAUUAAAAUGUGAGAGUGCACAUAAAAAUGCAAACAAAUAAAUAAAAACUACCAAGAAAUCCUAUAAAAUUCAAAAACUAAAGAACUAAUUAAAGUCACUUUAGAAGUAAUUUGUAACUACCCGACUGGUUAUUUUGCCUUUUAGAAUCCCGUUCCCCUACAUAAAAUCUCCCGUAAUUACUUUAGCUAAUUUAUGACUUGCGGGGACGGUUAGUUUGGGAGUUGGAAGAGUUGUGAGUGAAAUAAGUCUAAUUGUUUCUUUAUGAUUCUCUAAAAGAUCAAGUUUGACUUCGGUCAACUUUUUGGGAAAGUGAACCCGUACUCGUGAUUUGGCGGUUCCGAAAGGUCCGCGAAAAAAUAUGGGACCUAGGCGUAUGCCUGGAAUCGAAUUCCGAGGUCCUUAGCCCGAGUAAUGAAUUUUUAUUGAAAAUUGUUAAAUUGAAACCUAAGACUUUAAUAAAGAGCAAAAACGCUUGAUCCCAUUAAUAUCGGGCAUGAUGUUAGUUCCGGAGUCCAGUACAAGUUCGAUAUAAUAUUUUAGUCUUGUUUGUAAAAUUUGGUGAGAAACGGGACUGAUUCGACGUGAUUCGGACGUUCAAUUGAAAAGAUAGGAAUUUAGGUAUUCUUGAGGAUUUCAUGCAUUUUUGGUAUUAAAUAUGUGGUUUUAGGUGUUAAUUAGGAUAUAUGAUUGCUUUAGCAAGUUGGUAAGUUGUUGUAGGACUUGCAUGAGUGUUCGGAGUGGAGUCCCGAGGGCUCGUGUGAGAUUCGGGCAUGGUUGGAGGUAAGAAAACACAACAGUGUUGUUGUAUUUUUGCUGGUACUGCAGGUUUCGCAAUUGCAAGUUAAUUCUUCGCAUUUGCGAAAUUGGUCGGGCUGGGCAGUGUUCGCAUUUGUGAACCCAGCAGGUUCCACAUUUGCGACCCAUGCAUCACAUUUACGAUUGAGGCAAGCUAGGGUUCAGUUCGCAUUUGCGAACCUUUUGUCGCAAUUGCUACACUUGGGCGAUUUGAGAGCUUCCAAAGAAGGGAAGUUCAACAUAACAUUGUGAGGUAAGUUAUUUCCAUUUAUCCUUAUAUUAGAUAGAUUAAACACACAAAAAAAAAGUAAAAUCAAAGGGUUAGAGUUUGACUUCGGGUUUUAAACUAAGAUUUAAUCACAAAAUUUGUUAUGAAAUUAACUAGAAAUCAUAUAUUAUUGAUCCUUAGGUAGUAGAGAAUAACUUUCUUUGAAAUUUGUUGGAAUUCGGGCAUGUGAGCCCGGGGUUGGAAUUUAGGAAACCCAUGUAAAUGGUUUGGAAAUGGUUUAAAUAGCUAGAAUUCGAUUUUGUGAGCUUAUAUUAAUUAGUUCUUACUCUAUUUAACUAGUUUGAGAUUGUUCGGCUACAAAUUGAGAGUUGGACUUGUUCUUGAUAUUUGGAAGCGCGUUUUGGAGCAAGGUGAAUCUCCUUUCUAACCUUGUAAGAGGGAAUAGUCCUCAUAGGCAUAAUAAAUGAGAAUUUGCUACUAAAUGCGGGGGCUAUGUACGUAUUUGGUGACGAGAGUCCGUGCAUAGCUACUAUGAUAUUAAUUGCUUGGGUAGAUUAGGACCCACAUCAUCCCUAAUUUGGAAUUUUCUUCUAUUUAAAUUGUCAAUAUGAUCAUUUAUGAUAUGCUAGAGACUUGAGAUAAAUAAAAAAGUGAACAUAUGAACUUGUUGGACUUUGUAAGAGUUUCCUUAUAUAUAAAUGAGUCUUUUAUGUGCAUUCUUGAUGUUUUCUUGAUAUUUAUGGAGCGGGCUGAUCGCCUCGGUGAAAAUAGAUGCAUCUAUGGUUUGUAACGUUCGACCCUCGACAGUGCAUAAUUUAUUUUUUAUUGGAGCGAGCCGUCGACCUCGGCAUGAUUGCGCAUGCUAUAUAUGUUGAUGCUUAUACAUGACAUGCCUACUUGCUAAGUAAUUUAAAAUGUAAAUGGAAAUUGAAAUAAUGUGAAGAACCUGAUCAUUAGUUUUCAUUAUAUAACCUGUUCAAUAUUGGAGACUUUCAUGCUCAGCAUAGCACAUUGAUAUUAUAUUAUCUUUACCCUAGUAAAUAUCAAGUCGACCUCUCGUCUCAACUUUUUUCGAGAUUAGACGGGAUACUUACUGGGUAUAUUGUUUACGUACUCAUACUACAGUCUUGUACUUAACUGUACAGGAUCUGAGGUAGAUACGGUGCACGCCCUUAAGUUUGUGGCAGAGACUUCCAUGGUGAGCUGCUUCCUUCCUAUGCCGCUCAGCAGCCGGAUGUAGCCUUCCUUUUCUUUUGCUGUCUUUCUUUAUCUCAGACAGUAGGAUAGAGAUAUUCUUUUGUAUAUUCUACUAGAUGCCCGUACUUGCGACACCAAAUGUUGUCUCACACAUAUUGUUAGACUUGCUUUUGGGUUGUGUGAUUAUGUUACUUACAUUAUCUAUCACAAUUGGUCUUUGAAUCCCAACUUGAAUAUUUAUUUCACUUAAGUUCUGAUAAAAUUAACAUAAGAAGUAGAAAUGUUCCGCAUUGGCUUGCAUGACAACGGUAUCGGGCGCCUUCAUGUCCUAUCAUGGAAAUGAGUCGUGACAACGUGGUAUCAGAGCACUAGGUUCACAUAGGUCUCACAAGUUAUGGGAAAACCUAAUAAGGUCUUGUUUAUUGGUACAGAGACAUUUGUAUAUUUCUUCGAGGGGCUAUAGGGUAUUAGGAAAGACUACUCUUAUUUCACUUCCUAUCGUGCAGUGGUUGGUUUACUAAAUUUCUCUUUUCUAUUCUCUCAUAGAUGGUGAGAACCCAUAUCGCCGACAUUCUGGACCCGGGAGGAGCUGCUCCCUCCGUUGUUAGGGGCUGAGGUAGAGGCCGGGGGAGGGCACCAGACCGUGGUAGGGGACGAGGGUGUCCCAGAGUCGUUCCAGUUGCACCACCAGUAGAUCCUGCGAGAGAUCCCAUUAUUGAGGAGCAAGGCAAGGACCCGCAGCUAAGUCUACCUGGUAGAUUUCAUGACAGCGCCGGGAUUUCAGGAGGUCAUGGGCUGCAUGCUACGGUUCAUGGACACUAUGACUCAGGAUGGGUUAUUUUCAGCAGAUCCAACCACUUCACAGGUAGGAGGGGGAGCCCAGGCCCCUACUACUCAGGCUCCAGGUCACGUAGCUGCGAUAUAUCAGACUCCGGGUGAGCCUACCUGCAGAUGGGGCUCAGCUAGUUGCUGCAGUGGCACCCCAGCCCAGGCCAUCUGUGGAUGGCGAUCCAUAGAAGUUAUUGGACAAAUGGACUAGAAUUCACCCUCUAGUCUUUGGGGGUGAGCGUCAUGAGGAUGAUCAGGACUUCAUAGAUAGGUCCAAGGACAGGCUGCACAACAUGAGGAUAUUAGAGUCGCAUGGAGUUGACUUCACUACUUUUCAGCUUUAGGGCAGGGCUCGUAAAUGGUGGCAGUCCUAUGCACUUGGCAGGCCAGCAACUUCUCCUCCCAUCACUUGGGGACAAUUCACACAGUUAUUCCUGGAUCGGUACAUUCCACUCUCUAAGAGGGAAGAGCUGCGGUAUCAGUUUGAGCAUCUAAAGUAGGGUAAGAUGUUAGUGACCGAUUAUGAGGCGGGGUUCUUUGAGUUGUCUCGCCAUGCAUUUAUGAUACUUCCCACAGAGACAGAGGGAGUACAGAGGUUUGUUAUGGGGUUACACCCCACUAUCCGGUAUGGUAUGACCCGAGAGGUAGAGAUGUGUACAGGGUAUCAGCUAGUGGUUGAGAUCGCAUGCACGAUUGAGGGCUAUAGUUUGAGGGGUAGAUAGGAGAUGCAUCAGGAUAAGAGGGCUAGAUUCUCCAAAGAGUUUAGAGGCGCCCCAGCUAGGGCUAGAGGUUAGUUUGGAAGGGGUCAGCCCAGCAAGCCCCUAAUUUUAGCACCACCACCUGCUCGAGGUGCUCCAAUAUGCUCCUAUUUCAGCUCCAUGCCAGAGAGUUCUUAUCGCCCGCCAGUUGAGUUCUUAUCGCCCGCCAGCUAUUCAAGGUUCCUCCAGUGGGUAUUCAGGUCCUCCAGAUUCUUCCAGCUCUUAUUUCAGUGCUAUGCCGGAGAGUUCAUACCACCCACCGGCUAUUCAGGCUUCUUCAAAUGGAUCUUCUGGUUUUCAGAGUCAUCCCUCCGAACAACAGGUCACCACACCAUGUUAUUUUGAGUUUAGAGACCCCGGUCACAUGAGGAGAUAUUGCCCGAGACUUCAGGGUAAAGCGGUGCAGCAAUGAUAACAGCCCAAGACUCCAGCACCAGCUGCCCAACCACCUAGAGGUGGAGGGUAGGCUGGUAAAGGCCGUCCUAGAGGCGGAGGCCAGACAGGGGGGGGGNNNNNNNNNNNNNNNNNNNNNNNNNNNNNNNNNNNNNNNNNNNNNNNNNNNNNNNNNNNNNNNNNNNNNNNNNNNNNNNNNNNNNNNNNNNNNNNNNNNNNNNNNNNNNNNNNNNNNNNNNNNGGGGGGGGGGGGUCAACCAGCUAUUGCUAUGUCAGGUGGAGGCCAGCCUGCCGGUGCUCCAUCUAGAUUCUACGCUUUUCCGGCCAGGCCAGUUGCAUUGGCCUCAGAUGCCGUUAUCACAUCUAUUAUUUCCGUCGAUGGUACGGAUGAUUCGGUAUUAUUUGAGCCAAGUUCUACUUAUUCAUAUGUAUCAUCUCUGUUCUAUCUUUUCCUAGUUAUUUAUCCAGAGCCUCUAGGUGUUCCUCUUCAUGUGUCCACUCCCAUGGGUGAUUCUGUGGUUGUGGAUCGGAUCUACCAAUCCUAUGUGGUCACUUUCUGUGGUUUCGAGACUAGAGAAGAUCUUCUGCUACUUAAUAUGAUCGAUUUUGAGGUCAUCCUGGGCAUGGAUUGGCUAUCUCCAUAUUACGCCGUCCUAGAUUGCCAUGCUAAGACUGUUUCUCUAGUGAUGCCAGGGCUGCCGAGAUUGGAGUGGAAGGGUUCCACAGUUGAUACGCCUAGCAUGGUUAUUUCUUUCCUGAAGACUCGACACAUGGUCGAGAAGGGGUGUUUGGCUUAUUUAGCUUAUGUUCGAGACACCACUGCAGAGUCUCUGACAAUUGAUUCAGUCCCAGUUGCUCGAGAGUUCGCUGAUGUUUUUCCUUUAUCUUCCUAGCAUGCCUCUCGAUCGUGAUAUUGAUUUCUAUAUUGAUUUGGCUCCAGGCCCUCAGCCUAUAUCUAUUCCACCGUACAGUAUGGCUCCGAUUGAUUCACUCCUAGUAGUUUGACAGCUCGCUAAUGUUUUUCCUUUUGAUCUUCCUAGCAUGCCUCCGAAUUUGUGAUAUCAAUUUUUGUAUUGAUUUGGCUCCAGGCACUCAGCCUAUAUCUAUUCCACCGUACCGUAUGGCUCCUAAGGAGUUGAAAGAGCACUUGGAGGAAUUGUUGGCAAAUGGGGUCUGUUAGGCCCAAUGUAUCUCCCUGGGGUGUACCAAUGUUAUUUGUGAAGAAUAAGGAUGGGACUGUGUGGAUGUGCAUUGACUACCGCUAGUUUAACAAAGUCACCAUCAAGAAUAAGUAUCCGUUGCCUCGUAUUAAUGAUUUGUUUGACCAGUUGCAGGGUGUUCUCUAAGAUUGACUUGAGGUUAGGGUAUCAUCAGUUGAAGAUUUGGGACUCAGUUGUUUCGAAGACUGCAUUCAGGACUAGAUAUGACAAUUAUGAGUUUCUGGUGAUGUCCUUUGGCUUGACUAAUUCCCUAAGACACUUAUGGAUUUAAUGAACAGGGUAUUCAGGACUUAUAUUGAUUCCUUUGUUAUCAUUUUCAUUGAUGACAUCUUGAUAUACUUACGUAGCCUGGGGGAGCACGAGAAGCAUUUGAGAGUAGUGCUUCAGACCUUGCGAGAGCAGAAACUAUAUGUUAAGUUCUCUAAGUGUGAGUUUUGGCUAGAGUCAGUGGCAUUCUUAGGGCAUAUUGUGUCAGGAGAGGGUAUUAAUGUGGAUCCCAAGAAGAUUGAGCCAGCUUAGAGUUGGCCACGUCCUACUUUAGUGAGUGAGAUUAGGAGUUUCCUGGGGUUAGCAGGCUAUUACCGAUGAUUUAUGUACGAAUUUUCAUUUAUUGCAUCACCUUUGACUAGAUUGACCCAGAAGGGUGCUCCAUUCCGUUGGUCCGAUGAUUGUGAGGAGAGCUUCCAGAAGCUCAAGACAGCUUUAACCACGACACUAAUUCUUGUAUUAUCUUCCAGUUCAAGGAUAUAUACGGUAUAUUGUGAUGCGUCCCGCGUUGGUUUGGGAUGUGUAUUGAUGCAGGAGGGGCGAGUUAUUGCAUAUACUUCAUGUCAGUUGAAGAUUCAUGAGAAGAAUUACCCUGUGCACAAUUUGGGUUUAGCAGCAAUAGUUCAUGCUCUUAAGAUAUAGAGGCAUUAUUUUUUUGGGGUGUCAUGUAAGGUUUACACCGAUCAUCACAGCUUGCAGCACCUAUUCAAGCAGAGGGAUCUUAAUUUGAGGCAACGGAGGUGGCUGGAGUUACUAAAGGAUUAUGACCUUACUAUUCUUUAUCAUCCGGGCAAGGCAAAUGUGGUCGCGGAUGCCUUGAGAAGAAAGGCGGAGAUUAUGGGUAGUAUGGCAUUCAUUCCAGCAGAGGAGAGACCAUUAGCUUUGGACAUCCAGUCCUUGGCUAACGACUUGUGAGCUUGGACAUUUCAGAGCCCAGCCAAGUCCUAGCAUAUGUGGUGUCUCAGUAUUCAUUAUUGGGGCAUAUCAAGGCCCGGCAGCUCGAUGAUCCACAUUUGGCGGUUCUUAGAGAGACGAUACUCUAGAGAGGUGCCAAGGAGGUUUUUAUUGGCAAGGAUGGUGUGCUACGGCUUCAGGGCCGUCUAUGUGUUCCUAAUGUUGAUGGUUUGAGGGAAAGGAUUCUAGAAGAGACCUACAGUUCGAGAUAUUCCAUUCAUCCGGGUUCCACGAAGAUGUAUCGUGACUUGAGGCAGCAUUAUCGGUGGCGGAGAAUGAAGAAAAACAUCAUGGAGUAUGUAGCUAGAUGUCUGAAUUGCCAGCAGGUCAAGUAUGAGCACCAGAGACUGGUGGCCUACUUCAGCAGAUGCCUAUUCCGGAGUGGAAAUGGGAGCGCAUCACCAUGGAUUUCGUAGUUGGGUUGCCGCAGACUUUGCAGAAGGUUAAUUCAGUGUGGGUCAUUAUGGAUAGGUUGACCAAGUCGGCUCACUUCAUUCCAGUGGCGACUACUUAUACAGCAGAGAGGUAUGCUUAGAUUUACAUUCGGAAGAUAGUCCGAUUGCACAAUGUGCCUAUUUCCAUCAUAUUAGACAGAGGCCCUUAGUUCACUUCCCAUUUCUGGAGAGCUGUUCAGAGUAAGUUAGGGACCCGUGUCGAGCUUUGCACAACAUUCCAUCCUCAGACCGACGGGUAGUCGAAGCGGACACUUAAGAUCUUCGAGGAUAUGUUUAAAGCAUGUGUGAUUGACUUUGGAAGGCAGUGGAAUCAGUUCUUGCCUUUAGUAGAGUUUGCGUAUAACAACAAAUAUCAGUCCAGCAUAAAGAUGGCUCUGUACGAGGCUUUAUAUAGUUGACGUUGUUGUUCUCCUAUCGGGUGGUUUGAGCCAGACGAGGCUAAGUUACUUGGCACACAUUUGGUACAUGAUGGCUUGGAUAAGGUAAAGUUGAUUUAGGAGAGGCUUCGCACAGCUCAGUCGAUACAGAAGAGCUACACGGAUCAUAAUGCGUGUGAUGUAUCAUUUAUGGUUGGCGAGAAGGUUCUCUUGAAAAUCUCGCCCUUGAAGGGCAUCAUGAGGUUCGGGAAGAAGGGAAAGUUGAGCCCAAGGUUUAUUGGUCCCUUUGAGGUGUUAAGACGAGUUGGGGAGGUUGCCUAUGAGCUUGCUUUACCCUAGUUUAUCAGGAGUCCAUCCAGUUUUUCAUGUUUCAAUGCUUUAGAAGUAUCAUGCCGACCUAUCACAUGUGUCGAACUUCAGUACUAUUCAGUUGGAUGAGAGCUUGGGCUUUGAGGAGGAGCCAAUUUCCAUUAUUAAUAGGCAAGAUCGCCAGUUGAGGACCAAGAAGAUUUCUGUGAUGAGAGUCCAGUGGAGGGGCCAACCGAUCGCGGAGGCGACCUGACAGUCCGAGGAGGACAUGCAUAGCAGAUAUCCUCACUUAUUCAGCAGUCCAGGUACUUUUCUAUGACCAUUCGAGGAUGAACGUUUGUUUAAGAGGUGGAGAAUGCCAUGACUCGACUGGUCGUUUUGCCUUUUAGAACCCCGUUCCCCUAAAAAAAACCUCCCGUACUUGCUUUAGCUAAUUUAUGACUUGUGGGGGUUGGAAGAGUUUUGAGUGAAAUAUAUCCAAUUGUUUCUUUAAGAUUCUGUUAAAAGACCAAGUUUGACUUCGGUCAACUUUUUGGGAAAGUGGACCCGAACUCGUGAUUUGACGGUCCUAAAAGGUUCGCGGAAAAAUAUGGGACCUAUGCGUAUGCUCGGAAUCGAAUUCCAAGGUCCCUAGCUUAAGUAAUGAAUUUUUAUUGAAAAUUAUUAAAUUGAAAUCCUAAGAGUUUAAUAAAGAGGAAAAAUGCUUGAUCACAUUGAUAUAGGUCCUGUAUGUUGGUUCCGGAGCCCGAUACAGAUUCAAUAUGAUAUUUUAGUCUUGUCUGUGAAUUUUGGUGAGAAACGAGAAUGAUUCGACGUGAUUCGGACGUUGUUCUUGAGGACUUCAUGCAUUCUUGGUGUUUAAUCCGUGGUUUUAGGUGUUAAUUAGGCGAUUUGAUUGCUUGAUCAAGUUUUCACAUUGUUGUAAGACUUGCGUGAGGGCUCGAGUGAGAUUCGUUGGAGGUAAGAAAACACAGCAGUUUUGCUGGUAUUUUUGCUGUUGCUGCUGCAGGUUUCACAAUUGCGAGAUGGCCAUCGCAAUUGCGAGAAAUUCUUCGCAUUUGCGAAAUUGGCCGGGCUGGGCAGUGUUCGCAUUUGGGAACCAUUUCUUCGCAUUUGCGAACCCAGCAGGGUCUGCAUUUGCGACCCAUGCAUCAAAUUUCUGAUUGAGGCAGGCUAGGGUUCAGUUCACAUUUGUGAACCUUUUGUCAGAGUUGCGACCUCGCAUUUGCAAGCUUGAAGUCGCAAAUGCGACAUCAGAGGACUGGUCAAAGCUUUUUGAAACGGGACUUAGGGCAUUUAUUUCAUUUCUACUCUACGCUUGGGCGAUUUGAGAGCUUCCAAAGAGAGGGAUUUCAACACAACAUUGUGAGGUAAGUUAUUUCCAUUCAUCCUUAGUUUAAAUACAUGUAUAUUAGGUAGAUUAAACACCAAAAAAGGUAAAAUCAAACGGUUAGAGCUAGACCUAGGGUUUUAAUAAAACUAAGAUUUAAAUACAAAAUUUGUUAUGAAAUAAACUAGAAAUCAUAUAUUAUUGAUCCUUAGGUAGUAGAGAAUAACUUUCUUUGAAAAACUUUAGAACCCGGCCAUGUGAGCCCGGGGUUGGAAUUUAGGAAACCCAUGUAAAUGGUUGGGAAAUGGUUUGAAUAGCUAGAAUUCGAUCUUGUGAGCUAAUAUUAAUUAGUUCUUACUCUAUUUAAAUAGUUUGGGAUCGUUCAGCUCUGAAUUGAGGGUUUGGACCUGUUCUUGAUAUUUGGAAUCACGUUUUGGAGCGAUACGAGUCUCCUUUUGUUCGGCUACGAAUUGAGGGUUGGACUUGUUCUUGAUAUUUGGAAGUGCGUUUUGGAGCAAGGUGAGUCUCCUUUCUAUCCUUGUAAGAGGGAAUUGUCCCCAUAGACAUAAUAAAUGAGAAUUUGCUACUAAAUGCGGGGGCUAUGUACGUAUUUGGUGACGAGAGUCCGUGCGUAGCUACUAUUAUAUUAAUUGCUUGGAUAGUUUAGGACCCACAUCAUCCCUAAUUUGGGAUUUUCUUCUAUUUAGAUUGUCAAUAUGAGACUUGAUAUAAAUAAAAAAGUGAACAUAUGACCUUGUUGGACUUUGUAAGAGUUUCCUUGUAUAUAAAUGAGCCUUUCUGUGCAUUCUUGAUGUUUUGAUAUUUAUGGAGCGGGCCGAUCACCUCGAUGAAAAUAGAUGCAUCUAUGGUUCGUGUCGUUUUGUCACGACCCCAACCCCGGUCAUGAUGGCGCCCAACUUACUGCUAGGCAAGCCCGACCAAUUCAACAACCUUAGCCCCUUUUUAUGCAGUUCAUGAUCCAAUUAACACGAAUACUUACCAAGUCAUAAUACUGAACUCUAAAAUAUAAAUUAAACAUGCGGAAACCCAAGUGUAAAACAACUACUCAGCCCGAAGGAUCUGGCGUCACAAGUCUGAGCCUCUAUUACCCGAGUAACAACCUACUACAUGUAAUCUCUAGAAACGCAGAAAUAAGACAAAUAAGAUAGAAGGAAGAUCAGGACUGCGGACGUCAAGUGCAGCUAUCUUGAUACUUCCGGAUAAGCUGCUAGGUAGAAAAAUCCUCACACAGCCUCAGGUAUACCUGGAUCUGCACGCAAAGUGUAGGGAGUAAUGUGAGUACUCUGACCCAGUGAAUAAUAAACAUAAAUAAAGGCUGAUAAUAAGAAAUCAUGAAUAGGCACAAGUAAUUCUAUAAAUACAACAACAUGAACCAUAUAAUAUUCAAUCCUUAAACCAAUAACGACAAUUAUGGAAAUGCUACAACAAAUAAGUAAGUAAUUGGCAUGCAAAUAUGAAAUGCAACACAUAGUACGGUACUCUCUAGUACCCGCUGAGGCGUGCAGCCCGCUCCAUUUAUUUAUCGUCUACGACGCUCACUAGGGGUGUAUAGACUCUGGGAGGGGCCCCUUACGGCCAAACCGCAAUAAUAACCCAUCUCAUGGCAUCAACCAGGCCCUUGGCCUCAUAUCGAUAUCAAUAUAGUACCAUUGCAGCGCGCAACCCAAUCCCAUACUCAGUCAAAAAUCAUAUAAGCCCCUCGGGCACAAUAGUAAAAAAAUAUUCAGCCCAAACUUCUUUUUAAAACAUUAAUUAAAUUUCAAGUGAGAGAAAAAGGUGGCUGAGUUUACAAAACAACAUUAAAACCGGGACUAUUUUCAUUAAUAUGUAAAAACAGUAAGAAGCCGGUAAUAGCAAUCAACUCAAAUUAUAACAAUAAUAAGGAAUCUCAAUUAAAUACGCAGGAUAUUCAUCUACCGGGAUGGACCAAGUCACAAUCCCCAAUGGUGCUCUACCCCAUGCUUGCUACUCGGCAUGCAAGUCACCUCAUUAUAGAACUACGACGUGCAAAUAUGGGGUUUCAAACCCUCAGGACAACAUUUACAUAUAUUACUCACGUCAAGCCAGGCCAAAUCCUAGCUUGCUAUGCCCUUGCCCUUCGAAUAGACCUCCUCGUGCGUCGAACCUAAUUAAAACCAUAAUUAAUACAUCACGAUAGGCUAAAGGAACAAUACUUAAUCGAAAAUAAUCGAAAAACAUCAAAAUUCUCGAAAUUGGCAAAAACCCGAGCUCGGGCCCACUUCUCGAAUUCCAAAAAAUUUAACAUCAACACAUUCCUUAUCUCUCCACGAGUCUAUAAUUAUAAAUAUUUCCAAAAUCGGAGUCCAAAUGACCCCUCAAAUCUCCUUUCUUAGCUCUCUUAAGUUCAAGCCCUAACUCCCAUUCUAACUCCCUAAAUUCCUUAGUUUUUCAGUCUAAAUUCAUGUAAUAACACCUUAGAAUUAUGUUUAAGGCCCAGAAAUUCUUACAUCAAAGAAGUCCCUUGAUUGCUCUCUUUGAACUCGCCCAAAUUCUCCAAGUCCGUAGUGAAAAAGAUGAAACCCUUUAAAAUUUCGCGAAGGAGAAAUUAAAUAACACUGACCAGUCAAUUCCCCAUCUGCGGCUCCUUAGUUGGAUCUACGACUCCCGCUUCUGCAGAAAUAUCUUCGCUUUUGUGGAUCCCCCAGGAAAUCUUGAAUACCGCAUUUGCGGUCUUCUUGUCGCAUCUGCGACUCCGCAGAUGCUUGACCAGUCAUUUCCGCAGAUGCGGUACUCCCACUUCUGCGGAAAUAUCUUCAGUUUGUGGAUCUUCAUUAGGUCCAGGACCGCUUUUGCAGUCAAGUCCCGCUUCUGUGGACCCCGCUUAUGCGGUCAAAUAUCCACUCCUGCGGAACUCCUCUAAAACGUACGGACCGCUUCUGCGGUCAUUGUCCGCACCUGCGGAAUUAAUCCGCUUUUGCGAAAAUUCUCCAAUUGGCCAACUUUCGCACAUGCGACCCAUACUUUGCAUCUGCGGAAUCACAUCUGCAACCCCUUUUUCUGCAAAUGCGGAAAUACCAGAUAUCAGCAAAUGAUCAAUUUCACAACUCCAAAAAUCCAUCCAGACGGCUAUCCGAAAUCACCUCGAGGCCCCCGGGACCUCAACCAAAGGUGUCAACCCAUAUUAAAACAUCAUUCAAACUUGCUCCACUCAUCAAAACACAACAAAUAACAUCAAAACCCUCAAAUUACAUCGGAUUCAAGCCUAAGUUCUUCUAAAACUUCCGAAUUACGCAUUUGAUAAAAAACUCGACCGAAACUCCUUCAAAUGACCUAAAAUUUUGUACACACAUUUAAAAUCACCUAACAAAGCUACAACAACUCUUGAAAUUCCAUUCCGACCCUCGGAUCAAAAUCUCACUUACCAACCGGAAUUCGCCAAAUACUAACUUUGCCAAUUCAAGCCUAAUUCUAAACCGGACCUCCAAAACCAUUUCCAAUCACACUCCUAAGUCACAAAUCAUCCCACAAAGCUAACUGAACCAUCAAAAUUCACAUCCAAGCCUCCUAGCAUAUAAGUCAAUGUCCGGUUGACCUUUCCAAAACAAGCCUUCCUUAAAGAGACUAAGUGUCUUAUUUCCUUCUCAAUUCAAUCCAAAUCUACUUGUUUACAUAAAACAGUCAUAAUGAAGCAUAAAGAAACAAAAAAUGGGGGAAACGAGGCGGUAACCCAUGUGACGACGGGUCGGGUCAUCCUGCGUUCGACCCUCGACAGUGCAUAGUUUAUUUUCUGUUGGAGCGGGCUAUCGACCUCGGCAUGAUUGUGCAUGAUAUAUGUGUUGAUACUUAAACAUGAACCAGACUGAAACAAGGUCAAGAACCUGACUAUUGCUUUUUAUUAUAACAUGUUAAAUAUUGGAGACUUUCAAGCUCAGCAUAGCACAUUGAUAUUAUAUUAUGAUGACCCUAAUAAGUAUCAAGUCGACCUUUCGUCUCUGAUUCUUCAAGAUUAGAUGGGAUAAUUACUGGGUACAUAUUAUUUAUGUACUCAUACUACACUUCUGUACUUAACUGUACAGGAUCUGAGGCAGAUACAUCUGGUUACUGGCCCGGUGUGCGCCCUUGAUUUUGUGGCAGAGUCUCACUGGACUGCUUUCAAAAGGAUACUAAGAUACUUGAAAGGCACCACUGAUCUGUGUCUUUGGUAUCCCAAAAGUAGAAAUUAAUAUUUAGUAGGAUAUGUUGAUUCUGAUUAUGCAGGUUUUCUAGAGAUCGGAAGAGCACCUCAGGUAUGUCACACUUCCUUGGUUCAUGUCUUGUGUCACGGGCUACCAAAAAGCAAAACUCAAUGGCUCUAUCUACUGCUGGAGAUAAGUAUGUUGCUUCUUCUUCUUGUUGUGCUCCAUUUCUAUAGAUCAAACAACAGCUGGUAGAUUUUGGUGUUGAGAUUGGUUGUAUUCUAAUAUUCUAUGAUAACACUAGUGCUAUAAGUAUGACAAAGAACCCUGUUCAUCAUAAGAGGACUAAGCACAUAGAUGUUAGACACCACUUCUUAAGAGAUAACUAUGAGAAAGAACUGAUCUCCAUAAAAUUCUCUGCUACUGAUAAGCAAAUUGCUGAUCGCUAAAGCAUCGGGUAGAGAAAACUUUGAGAGGAACAUGUUGGAAUUAAGGAUGAUUAAGAUCACCUAAUAGGUCCAGUUCAUAAUGCACAAUGAAAAAAAUGGAAAAAAAGUUUGGUUAGGAGUUCUAACAUUGUAAAUAUCUAGAUUAAUUCUUACUCAAUUUCAUACUUCAAUUAGUAUACUCCUGUGACAUGCGUAUAUAUGGUUCAAUGAUCUCUUACAAAGUUUUUUCCAUUAUGACAUUUGAUGCAUGCUCAAGAGAGUUCUAUAUGAAGAACCUGGUUCAUUAGUAUGAGUUCAUAUGUAAGCUCAUGUAUGUUUUUAAUACUUUGCAUAAUUAGAAAGAUUAACACUUCAAUCAUGAGCAGAAGUCCUAUAUUUUCCAAAUUCCUAGAAAAUUCUAUCCUUUGAGGCGAUGAACCAUUUUCGUCCAUUUAGAACUCUAAAAUCGUGGCAUGACAAAUUCCUAGAAAAUUUUAUCCGUUGAGGCAUUGAACCAGUUUCAUCCAUUUAGAACUCUAAAGCUGUGAUUUUUUGCCAAAUAUCUAGGGAAGCCAAAUAAUCAUUAAAAGAAUGGAAUUGCAGUUUCAUUAGACUUUUAAUUGACCCAUGAAAAGCUGUCGUUACUGCAUUAAUGUCUAAUUCACUUUAAAUACCAACCACAUCUCUAAUAUUCUUCAUCAUUCUAAAACCAUCAAAAAUUAUUUCUCUAGUUCUAAUCGCUUCUCUUCUCUAGAAAUUUCAAAAUUUCCUCCAUAAAAGAAGAACCGUGUCUAACCCACAAGAUCAUCCUGUCACUCCUCCACCACCAACCCCCUCAAACUCAUCCUCGUCUACUCCUCCUAGUGAAUCCCCAAAACCUAGGUUUCGAAGGUAGACAAUGUUGGCUAGAAAAAAUGUAGCAUAUGGAGCCCUGAGAAAAGUUUUACAUGAGAGAUUGAAAUCUAGCCUGAGGAAAGAAAGGCCAGCUCAAGAGUCUGACUCCAAUUCUGAGUUAGAAUCCUUCAUAUCUGCCAGUGAAGGUGAAGAACAUGAGUCUUCUGACACUGAGAAAAUUUAAGAAAUUUCUGUUGAGGUAAGUUCUUCUGUGGUUGAAAACAUAGGAAAUAGGUUUGUUCUAGUUGGACCUAUUAAAGAUGUAAAAUUGGCUGGAUCGAGUAGGAGUGGAGGUAAAAAGAAAAGAAAGGAGAGAAAGGGAGCAAGUAGUGAAGAGAUGGGAAAAUAGAAAGGAGCAGUUCUUGCUAUAUAUGGGGUUGAAGAAAAGAGUGGCAUAAAGUCAAGGGUAAGUGGCUAUGGAGAAGCAGUUGAAGGGUUGGUUCAUUUAAGCAAACAAAGAGAUGAACCUGAUUCAUCUGCUGAGGAAACUCUGGCUGACAUUCUGAAAAGGGUUAGGGCAAGUUAUGACCCAAAGAAAUGCAAAUAUACCUCCCAAAAGACCCCAACUAUUCCCAAGCCAUCCAAGAAAAGAAAGACUUCAUCCCCAAAAUCUACUGCCCCUUCAGUACCUAAGGGAAGAGCUACAAGAAUCAGGGCAAGACAAAGUGAUGCUGACCUACAAAAAGAUCUGGAAGAAAGCAGUAAAAAGAAAGUGAGAAGGGAAAGAAAAAUGAAGCAGGGUAAGACAAAGUGAAGCUGACCUACAAAAAUCUCUGGAAGAAAGCAAGAAAAAGAAAAUGGAAAAGGGAAAGGAAAAAAUUGCAGAGUCCUUUGAGGUUGCAGAAGAAGAGGAGAUGGAACUGGUCUAUCAAGAAUGGGGAACAACAGUGGAGGUUCCUACACCAAAACCUAAAAAGUCCAAGACUUCAUCCAAGAAGUCUUCUUCAAUACCUAUGUCUGCUGAACCCCCCAUUAGCCAAGAGGACAAGAUCUGCAAUGAAAGGCAAGCAAAAGAAAUUACUGAAGAAGAUGAACAAUGGAGUGGAGAAGAAGAAGAAGAGGAAUCUGAGAAGGAGCAGGAUAAGUUUGCCAUCUUUGGCAGAAGAAAAAUUCUGAAAAGAAGAUUGUUGAAGGACAUGGUUGAGACAGGGAUGAUGAGACUGGUGGAUGCUUUAGCUGCACAAGGUUGGAAGAACAUGGUCCUUGAAAUAGAUGGGAGGCUGCCCAGGAAUGAACUGAUUAAAUUUAUGGCCAAUACUGUUGCCUGGUGAAAGGAGUUAAAGUGAAGUUUGAUGCACUCAAACUGGGUGAGAUCCUGGACAUACCUACCAAAGGGUAUGAUGACUAUACAAGGCAAAGGUGGCCAUGUCUGGAUUUUUUCCCUACUGCUCUUGAAAUCACUAGGGCGUUCUAUGACUCUAGAGAUGUGCCUGAAGCCAAAUUUGUGCAGAUAAGUGAAAUGAGGCCUGAGCACAAGGUCUUGUUUGAAUUUGUCACCAAGUGUCUCUUGCCCAGAUAGGAGAAAGGCACACUGCAAAUUACAUGGACCUGGCUCUUAUAGAGUGCUUGGUGAGAGGAAUGCAAAUCAACUGGCAUGAUUUCAUUAUCAAAUUGCUCAACAGAGUCAUCAAUGGUUCUAAGGCUCAUGCCAUUCCAUAUGGGUACAUACUGACUACUGUGCUGGACAGGCUAAAUGUGCCUUUGAAGAAAUGGGAAAUGGCAUCAAGCAAGGUACAUUUUGGUGUUAAGACCCUGCUGGCUUGUGACUAUCCAGUCAAUGCCAUCCCAGUUGAACCUGGUUCAUCUCUGAGCACACCCGUCAAUAGCAAGGUUAGAGCUUUGGUAUAAGAAUGUGGAACUAAGGAUAAUGAAAUUGCUAGGCUCGAAGCACGCGUGGCUGAAUUGAAAACUGAAAGAGAUGGCCUUAGAACUAAGCUAACAAAAGAAAAUGAGAAAAGUGAUGGAAUGCUUCAGAAUAUGCUAAACCUUCUCCAAUCUCAACCCUCUAGUUCCUCCAAGCCCUAGGUCUCCCAGCACUUGUCUUCUGAACCAGUCUAGGACCCCUAGUGACCCAAUUUAGGGAUGUUUCUAUUUUUUUGCUCAUGUUUUGAAAGUUUUUCUUUCUUUUUGUGGUCUGUUUGUGAAAGCAUAUUUCUAUCAAUGAUAACUGUUGUUUUAUCUUGUGCAAUGCCGAUUCUGAUCUUAAUAGUUUAAAAAUGUUUGUUGAUUAUUGAGAAUUGCACAAUGAUUUCACUUGCAGUUGCCCAAGUGGCCAUGAUUACUUAUUAAAUUCUUCACACUGUGUAUGCAACUUUCCGAUGAUGCCAAAAGAGGGAAGAGAUAUUAUGCUUUGAACAUUAUUCUAAAUUAAGUGAUAUUUAUAACCUAAUUAACCCGGUCCUUGAUGAUAAGUAAAAUUUAUAAGUAAAGUGUUAAUGGUUAAGUUGAGUUCUUACAUGUUCUUUGAUCAGUAAAAAGCACAUAGUUUAUCAUCAUCAAAAAGGGGAAAAUUGUUGGCCCAAGAACAUGUGAAGUGUUGAAGAAAUGACAGAUGAACUUAGUCAUGAACAAGGUCCAUCAUAUGAAGCAUAGUGUUUGUCAACCUAUACAUAUAAGAUGCACGUGAAAGAGAGAAGUCCUAUUGAUUAAGCAACAAUAUCUCCUGAACUGAUCGAAAAGGUUGCAUAUGCGAUAAGGAGAGAAAGUCUCCUUAUGAGAGAUUAAGCAACAAUAUCUCCUGAACUGAUCGAAAAGGUUGCAUAUGGGAUAAGGAGAGAAAGUCUCCUUAUGAGAAGAGAACAUAAUCCAGAUAAAAGAUAGGGCUGGAGUUUGUGUUGUUCAAGGACUCAACUUCAAUGGAAGAUCAGAAAUUGAGUCUUAAUCAAACUCUAAUUACAAACUCAUUAAAUAACAAUGAUUGUGCUCUUUUACAGGUAUUGCACAAAUGCAUAAGUUAAACUAUAUUGAGAGCAAAAGAUCGAGGCAACUUCGCAAGCAAUUUAUCUGAGAUUUGAGUGUGCAUUCCUGAAGCUACUUGGAUAAGAUAGAAGAACCAAUUCCAUUGCGUCUUUCUUUUAUUCUAGUUCAAUUGUAGUAGGUAAUUUAAACUUGUACCUUUCAGCUUUCAUAGAAGCAAUUGUAUUAGGUACUUUGUGUAUUCAAGUUAGAGUUAACUUGAAGUUGUCGCAACAGUUAAGGCUGUGUGCCACAACGAGAUUAGAGUUUAAUCCUUAGGUUUACAAAGAGUUUUUGUAAAUGGUGUUUUGGCUCAAUGAUUUUAAUAGAAGUUUGGGAAAAUCCUACUGAGUAGUAGGUCGUGAUUUUUUCACCUUUUGAUCCAAGUAUUCUCCACGUAAAAAUCUCUGUGUUCCUUAGUUUAUGUACUUAUUAUUCCGCAAAUAGUAGUGUUAGUACACUUAGAAGAACCAAGUUCUUCUAGAGCGAAAAAUUGGGUACCACACAAAUCACCCCCUCUUGUGUGGUAUUGAUGUUUAGAACAUCACUAAGGAUAUUUUGAAAGAGUUCGGUUGUAUAGACUGUCCUCUUAUGACUCCCCCUUUAGAUUCCUCUAUGAAGUUAAAGGCUGAUGAUGGAGCUCUAUUGGUAGAUCCGUCCUAUUACAGGAAGUCGAUUGGAAAGCUCAACUUCCUCACUAACACUACGCUAGACAUUGCCUACAACGUAUAAUAUCUUAGUCAAUUUAUGCAAAGUCCCAGAGAACCUCAUUUGAAGGCAUCAUAUCAUGUCUUAAGGUACUUGAAAGGUGAUCCAACCUUAGGCAUUUUCCUUAGCAAUGAUGCAGAUUAUAGAGUAAAGGCUUUUCGUGACUCAGAUUAGGCAACUUGUCCUCGGUCCAGAAAAUCAGUUAGUGGGUACAUAGUGUUACUUGGUGGCACCCCUAUUAGUUGGAAAUCUAAGAAGUCGUCCACUAUUUCCCUAUCCUCUGUAGAAGUUGAAUACAGAUCAACUAGGAUGGUUGUUGGUGAACUUGUAUGGCUGGCCAGACUUAUUACUGAACUCACUGUUCCCCUAGCCUAGCAUAUUCCCAUAUUCUGUGACAGUCAAGCUGCCUUAUAUAUAGUAAGGAAUCCUGUGUUAUAUGAACGUACAAAGCAUAUUGAAGUGGAUUGUCAUUUUGUACGAGACCAACUGCAAGAAGAGUUGAUUUCCUUUCACCAUGUCAUUACCAAUGAUUAAUUAGCUGACAUUUUUAUCAAGUCUCUAACAAGAAUCAAGCAUUCUACAGUUAUUAACAAGUUGACAGUGAGCUCCUCACCUCCAACUUGAAGGGAGGUGUUAGAGAUUAUUUAUAUACAUUAUUUUGUACAUCAUGUAUUGCAUUGUAUUUAUACUUUCAUUUCUUUUAUUCUUCUUACUUGUACAAUGCUUCAGAUGUUAAUAAGGUGUUAGUUGAUAUUAGGUAUUAGUUUGGACACUAUAAAUAGGAUAUUAAUUGUACUUUUUCAUUUGAGUUGUAAACCAUGAAAAUCUAACUCCUCUUUUUAGAAGCUUUGUUUGCGUUCUCUCUCUUUUGCACGUUCUGUAUUUCAGCCAUUAGAGAUCACAUUGAGCUCAUGUCUCUUUUUUCUCAUUUAUCUCUAAAAUCUUGAGAUGCCCAGUUGGACUUUGUGUUGAAAUUCUCGAAUUCAUACUAAUUUACCCGUUUUUUCCUUAAAAAAGGGGAAUCUGUACUUGAGAUUUUUAAACAGAUGCUAUAGAAAGGUUUAUACCUUUUAUGCUAAGUCUUGAGAUGCCCACUUGGAUUUGUUGCUUAAAUUCCUAAAAAGUCUUUUCUUUUGCUAUGUGAAUUCUAUACAAAGGAAAGUUUGAAUCUUUUGUUCGGAUUGAGUUGAUAGAUUGGUCCAAUUUUGGUAACUUUAUUUGCUAUGUUGGAAGGAGAGAUUAAGUUCUCUAUUCUGACUUGAUAUGUUAAUUGCGAUUUCAGCAAGAUCAAUUAAAAAUCAUAUUUAGGAUUAUUCCUAGAAGUGGAGCCUCGGCGCAACUGGUACAGUUGCUGCCAUGUGACCAAGAGAUCACAUGUUCAAGCCGUGAAAACAGCCUCUUGCAAAAAUGAUGGAUAAGACUGCGUAUAAUAGAUCCUUGUGGUCCGGCCCUUCUUCGGACGCCGUGCAUAGCAGGAGCUUAGUGCUUCGGGUUACCCUUUAUUUAUUUAGGGUUGUUCUUGCAAGUGCCUUGUUGUCUGUGAUCAUAGAGGUUUAGCUAUAAAUUUAUCAAUUCCUUAUCUGCAGUAUCAUAACAGUCAGUAAGAAAUUAAAUAAAUGAUGUAUGGCUGACUAAAUAUUUGAUGUAAGAAGGGGCGAAAUAAUAAUACAAUUUUGGCAUUUGAGUUCAUAGAUUGGUCCAAUUUGGUAACCUGUAUUUGGUAUGUUGGAAGGAGAGAUUGAGUUCUCUAUUCUGACUUGAUAUGUUAAUUGCGAUUUCAGCGAGAUCAAUUAAAAAUCAUAUUUAGGGUUAUUCCUUGAAGUGGAGCCUCGGCGCAACUGGUACAGUUGCUGCCAUGUGAUCAAGAGAUCACAUAUUCAAUUCGUGAAAACAGCCUCUUGCAAAAAUGAUGGGUAAGAGUGCGUACAAUAGAUCCUUGUGGUCCGGCCCCUUCUUCGGACCCUGCGCAUAGCGGGAGCUUAGUGCACCGAGCUGCCCUUUAUUUAUUUAAGGUUAUUCUUGCAAGUGUCCUGUUGUCUGUGAUCAUAGAGCUUUAGCCAUAAAUUUAUCAAUUCCUUAUCUGCAGUAUCAUAACAGUCAGUGAGAAAUUAAAUAAAUGAAGAAUAACCCGAUCUCUAUUUAUGAGUAAACAUGCUGAGCCAUCCUUCAUGGUGUGUAUAAAGGUUUGGCAGAUACCUCAGCAGCAUCUACUGAAAAUAAAGGAAAAAGUCAGUCAUCUAUAAUUUCCUCCAGAGUGAGAGUAGCUAUUGUAGUACUUGGAAUUUUAGCUGCUGUGGGAUUUUGUUAUGUCCUUUUCAAGAUAUGGCAGAAGAAGAAAAGGGAAGAGCAGCAAGCUCGCCUCCUAAAGCUCUUUGAAGAAGAUGAUGAUCUUGAGGUUGAACUUGGAAUUCGGGAUUGAGAUUAUAUUAUCUCAUUCUAUAACACAGUGCAUAACAGAGGUGCGAGCACUGCCAUUUUCUAGAAAAUUGUGUUUAUUUCUUUUUAGUUUGUCUCAGCAAACAAAAUUUUGCUUUUGCAUGUGUACAGUUGAAGAUGAUUGAAAGAUUUUAUUUUUGUUUUAGCUUGUAACGUGUCUUCUAAAUGGUACAUGUGAUUUCUAUAUAUACCCUGUAUUCAUGCAAUACUAGAAACACCUAUUUUCUGAAAUGUGUACAUUCACAUGAAACUUCUCAGGAAUGUAAAUGGUUCUCUAUAUUCCAGGGUCAAAUAUUGAUGGAGUAUAGUAUGUUAUGAUGGUGUCCACUUGUAAAUCUUAGACCAAUAUGGUGUCCACUUGUUAAUCUGGCUUCUCUGUAGCUAUUAAUCAAUGAGGUCAAGAUCUUCUAUGCGGUAUUUGGGUUGCGUGUUUGAAGGAAGACACUUGUAUCAAAAUUCAGUUUCUGUCCAGGUGCCUUCUUGCUGUCCUUUAAUUGACGUGGUAUUUUUUGGCCCGUAGGAUUAGCAAAAAGUGUCAUAAGCUACAUGUCAGUAGCUAGUAGCAUGGGAUUUCAUUAUUUCAAUGACAUGUGCCUAUCUACCUUUUUUCUGUAGUGACUUUCGAAUAUACCUAUACAUCCCAUCUAAUGUUAAAAAGGUCAAAAAAACAAAUUUCAAAGUUAUUCUACUACACUGUACAGUUGUAGUUGCAGGUGAUUGACGUACUCAGAGUUGAUAUGUAGCACCUAUUGCAUAAUGUUCAGGCCCCUUCUUUUUAGCUUUUCUUGCAUAAAACUUGCUCCAUUAGCUGUAAUCCAACAAAACCGGCUGCUUUUGAGGUCAAGCUCUAGUAUUUGUUUGUUUGAACUUUGAACAGACCAGAGAGUAAAUAGGACUGACAAAAUAGAUAUUUGUAAGAAGACAGCUAUGCUGGUGGUUUGGGUCCUAGAUACAUACACAAUGAAUUGUGGUGUUAGCAUAUGGUUCGUGUGAGUAGGAUCCACUUAUUAAGUAGAAUGUAGAACAAUUUAUUGUCAAUUUAGGGGUCUCAGCGGCGGGGUGCUGCAGAACAGUUCCGUAAUUCUCUAUCUUGUUGGUUUUCCCCUGCUAGUAUUGGUUUAAAUAUUUGCUUUGUAAGGUUAACCAAGUCUAAAACCUUCAGGGUUGCAUAGUAAUCGGAUGGCAAGUGUCAUUUGGUAAUUACGAUUUUCAUAUAACUUAAUAGACUGAAGGAGCUUUGUAGUAAUAGUAAAGCUGUUUCCCUAUGACCUAUAGGUCACAAGUUCGAGCCGUGGACGCAACCACUAAUGCUUGUAUUAGGGUAGAUUGUCUACUUCACACCCCAAAGGGUACGGCUCUUUCCCCAGACCUUGCAUGAAUACAACGUGCUUGGUGCAUCGGAUUGCCUUUAUUUUUUCUUUUUUUAACUUAACCGGCUAUUUUGCUUCAAUAUCUUAAGAUUGCUGUCAAGAUAAGAAUGCUUAGUUGUCCGAUAAGCAAUAUUCAUCUAGAUUCAAAAUAUUCCUUCUUGCAUCUCCAACCUUUCUCCUGAAUACUAUGUGUUGUGGGUAGUGCAUUUGUUGGGCAGCUGGUUCGAUGUCUGCUGUUUUCUUGUUCCUAGCUUCUCCGAUGAGCUCAGUAUAUGGGCGAUAAAUCUUCUAGUUGAAGCUCCAUUUUGGAAUUUAUGCACUUCUCAUUGUUGGUAUUUGUCUUACUGAUGACCCUGCUGCAUUGUUAUGCUCUACAAAUCUUAUUAUGAUAUAUAUGCUUAGCUGUUGUCGUUAUCUUUCGAGAAUUGGUUGUGUCAUGGCCAAACUUAAUACAUUGAUAAAAUGAAACUUGUGAUAAAGUCAGGUAUUGUAUAUGAAGGUAUUCAAGUAAGGAUCUUGUACCUUCAUAUAUGCUGUGACUAUGGUGUUCCUGAGCCGAGGAUCAAUCGGAAACUGCCUCUCCACAUUCACAAGGUGAGGGAAUAAGGUCUGCGUACAGACUAGCUUCUUGUUGUUGCAUCGUUUACCUUCAUAUAUUACGAUAAGAUACCAAUCAGCUAUGCUCAUUUUUCUGUUUCUUUUCAUGAUUCUUUGCCAAUUAUCUAUUGUUUGAAUAUUUGCAAUGUCUGCGGUUUGAAUGCCUGCCAAAGUUGUUUGCUCCAAGUAAAGUCUGUGGUCUUUGUCAUAUAUAUGGCUAAACUUGGUACUCCUAUUUGUGAGUUUGACUCAUACAAAGUUUAAACACGAAAUAUUGGAAUGGAUUAUUAUAUUGUGUUUAAUAGUGAAGAGUACUAAGAUAAUAGAUUUACAUGUGAAAAAUAGAAAAAUUAGAUGAAAAAAUGUCACAUCAAUUUACUAAACAAAAUUAAGUAGAACUACUAAUUUAUGAAAACUACUAAUUAAAAUGGGACUAAGGAAAGUAGUUUUCAUGCGUAGUACAGUUUCUAAUCAAAUUUUUUUAACAGAGUGGAAUGGGAUGAAGAGCAAACUACACUUUAUCUUCCCUUUACCCUGUCUUGUUUUUAAGAGUUCAAGUUAUAUACAUUGUCAGUAUAAGAGCUUUUUAUAUUAUCAAAUUACGCUUAAAUUUAACAUUAUAAAUCUUAUAUUUUAAAGAGGCUUAUUUUGUGUUUCGGUCCUUUUCCAGAUCCCGCACAUAGAAAACUUGAUAGUACAGUUUUUUUCUACGCUAGUUUAUUUCUUGUCACGAUCUAAAAUUUACUAAAGGUCGUGAUGGCGUCGUCACCGCUGUCAGGCAAGCCAACCAAAAUACUUAAUUAAAUUCUUGUUUUAAAUAUUUUUUAAUUCACUAUUAUUAUACGUUUAAAUAAUACAUAGUAAAUUCCACUGGAUAGAUAAUGGAACAUUUUAACAACAUUAGAUAUUUCAGAACUCGGUGUCACAAGUGCAUGAGCAAUUUUUAAGAAAUAUUGUAAUACCACAACCGUCCGGAAUACAAAUUGGACAGAGGAUAAAUACAACAAUCUGGAGGAGACUCUGCUGGCUACGGGUCGUCCCAAGAAGUGCAACUCACCUAAGUCUCCGCAUCAACCAUGCUACUAUGCCAUUAAGCCACUAGCCAUAUAUAAACUUGUGCAACAAAAAUGCAUAGCAAGUGUAGUAUGAGUACAAAAACAACAUGUAUCCAAUGAGUAUCCCGUCUAAUCUCGAAGAAGUAGAGACGAGAGGUCGACUUUGACAUUUACUAAUGGUCCAAUAAUACAUUAUUAAUGCGAUAAAUCACGGAUUUAUUAUCGACAGUAAUUUUAGAUAAGUCAAGCAAUCGGUAAACGUUCCUUUUUAUUAAAAGGCUCCGGAUUCAUAAUCCAUUAAUUAACAAUCAUCUCACGUUGGGGAGAGCAGAUACCAAUAUCAACUCAUGCCGAGGUCGUACGGCCCGAUCCAACACAAAUGUAAAAUGUGCAUUGCCGAGGGUUGAAUGACGCGAACCAUAAGUGCAUCUAUUACCCUGCUCGCGAACCAUACAUGCGACACGGUCAAAUUUAAAUAAACAAUUAUCCUGCUCGUGAACUUUAUAUGCGAUGCAGGUACACAUUGAAGUACAUGCUCAAACAUCAAAUUAAGAAUUUAUCGGGGAAUAUUUAUCCAAAUAAAAACUAAUUCUCUUUUAUUGAUUUAAGAAAAUGAAGUUUAAUCCUCUUAGAAAUUUAUUUACCAAUUUGAUAGAAUUUAAGAAAUUCAACUAUCAAUAAGAUCACAGAUAUUUCAAGUAUAACAUGCUUUUAGGUCCUACACUAUCCGUACUUAUACUUAUUAGUAGCUACGCACGGACACUCGUCACCUCAUGCGUAUGUAGCCCCUACAAAUAGGAGCACAUAAUCAAUUAUUUCACCUAUGUGGAUAAUUUCCUCUUACAAGGUUAGAAAGGAGACUCAUCUCGCUCCAAAGAUCCAUAACCGAUACUCCACGUCCUUCCGAAGACUCGAAUCGAUGCUAAAUGCUCCAAAGCUAGCCAACAAUUAUGCAAUUUCAUUGUUAUAUGAUCAAUUACUCAACAAUCUAAUUUAUAACAAUUCCUGACCCUGAUCAAAAGGUUGACAAAAUUUCCCUCGGGCCCACGUGUCCGAAUUCCAAAAUUUUUGAAGAUAAAGUUUACCCAUAGCCUCAUGAACUCAAAUAUAUAGUUAGCUCUCAAUUUCAUGUUCAAAAUCGUGGUCAAAAUUCAAGAAUACAAAUUUUCUAGGUGUUCUUCAAAUCCCAAAAUUUCUACUAAUUUACAUGAUUUUCCAUGUUAACAUCUUGAUAUAAUCCAAGUAAUUAACUUGCAUAUGUGAGAAUCACUUACCUUGAUAUGGAUGAUGAAAAUAGAGCACCAAAAUCACUCCUUGGUCGGCUCCCAUUGAGGAAAAGAGAUAAAAUGAGACAAACCCAUUUCUUUACACUUAUACAUUGAUCAUACGACUCUUCUUCGUGUUCGCGAGACCCCUAUUGCAUUCGCGAAGUUAGAAAUUUUUCAAAAGCCAUUUUUGAGACUCCUCUUAGAUAGACUCUAGUAUAAUGGCCAUAACUUUUUGUACAAACUCCAAAUGACAAAUAGUUUAAUAUUUUGGAAACUAGAUACCAAGAUCUAUAACUUUCAUGUUUUGUUCAUCUUUCAAUUCCUUACAGAUUUUGAGAUAUAAGCUGUCAAAAUCAGCCCCGUGCAACACAAUUUCUUCUUCAUCUUCCCGGUCAUCCUAUAGAGUACCAGCAAUAACUUUUUGAACACAAAUUAAAUGCUAAAUGGUUUACUUUUAUGAAAAGUAGACACAAUAGUCUACAACUUUCAUUUUUGGAUCAUCUCCAAAUUCCUUAUAAAUUACCAGAUAUGAGCCUCCGAAGUCAGACCUGUGCAAUAGAGAUUUUCUUCUUCGCGAAUGCAAAGAAUAAAGUCCCUGAAGCAAAAUCCUUCUUCGCGAACACGAGAGGAUCCUCACGAACGCAAAGAAUAACACCAGACACCAGCAUCACCUUUUGCAAAACAGCUCGAAAUGAUUCAAAACCACCCUGAAACACACCCGAGGCCAUCGAGUCCCGUCCAAUCACGCAAACUAGUCCCAUAACACAUUACAGACUUGUUCGAGACCUCAAAUCAUAUCAAAUAAUGCUAAAACCAUGAAUUACUCCAAUUCAAGCUUUAUGAACUUUGAAAUUUCAAACUUCUAUUUUCGAUACCGAAACCCGUCAAAUCACGUCCGACUGAUCUCAAAUUUUGCACACAAUUCAUAUUCGACAUUACAGACCUACUCGAACUUUCGAAAUCGAAAUCCGACCCCGAUAUCAGAAAUUCUACUUCUGUUCAAUCUUCUCAAAAACCUUUAAAUUUCUAUCUUUAACCAAAUGACUCCAAAAUGACCUACGGACUUCCGAAUUCACUUCUGAUCGCACUUCCAACUCCAGAAUCACCAUACGGAGCUACUCCCAGACUCGGAAUCCCAAACGGACAUCGAUAACACUAAAAUGCACUUCAACCUAAACUUAUGAAAUUUCUUCCAAAAUGAUAACUUCCACAAUAUGCGCCAAAAUGCUCUCGGGUCAUCCAAAACCUGAUCCGGACAUACGCCUUAGUCCGAAAUUAUUAUAUGAACUUACUGGAACCUUUAGAUCCCGAUUCCGAUAUCGUUUACUCAAAAAUCUAAUUUUAGUCAAUUCUUUCAACUUAAAGCUUCCGAAAUGAGAAUUCUCUUUCAAAAUCAACUACGAACUUUUCGAAAUUUAAUUCCGACCAUUCGUGCAAGUUAUUAUACCUGAAGUGAAGCUACCCAUGGCCUCAAACUAUUGAACGACGUGCUAGAGCUCAAAACAACUGGUUGGGUUGUUACAUUCUCUCCCACUUAAACCUACGUUCGUCCUCGAACAUGUUAAAAAAUUCACUGGAGUUGUCCGAAAUCACUAUUUAACACCUCGUGCCCCUACCCGUGCUACUACAACCCAGUUGAGCUCAUUAGCUCGAUCAAUUAUGAAGAUAUUCCCUUUUAUUCAAGAAAAUAAGCUUAAAGCCAAUUCCAACAUCCAGAAUUCUUUGCCAAGAUUGCUUCCAAUAUAUGAACACCGUAUCAUUAACACACACAACACUAAAAUAUGACUGCAUACCUUAGCUGAAUUUACACCUUGCACCACUUUAUUCACAAGACCACAAUAAUAUUCUCUGAUCAAAUAAAUCAAAAUUCCUCAAAUCUGAUGCUUCUGUUGCUCUUCAUGACCUGCAUAGAUCUUUCCCUAACUUUUACAAUACCGCUGCGUAGUAAUUCAUAAUCAAUUGUCGAAUUAACAAAUAAUUGGGUCCAUACUCCUGACAAGAACCAUCACCUUAUCCUGAACCAAAUAACGGUCUUAGCUCCUUAAUAUACUUCAUAUGGUCAUAUUGCACUGAUCCUAAAUCCAAUGAUCUCAUCUCACCCAAUACGAACUGCUCAAGCAAUAAGACACCUGGACAUAAUCAAGAGUCUCAUAUGAUGCCAUAAUGUGCCAAUAAGCUACCAAUUCAAACACGAUACAAGGAAAAUGAAUUCUGAAAAGGAAAUCUAAUUAUCCCGCUCGCGAAUCAUACAUGUGACGCGGUCAAUAAAAUUGAACUGACACCCCUCUCGCGAAUCAUACAUGCGACGCAGACACACAGCUAAUAUGAGUCUUCCUCAGAAAAAUAGGACACAAAACACGUAAAUAAAUAUGGGGAACCGUACUCAACAUCAUAUUAUUGCGGCGCCAACCUGCUCCAAACAACAUACCCAUGGAGGCGUGCCACCCGAUCCACACAUAAAAUUUACAUAAUGAGGUACAUACCGAGCUAGAUUGCUCAUUACAACAAGAUACCGAAUAUCGGUCACAAGCACACUAAGUGCAUAAUACCAUCCCCGGGGAGACAUAUAGCACUUAUAAGCUACAAAACUCAUGCACAACUGGGGUGCGAUAUACGAUCUGAAUCUCAAGAGCCAUUUUGCUCGUAUAACACCAUCUCUACGCGGAACCUCAACACAUAAACAAUUUACCAAGCCAUCUCAUAACUCACAGAACGCAAUAUAUUGUUACAUGAAAUAACUGACGAUGAAAUAACACCCUGAUUACUCUUCCAUAAGGAGAGUAUUACUGAAAUGAACACAUCUAGCAUGAUAUAGAGCCCAUAUACACAUUUAAAUCCAUCCACAGACCUCAAAUUUAAUCCGAUCGCACUGAACUAGGCAAAUAACCUUUCAGAGGUCCAUAAUAACUCCCCUUCUUCUCAUAACACAUAAGGACAACCAUCAUAACCGGAGUAAUCAGUCACAGUCCACAACUCAAUAAAUUAAGUGCCCUCCAGGCAUCGAUUACCAAAUCAACGAUAUUGCCAUAAUCUUCAUUCUUGGUUUAACUCUUCAAACAAUCAAAUGACUAUAUGCCACACUUAUACAACCUUCCUGUGGGGCACGCUCCCAUAACCUUCUAUAAUAGACAACAAGUUUGUAUAUCCAAACCACCGGCCGCACUAACGCUGAAAACCGAUCAAGAAUCCUUAGACAGGAUGCAAAGCCCUUUUCACAAAACACCGAUAUCCGGUGAAGCUGAAGGCAUUACCAACUUACUUUAAAUAUCAAAACUUCUUUUCUACUUAUCCGAGCUCCUAACAUCCUUGUCAACAUCGAAUUGCAAUCUUGAUCCUUACUUCAAAUUUCGUACCACUCACUACACACGAUUUUCAUCAUAACUCCGGAACCGCUAAUAUAUUAACACUUCAUUAUAUAAAACAACUUUUCACUUAACUCACUUCAGGAGAACCAUAGCAACACACAUGUGAAUUCUCAUAACCGUAGAAUAUGCAAAUCUUUCAGUAGUGGUCUAAACCACUAUAACCUUUCCAGGAUCCGCGUACACAUUCAUGCCAUAAUAGAGCAUACUUCUGAAUAACAUCAAUUAUGGUGGCCGACAGGCCUCGCACGCGCCGCCACAAAUCAGUUGCAUAAUUUGGACUGAUUACUACCACCAAUAUGCCAAAUCAACUAUGCUAACCAGUCUAUCUUCUUCUAAUUUAUCCUUGAUUGCCUUAGAAAUAAUAACUCCAUUCAACACAUAACACACUCCAUCCGCACUCAUCUCGAGUGAUCGGGAAUCACGAGACCAUGUUGUCUAAAAUCCCACGAACCAUUUCGUACCCCCCAAUUGCUACACUGCAGGUCAAAACAUCAUAAAACAUUCUAGGCACCUUCUCAUAAGUUGAUGUAAACCUUGAUUCUUAACUGCACCUGUAAGCUCGAAAUCAUUAGGCACCAUACUUUACCUCUUUGAAUCCAUUAGGAGUUGUUGAGAGAUACCCAUUCUAACUUGGUCCCGAAUAUAAUCAACUUUAUGAAUCUUCUAGCACAUGAAUACCCUCUCGACGAAGCACCUGUCGGAAUCACUUCCCUUGAAACCCAUAUCUAUACAAGGCAUAAAUCCUGAAUCCUUCCUCAAGUCUGAACAUGAGCCAAUAAGAUCAACCAUGACACACCUUCACAAUUCCCUUGCUUAAAUCCCCUCUUAUGUUACUCCCCCUUAGCUGAAAUAACCCAUCAAUAUGCUACUAACCAGAAAUCUCAUAAAUAGACGACCAUGAAAUCCAACCUUAGGUUGUGGGACUCUCCCUCUUAGCUUGAAGCCACUAUUACACAACUCUGGAACUCACCAAGAUUCUUCCUCUCUUAUUGACAUGACUUUACGCAAUCAAAUUGCCAGAUUCCUUGAAAUCUUUUCGUUAAUAUCUCAGGAACGCUCCGAAUCUCUUGCAAUAUUGACAUAUUAUACCUCUUACCGAAUAGCCAUCAAAAUCCUUCAUGGAAGCUUCACCAACCACGUGACUGUUGACUUGCUCACUGGAAAUAACCAACCUGAGCUCGUGCUCAUUCACUAACUACACAAGUCCAUUCACUCAUUGUGGACAUCAAUUAAAUGGGUGACAAUACCUUCCGAUUCAAAUUUAUGUUGUAUCCUUCUCCAUAUCGAACAACUUCUUUCCAUAAUACCAAAUCUCCUGCCGCAUAAUGGUACAUACUUCAAAUUAAUCCGUAGGCCCAAAGUACCAAUUACUAUCAUUCUCAAAUCAUUCCAACUUUCCUCAAGGGUGUAGUCAUCCUACCACCAGACCCAUAUACAACUCCACCACUCUUCCACUUCGGCAAAACUUGCUCCUUUAAUCAACUACUCGACCUUCGCUUCUGAUAUAUGGCCUGCUAGAAAUUUUAAUCACCGCCUUGAAACUUCCCACAUGUCCUUUGUCAUAUUUUACAACUCAUUUGAUGCCUUAAUAAAAUCUACCUUUGUAGCACUUGAACCCACAAUUCGCAACUAACUUUAAACCUUUUCGGGGAUCAUCUUUCUUGAGCCAUCGACAUUGGAAACAUUGAUUCAAUCCUGAACCACCGCACCCCGCGAUCUCUGACAGUCUCUUCUUCAAUACUAUCUCACUAUAUCCUGCUCCGAAGGUAUCAUAACGUCGGUGAACUUAGUACAUUCAAUAAGGAUAAUGACUCCUCACUGUCACACCUCCAUUUGAAUAUCCACAACCCGGCGAAGGGCGCGGAUAAGGGAGUUUUUCCAAUUUAAGGACAAUCAAAACAGGAUUUAUUAAAAGAUUCAGAGUCGCCACUUGGGAGAUUUAUGGUGUCUCAUGUCACCGAUUUAAAUCCCGAAUCGAGGAAAGUUUGACUCUGUAUACAGUCUGCGAGCCGGAAAUUUGAGUAAGGAGUUCUGUUAACCCGGGAGAAGGUGGCAGGCAUUCCUAAGUUCCGUGGUUCUAGCAAGGACGCUCAACGAUCGUAUUCAGCUUAAAUUAUCUGAUUUUGAAAAACUAUGAACCUAUAUGCAAAUUUUAACUUUAUCCACUUUUAUUAUUGUUUUUGAAGAAAAUUGCAAUGUCGUUAAAACGUGCCUUGAACCACAUCACAUAAAUGCACCUGUGGUUUUUGACACAUUCCAACUUCAUUGAGAUUUGAGUUUGUUCCACAUAAAUGUGCACUCGAAUUUAGGAAAUUAAUAUUAUUAAGCACGCACCUAAAGCGACUAACAUAUUAUUAUCUUUUCGGGAAGUCGUGAAGUUUGCUAAACGGCAUGUCCCGAAUUUCCAAGUAUCUUAAUAUACCCAUUUAACGAGGUCGCAAUUUAUGGGUUUCAUUUGGUGCAGCGUACCUCAUUUUAUUAUUUAAAGAGCCGUCUUAAAGCAAGCUAGGAUUUUCUAUAGAGGCGUGCCUCUAAUAAGACCUAAUUAAUUAAUAUUAUGAAAUUCGGGCCUCGAAUUCAAGUCCAGAUUCAAAUAAAAGGGAAGAACCUCAUAAGUUGAACCUGCUACCUAACUCGAAAGCCCAAUCUUACAUUGCAAAAUUAAACUAACACUUGAAUAUGAAUUCGCGCUUUAGCAUAUUGGGUUACAAAUUCGGCCCAAGGAAAAACAAAGGUGAACUUAUUCAGCGUUUAUAAGAACCUACCCAGCAAAUUACAUGGGUUGAACUGGUCACUGAUACUUUGGCUCUUAGUACAUAGCUGGGCCCAAGUCUCAUUUUCAAGAGAACCUGUCACACUGAGCUCGUGAAUCAGCCAAAACCCAACCUAUGAUGUUAUUUAACUCUCAAACAUACCAAAACAAGAAGAAAAAUCACCUUUUAUAAAGAGCUGUCCAGUGUACAACAAGAUGUAUUGGCUAAGUGGGUCCUUGAUACAUGGUCCCAUUAUUGUGCAGCUAGGCCCAAAUCUCAUUUUUAUGAAUAAUCCUGGCAUGCUGGGCUUCUGAAUGAGCCCAAACCUCAUUUUCAGCCUUCAGAAGUACCAAUUCUAAACAAGCUGAAUCUAACGAUUUUUUAAAACAGAGAAAAACCACAAGAAUUAUUCAAAACGAAAGCGAGACAAUAUUUGAAUACCAAUUUCAAUACAUUAUCCAACUCGUUUGUAUACCAGCACAUUUAAUCCAGAAUUUAGCAGAAAUUUAAAGUAAUUACUGAAUCCUCCAACUAUCGUAACAGGCAAUAUACUUCUGAUACUAAAUUGUAAUUAACUCCUAGGUUCACAUUUCUGUAGGUAUAUAAUGAACGAGUCAAAGUAAUUAGCUCCUUGAAACUACAAAAAUUGCCUAGUUCGAUGCUAAUAUGAGUGUGCAUGCGACCAUUGGAUUCAGUUUCUAACCCAACCCCUAUUCCAUACUCAGGUUUAAAUUAAUAUUAUAGCCAAAACAAAAAUUAACUAUAACCUUCUAAAAAAAAGUCUAACAGUCCAGUUCAAAUGAAUACACAUCAACAGAAUACAAAAUUAAACUACACUAAACAAAUAUCAAUAUCAUUUGCCCAAACUACAGUCACACAACCAUCCAAACGAGCAUGCAUUGGAGAACCAAACUGGUAGUUGUAUUUUAUUCCAUUUCCAAUUCGAAGUUACAUCAAGGCAGUUUAGUAUGUGUACCUAAAUUGGGGUAAAAAUGAAACACCUAUGUGUAGGUGAUUAAGAGGUAAUAACAGCAGCAAAUCCACCAAACCGAUGCAGCAACAAAUCAAUCUCGAAACCCAGGAACAAACAAGGAUUUUUCUCAAAAUAAACCAGGAUCUACACAACUUUAACACAAAUGAUUCCAGGAUGAGUUCAAAGUGGUUGAUGCUAAUGGAACAAUAAUUUUUUUUUUGUGUUUUCAAGUUUUCAUUAAAUUUCCUAGAAUCAGAUAUGCCUUUUUUUGAUUCUUUGCUAUUCUAUUUGGGACUAAUUCAGAAUGAUUCUUUAGAGGUUGUUUUUCGUGCCUUUUCAAUCAAGAUAUCUAUGCCUUAUAGGAAAGUAUGCUAGGGCAAAGUUCACUUUUAUUCUUUUUCUUUUAGUCCUUUCAAUUUUCAGAUUUUAUACCAUCAGUCCCUCAAUUCUUAACUUGCUGGCCAAGUUAUAUCAAUUAAAACUUGUAGUUCGAAUUUGAACCCUAUUCUAGAAUGCUCUAGACUUAACUACAUCAUUGUGUUCUAUUUAGGACUAACUACACUACCCCUUUUCAAUUUGAGAUUUACUAAACUAGUCCAUGCUACACCCAAACCCUUUUACCUUGGUUUACAAUUAUCAGUUAUAACCAAACGUCCUAAUGUCUGAAUCAAUAGACCCAAAUACCCCUAAUUAGGAUCUGAAUUAACCAACUAACAAUUCAAAUCAGUAGGUACUACUAGACAAUUUAAAAGAUCAACAUAUGAAUCAACACUAACCUAAUACAAACAUCUUAAAACACUGAAUUAAUCCUAAAACAUGCCAUGAUUUCAAAAAUGAAACAAAACAAAGCAAGACUUAACACUAAAAAUCGAAGCAAACAUGGUUAACUAUAAACAAAAAUUAAGCCAACAAAAAUCUAACAGAAUUGCCAUUUUACACCAAUAAAAACAGAAGAGGUUCAAGAGAAGAAGAUCUAAAACAAUCACAAUGAGAACAAGUGAGACCAAAGAACGGCAAUGGUUUGCAGACUUACUCUAACAAUGACAAACUCAAGCGAGAUAUCACAAUACUGAAGAAUAACUCAACUUAAACAAAAAAUGAAGCAUCGACUAAGGCCAUAACAUAACAGAAAAGAGGAAACAAUGAAAAUUAAAGAAGACCAUAUUUAGACUAAAUAAACGAAUUACAAAACAAUAAUUGAAACUAAAAUUAACAGAGAGACUGAAAGACUAAGCUUAAACUUCUUGAGUCUUAAGAAUUUGCAUGCAUCACUUAAAGGGUUCCGGGAACCCUAAUUUUGACUCGACGAGGCAGUGAGGGCGUUUGAGGGCACAUAACCUUAUUUUUGUGGUGAAGAGAGUGAGGGUGGCUCAGAGGAACAUUUUGGUUGGGUUAAGAAACUGAGGUGAUUUUUAUUCGGGCUUUAUAUCAAUAUUUGAGUCGUUGGACCAUGGUUCGAAGGAAGUUGGUAUUAGAUUUGUGACGAGGGUGUAAAGGGGAUGCUAUGGUGUAUUUUUGGUGGCCUUCUAAGCUGGCGCCACCGUGGACGGCGGACCAGUCAAACCUUUGAAUGAAGAUUCGAGAUGAAUGGUUAAGAUUCGAAGGCUGGGAUUUAGAGUGUUGGAAAGAGGAGGAAGGGGAGAUUUAGGGGUGUAAAUUUGGGCGUCAUUGGAGACUUGCCGCUGGCGGCGGACAACAGAGAGGCGGUGGUUUUAAGGCGAUGAUACACCGGUGUAUUUUAGGGUUAAGGGGGACAUGGUACGAGGUUGAGUCUGGGGUGGGGGUGGGGGGGGGGGUUUNNNNNNNNNNNNNNNNNNNNNNNNNNNNNNNNNNNNNNNNNNNNNNNNNNNNNNNNNNNNNNNNNNNNNNNNNNNNNNNNNNNNNNNNNNNNNNGGGGGGGGGGGGGGGGGGGGGUGUUUGUAACACUUAUAUAGGCGUUACACCUCCACUUCUCGACCAUCUGAUCAAAGCAGAUCGACGACUCAAAUUAAUCUAAAGGAAAACUGCGUCGCUCUGGGCAUGGGGGUUGGACCGGGUAGUGUUUUGGGCUGGGCGGGUAUUUUGAACGGGUCAUGAUUUUUUAGGCUGAAAAUAUGGCCCAAAUCUGGUGGUCUGAUUUGUUAUUUGCCCUUUUUUUCAAUUUCAAAUUCUUUUAUUUGUUUUCUUAUUUUUCUCUUUUAUUUAAUUAAUUCCCAUUGUUUUAUUUGUUUUCAUUUUUAGGUUUUUCAAAUGCAAUAUAAAAAGGACAAGACCAAAUUUAUACUUUACUAAUUAAUUUCUAAAAGUAAUCUAAUUCUCAAAUUUAAAAAGAAAACUAAACAAAUGUAAAAAUGACCAUUUUGUUAUUUCUUUAUUUCUGCAAUAUUGAUUAACUAAUAAACCUAAGAAAAAUGUAAAGAUUGAGUCCUAAAUGCGAAUAUGCUAUUUUUGUAUUAUAAAGAAUAAUAUCAAUUUAAAAUGCACAAAAUUCAAACAAACGCAAAAUCUUGCAAUUAAUUCCUAAUAGAUCAAAUAAUAAAAGAAAAAUCCUAAUCUUAAUGAGUUCUAUAAGAAUAUUUCAGGCGAGGUAAAAAUCAGGUGCUCACAGCUGUCCCUCUUUGCUUGGGGACACGAAGGGUUUCCAUGUAAAGAUAAAUGAGUAAACGAUAGAUUUUUGUAUGCUCGACAUUCCAUGAGAAGCAUUUCUAAAACUUUAAGACCGAACCCUACUUCAAAGGUUGCCUUCAUAUCCUUGGCUACAAAGGAAUCAGGUAGUGUAGCUUGGAGUGUUUGGUAGUUGGGACUACCGAAGUUGUGAUUUUACUGCUGCUGUCGUUGCUGCUACUGCUACUGCUAGACCCCCUUAUUACACCAAAAAUAAAGAAACUAGACUAAGCUAUGAACUAUGGAUUACAAAAGAAUCUGUCUAUGUCUUCAAUCUUGCUCUUGAUCCUUGUUGCUUUGUAUUUCACUUCUUCUGUGUUUGUUGUCGAAUUGUUGGACAUAAAAUGUAUUCCCAUGUUUUGCGCNNNNNNNNNNNNNNNNNNNNNNNNNNNNNNNNNNNNNNNNNNNNNNNNNNNNNNNNNNNNNNNNNNNNNNNNNNNNNNNNNNNNNNNNNNNNGGGGGGGGGGGUGUUCAUGAUAACAAAGCUUGAAUCUUGAAAAAUAUUUCCUUGUACUAACAGGUAGGCGCCUAAUUAUCAAAGCUUGAAACUUGAAAAAUAAUCCCUUGUUCUAACAGGUGGGCGCCUGAUUACCAAAGCUUGAAACUUGAAAAAUAUUCCCUUGUUCUAACAGGUGGUUGCCUGAUUACCAAAGCUUGAAACUUGAAAAAUAUUCCCUUACUCUGACAGGUGGGCACCUGAUUACCAAAGCUUGAAUCUUUGAGAAAUAUUCCCUUGUUCCGACAGGUGGACGCCUGAUUACCAAAGCUUGAAACUUGAAAAAAUUCCCUUGUUCUGGCAGGUGGGCGCCUGAUUACCAAAGCUUGAACUUUAAAAAAUAUUCCCUUGUUCUAAAAGGUGGGCGCACGAUUACCAAAAUAAUCUUGAAAAAUAUUCCCUUCUUCUGACAGGUGGGCGCCUGAUUACCAAAGCUUGAAACUUGAAAAAUAUUUCCUUGUUCUGAAAGGUGGGCGCCUGAUUACCAAAACUUGAAUCUUAAAAGUAUUCCCUUGUUCUCAUAGGUGGAUUCCUGAUUACCAAAGCUUGAAACUUGAAAAAUAUUCCUUUGUUCUAACAUGUGGACGCCUGAAUACCAAAACUUAAACUUCGAAAAAUAUUCCCUUGUUCUGUCAGGUGGGUGCCUGAUUACCAUAGCUUGAAACUUGAAAAAUAUUCCCUUGUUCUAACAUGUGGGCGCAUGCUUAACAAAACUUGAAAUUUGAAAAAUAUUACCUUGUUCUGACAGGUGGUUGCCUGAUUACCAAAGCUUGAAUCUUGUAAAAUAUUCCCUUGUUAUGACAGGUGGGCGCCUGAUUACCAAAUCUUGAAACUUGAAUAUUUGCCAGAUUACCAAAGGUUGAACUUGAAAAAUAUUCCCUUGUUCUGACAGGUGGGCGCUUGAUUACCAAAGCUUGAAACUUGAAAAAUAUUCCCUUAUUCUAACAGGUGGGCGCCUGAUUACCAAAACUUGCAACUUGAAAAAUAUUUCUUUGUUCUAAUUACCAAAGCUUGAAACUUGAAAAAUAUUCCCUUGUUCUGACAGGUGGGCUCCCGAUUACCAAAGCUUGAAACUUGAAAAAUAUUCCCUUGUUCUGACAGGUGGGCACCUGAUUACCAAAACUUGAAUCUUGAAAAAUAUUCCUUAAGACAUGCUGCUUGUGUACUUGACCACAACAAAGCAAACAAAACAAGAGAAAUUCCUUCUGCCCCAGUUUUGUACUAGAUGCAUUUGUAAGUGUUAAUAAAAUCCCAUGACAACUUAAAAAUUAGGAUGCGUUCUCAAAAUGAAUUAUUUUCCAUUAUGUUUUGUUAUCAAAGUUAUGUCUGUCGGGGAUCUACUAGGGAUCGGAUAUUAAAGCUACUUCCCAUUAUCCAAGAGGGUCCUGACAACUUUUAACUAGAUGAGAGAUGUGUCUGCUGGGGAUUAGUAUUUCACGCUAUAUCUUAUUAUUCAAACGGGUCUUGAUGACUCUUGUUGGGGCAUGAUCGUGCCCGCCCAUGCCACCCGACAGUUCGUGUUUUAGGUUAAGUCCUAUUUUUCAGGAAGGUCCUGAAAACUCUUAAUUGAAUCCUACUUCAACAUGCAAGUCAUUUUAUGCUCUUUGCUAUCCAUGAUUGUCUCUAAUCUUUAAACAAGUCCCCUUUUCCGGGAGGGCCCUGAGGGUUCCAGAUUAAAUGCCAAUUCUAACUUCUUGUUGUUUCUGCUGGUGGUCAUUGUUCAUGAGGGUUUAGGUGACUCUUAAUGGGGAAAGUGUUUGCGCCUGCCCAUAUUACCAUUCCUGUUCGAGUUUUAAUCUGCACCCCAUUUCGACUUCCAUACCCCUUUUAACUUUCAAUUGUUUCUACUUGGGGUUGCUAAGUAAAGUUUGUCUCAAUAUACUUUUUGCUGAGGAGAACAUUUAUGAUGGACUAUGUUCCCUUUGAGUUAUAAUUGGGUCCCGUUUCCAGGUGGGCCCUGAGAUUUUGAUCAUACCUGCCAUGUGCCUGCUUUCCUCCGUGGAUGGCCCUCCUUAGGCUUUUCUGGAAUUUUUCUGCUCCUGUGUCAAUCAAAGAAAAUUUGUCAGUUUGAAAAAUGGUGGUUAGCUUGCGGCAUUCUUGUUGGGAGCGGCCUCCCCACUGUCGUAUUCCAUUGUGUUCAAGUUUCCAUGUUGAUGGUGAGUUGCCUGAUUUGGUUGGCUGACCCUCGAACCUUUAUGGCUUUACUUUGCUCGCCCAUUACCGUGUUACAUUCCUAGCCAUUUUGCCCCAAUUCUUGCACCUUUCCUGAGAUUACCAGGUCAAUGUAUUAUGUUUGGCUGACCCUCUGACCUUUGUGGCUUUACUCUACUUCCCAUGCUUAUGUUGUACUUUCGAUCCUCUUCCUAGAACUCUUACAUCCUUGCCUGAGGUUGCUGAGUCAACGUAUUACGCUUGGUUAAUCCCUGUAGCCUUUCCUACUUUGUGUUGUGCUUUUGAUUCUUUCGCCAAAAUCCUUGCAUCCUUUCUGAGAUUAUCCGGUCGGUGUGUUAUGCUCGGCUAACCCCUGACCCUCAUGGUUUUACUUUGCUUCCCCAUCUUUGUGUUGUGCUCUUUCAUUUUGCCAAACAUGUCUCUUCAAUCUAUUUUAUCAUUGAAGCUCUUGUGAAUCCCUUCCAUUGCUAUUUCAAACUUUGCUGUCUUUGUUACGUUUUGGGUAUCAUGUGCUUCAUCCCUUUGGGAGCUGAUAGUAAUCUUUGAAAGUUCUCUCCCGUUUGCUUAAACAAAAGAUUUUAUAGACUCGAAAGAAAAAUGAAAUGUAAUGACUCAGAACUGUAUUUAGGGUGAAGAAUUCCACAUUUAAUGACUGUUGAGGGGAAAAGGAAAGAAACUUAUCUGAGGAAAAACAAGUGGUUUUUCAUGAUCAUGACAUGCAAUUCAACCUAAUCGACCUAGUCUGUCCCGAUGACCGGCCUUCAAUCGCCAUGCUUUCGUUGUUGCGACCUUUGUAACCCCAUUCCUCCGACCAAACCCUAACUUUGCUUGACUUAGGGUGUUCAGAACAAAUUUCUACAAAAAGUUCUUUUCCAAUUGUUCGUUCCUUGCCUUGCCUUCGCCUUACGGUGCCCGUGAGGGUUUUCACUGAUAAGACUCUCUCAUUUUUAUUUCUCUCAAACUCUCGUCGCCUUACGGUGCCCAUGAAGGUUUUCACCAAUAAGACUCUCUCAUUUUUAUUUCUCUCUGCUGGAACUAGAGUGCCGUUCGAGGUAUGGUCCACCUCUCCUUGUUUUCCCCGACAUUUCGUACAGAUUGAUCAGAAGGUCUUUCUUUGGGCCGUAAUGUAGGCUUUUGGAUAAGGUUAGAAAUAAAGGGUGUGAAAGGAUCUACAAUCACUUUUAUGGGUUCAAAAUUUACAACUUUCGGAAUCCAAACCAACGCCAUUUCUGCCCCAUUUUCUUGCUUGGGGACUUUGGAUUUUAUUUGAAUAUGACCGAGCCGUGAGGCUGCCUACAUAUCCUUAAAAGGAAUCAGGUUAAACGUAGUUCCUGCCGAUUCCUUACUUUUACUAUUAUUUGUAUGUUUUCCUUUUCCUUCUUUCUUUCUGCUGUUCUUUUCUUCCUUUUUCUCUUUUUUUUUUCUUUUUUUUUCUUCUUUUUCUUUUCUUUUCUUUUCUUUGUUUUAAUUUCUUUUCUCUUUUCGUUCUUGUCCUUUCACUGCCUUUCUUAUGAUUGCGCUUCUGACUUUCGUUACUAAUUUUGAAAGAGGGGUAUGCAAGAAAAUAAUUGAAGCUCAAGAGGGUUAACAAAGGAUAAAAUUUUUAUAUAGCUGAAUAAAAUGCCUUCGUCAUUUCAAUCUCUAAAACAUGCCAAGUACAAACAAACGCCAAGUAUAGACAAUGAUUCAAACAAAAGAGAAUCAUACAUAAUAUCUUAUGACUGUAUUUGAAUUGAUAGCCAUAUUUAUACAUUUUCCUUCAACAUCUAUAGUCAAACAUAAUAUCUUUUGAAUGCAUCUGAAUUGAUAGCAAUUUCUACACAUUUUCCUUCCACAUUUGUUAGAUACAAUGCCCCAUUGGACAACACUUUUGACACGACAAACGGUCCUUGCCAGUUUGGAGCGAACUUUCCCUUUGCCUCGGCCUGGUGAGGGUGGAUUCAUUUCAACUCUAAUUGACCCAUUUCAAACUUUCUUGGACGAACUUUCUUGUUAUAUGCUCUGGCCAUCCUCUGUUGAUACAACUGGCUGUGACACACCGCUGCCAAUCUUUUCUCAUCAGUCAAACUCCAUUGCUCCAAAGGAGUUCUAACCUAUUCUUCGUCGUCGAUUCCAGCUUCAGCUGCGAUACGAAGGGAGGGGAUUUCAACUUCAGCCGGGACCACUGCUUCUGUGCCAUAUACCAAAAAAUGUAGGGUUGCCCCUACCGAAAUGCGGACAGUAGUGCGAUAGCCUAACAGGUCAAAGGGUAACUUCUCAUGCCAUUGCCUGGACCAUUCCACCAUUUUAGGAAGUAUCUUCUUUAUGUUCUUAUUGGCUGCCUCGAUCGCUCCAUUCGCUUUGGGGUGGUACGUGGUAGAGUUGCUAUGUGUAAUCUUGAAUUGCUGACAUACCUCUUUCAUCAAGUGACUGUAGAUAUUUUCCCCAUUAUUAGUGAUGAGAAUCUUGGGGAUUCCAAACCGACAAAUAAUAUUUGCAUGUACGAAGUCGACUAAUGCUUUCUUGGUCACUGCUUUGAUGGUUUUGGCUUCAACCCAUUUGGUGAAGUAGUCAAUAGCAACCGGGAUGAACCUGUGUCUGUUAGAAGCUGCUAGCUCGAUGGGCCCGAUAAUGUCCAUUCCCAAAGCAACAAAAGGCCAUGGUGCAGACAUCGUAUGCAAUUCAGACGACGGGGAGUGAUCAAAUCUCCAUGCACCUGACAUAGAUGACAUUUGCGCACGAAGCUGAUACAAUACCGCUCCAUGGUGAGCCAAUAAUAUCCUGCCCGGAGAAUCUUCUUUUCCAAAACAUAUCCGCUCAUGUGCGGCCCGCAGACGCCAGCACGUACCUCAUCAUGACAGCUGUCGAGUGCGCAGCAUCUACACAUCUUAGCAAACCAAGAUUCGGCGUUCUUUUGUAUUAUAUUCCUCCGCUGAAGAAAAACCCACUUGACAAGCUGCAGAUUGUUCUCUUCUGGUCACUCGUGGCUUGUACCAGGUACACACCCAUCCUGAUAUAUUCUUUGAUGUCGUGGAACCAAGGCUCACCGUCAAUCUCUUCUUCCACCAUGUUGCAAUAAGCAUGUUGAUCAUGGACCCGGAUAUGUAUCAGGUAGACAUAAGACUUAUCCGAAUGAUGUAACAUUGACGCCAAAGUAGCCAAGGCAUAAACAACCUCAUUGUGAAAUUCUGGGGAUGUUCCUGAACUUUAUUGACCAGAAUCGUUGACAAAGAUCAUGUAAGCAUUGCCGGUAUGGUAUGAGCUUUAAUCUCUUGUUUGCCACUCCCCUUGAAUUUGGUGUACCAGAAGGUCCGAGUCUCCCAAGACCAAGACUUCCUGGACNNNNNNNNNNNNNNNNNNNNNNNNNNNNNNNNNNNNNNNNNNNNNNNNNNNNNNNNNNNNAAAAAGAAAAGAAAAGGGAGUAAAGAAAAAUACCAAGACUUCCUGGACAGCCAUGUCUGCUGCUAAUCUCAAGCCCAAACAUGCCUCAUAUUUUGCCAUGUUGUUGGUGCAAUAGAAUCGGAGUUGAGCCGUGACUGGGUAAUGAUGCCCUUCUUCAGAAAUGAUCACUGCUCCUAUCCGACUCCGUUCAUGUUGGAAGCCCUAUUUAAAAACAAUUUCCAUCUCUAUUUCUCGCCCCGUUCCAUUUUGAUCAAUUUGUAUCACUUCCUUGUCCGGGAAGUAUGUGUUUAAGGGCUCACAUUUUUUGUCUAUCGGAUUCUCAGCUAAUGAUCAGCCAAUGCUUGUGCUUUCAUGGCAGUCCUAGUUACGUAGACAAUGUCAAACUUAGUGAGCAAGAUUUUCCAUUUCGCGAGCCUUCUUGUAGGCAUGAGCUUCUGGAAAAUGUACUUCAAUGGGUUCAGACGUGAGAUGAGAUAAGUGGUAUAUGAUGAAAAGUAAUGCUUUAACUUCUGGGCUACCCACAUCAAGGUGCAACAUGUCCUUUCACGAUGAGUAUUCUUAACCUCGUAGGACAUAAAUUUCUUGUUGAGGUAGUAUAUAGCCCGCUCUUUCCUCCCGGUGACAUUGUGCUGACCCAACACGCAUCCAAAUGAGUUGUCCAAGACUGUCAAAUAUAAGAUCAAGGGUCUUCCUGGUUCUGGCGAGACCAACACCGAUGGGUUCGACAAAUAUUCCUUUAUCUUAUCAAAAGCCUCCUGGCACUCUCCCGUCAAUUUCACCGCAACAUCCUUUUACAAUUGCUUGAAGAUGGGCUUGCAAAUGGUUGUGAGCUGAGCAAUGAACCGACCGAUGUGAUUCAAUCUUCCCAAUAGACUAAUCACCUAUGUUUUCUUCCUCGGUGGCGGGAGUUCCUGUAUAGCUUUGAUCUUUCAUGGGUAUUGUUCAAUGCCGUCGACUGACUAUGAACCCUAGAAACUUUCCUCAGGGGACCCCAAAUGCGCAUUUUGCCGGGUUGAGUUUGAGAUCAUACCUGUAGAGCCUCUGGAAGAAUUUCCUCAGAUCUUUUACAUUAUCGGAUUGCUUUCUGGACUUCAUAAUCACAUCAUCCACAUAGACCUCAAUUUCUUUAUGCAUCAUAUCGUGAAAAAUGGUUGUCAUGACCCUCAUAUAUGUCACCCCGGCGUUCUUCAAACCAAAAGGCAUGACCCUAUAGCAAUAUGUUCCCCACCGUGUUAUAAAUGCUAUUUUCUCUGCAUCUUCUUUAUCCAUCAAGAUCUGGUGGUAACCUACUUAAAAAUCCACGAAUGACCCGAUCUCAUUCUUCGCACAAUUGUCAAUCAAUAAGUGAAUGUUCGGCAGGGGGAAGUUGUCCUUCGGACCUGCUUUAUUGAGGUCACGAUAAUCAACACACACCCUGGUUUUACCAUCCUUCUUUGGUACGGGCACAACAUUAGCUGACCAGGUGGGAUAUUGUGUGACUCGGAUAACUUUUGCCUCAAAUUGCUUGGUCACUUCCUCUUUGAUUUUCACGCUCACAUCAGUUUUAAAAUUUCUCAACUUUUGUUUGACGGAAGGAUAUGUUGGGUCGGUGGGCAAUUUUUGAACCACCAAGUCAGUGCUUAAUCCGAGCAUGUCAUCGUAAGAGCAUGCAAAGACAUCUUUGUAUUCGAGAAGUACUUCAAUUAUCUCUUUCCUAAUUUGUGACUCCAGAUGGACACUUAUUUUGGAUUAUCUAGGGCUCCCUAAAUUGACUGCUUCUGAAUCGUUCAGGUUUGGUUUGGGUCUGUCCUCAAAAUUGGCUCAACUCUUUACUAAUGUCAACCCAUGCUCCUUCAUCAUCGUGCUUUGGCUCAUCCUCAUGCUCUAUUUCCUGAAUUAUUAUUUCUAAACUAGACAAAUUUUUAAGACUGGGCCAAAGAGUCUUUAUGCAUGUCAGAUAGUUGGAAUUAGAAUAAAAAUAAUUGUACAAAAAAGAAAAGAAAAGGGAGUAAAGAAAAAUGGGAACUAUUAGCACUGCUGGAAAGGAAAUUACAUUUCAUUAGAAUCAAAAGAUAACAGAGUUUACACAUCCAAACAGACAGAAAUAACAAUUGAAUUAACAACUCUGAAACUAAUCAAAACUAGACUGAAAGAAUAAUCAAAGUCGACUACCACGACUCCCUCCGGGUGGGAAGAGGAGUGGCUUCCCAGUUGUUGACUUUUACACAUGCUUCCACAAACUGCACAUCUGCCCUGAUCGAUCUUUCUCCUUCCUCAACAAUGUUUACCUCAUCGAACAACCUUUCUAAUCCCUAAUCCAAAUCCACAUCCGUGUCAAUCAGUGGACUGGGAAUAUUUGGCAUUGGGCACUUGCUAGUACUAGGCUUGAAAAACGAUCCGAACAACCUUGAGAUGGGCUUUGGGAGGGCCCAGGCCCUCUACUUUGACUUUCUGUCUUGCCUUAUGCCCGUAGUUGUAGGCUUGAACUCUAAACCAAAAGUGUCCACAUUUUUGGGGAGAGACACUGGUUGCACGAUGCCUUGUAGAGAAGCACCCAACCCCUUGCCGGGCAUGAAACCAUUCUUCAUUAUCUGUAAAGCCACCAUGGCCGGCGCAGUUUCUAUUUUUGGAGUCAUGACAACCUCACCUUAUGGGAUCUUCUGAACCGACACCGUAUCAAAUACCUGGUAUACUCAUGGCCCUUUUCUGUCUUCAGAUCUGAAGCCUCUAUGAUUGACGCGGCUGCUAUCCUGGGAGUUUUGACAACUUCUCCUUCUGGGAUCUUCUCAACUAUACCGUGUCGAAUACUUGGUAGACACAUUGGCCUUUGUUGUCUUCAGAUUCAAUAAAAGGUACAAUAGCAUCACCUGAAACACACUGGUUAUCUUCACCGUGCACCAUAAUCUCUUGCCUGUCCUAUUCAAAUUUGACCAUCUGGUGCAAAGUAUAUGGCACUUGGUUGCGUAAAUCCAGGGCCUGCCCAACAACAUGUUAUAAGAAACUAUCACGUCCAGCACUUGAAAUUCCAUGGUGAACUCAACGGGCCUUAUUGUCAGUUCCAGCACUAUUUCCCUACUGAAUCUUUGCCUCCGCCUUCGAACCCUCGAACAUAAAUGUUUUUCUUGUGGAACCUUUAAUUGUCCACCUUCAGCUUGAUUAACGGGGAGAGCGGACAAAUAUUUGCAUAGGACCCGUUGUCAACUAGAACUCGGGUGACCACAGUAUCGUCACACUUCAUAGCCAAAUAAAGGGCCCGAUUAUGCUCAGUGCCUUCCAUGGGCAGCUCAUCAUCAGAGAAAGUGACCCGAUUUACCUCGAAUAUCUUUCUUGGAAUCUUCUCCAAAUGAUUCACUAUUAUCUUGUCAAGGACGUAGGCUUCGUUCAAAAUCUUCAUCAGCGCCCGACGGUGUUCAUCUGAAUGGAUUAGUAUGGACAAUAAGGAGAUCUAAGCCGGUGUUCUCCUUAAUUGCUCUAUGAUGGAGUAGUCCUGCAUUUUCAUUUUCUUCAGGAAUUAUUCUGCCUCUUCUUCUGAUACAGCUUUCCUCACCGAUUCUGGGUUAUCCUCAGGGAUCGUGCUUUUCCUCAACUCCUCAGGGGCGAAGUAUCUCCCUGACCGAGUCAAAUCCCGGGCUUCACAAACUUCUUCCCUAGCUUCCUUUCCUUUGUACUUCACUAUUGCUUGUUCAUAUCUACAAGGAACAUAUUUUCUAUUGACGAAUGGUGGUUGGGUUACUGAUUUUAUAAUGGCAGGCUCUAUGUGAGCACCUUCCAUAUCUACGACGGGUUCCCUGGCUGCCCUGGGUACCAUCACUUUUGCCUUUUACUGUAAUCGUGCAACGGUGCAUGAUGCCCUCCCUUGAACCACAAUACGUUUGUUGUCUAUUUCCUUUGUUUUUGUCACUGACUUCUCAAUGCUCAUACUCUCAAUAGGCUUGACUUCGGUGGAUUUGAUCAUCAUUACUGUUUGUGAGGGCUUUUUAGACUCUCACUCUUUUUCCACGAGCUCAAUCAUGUUGGUCUCAUGAUGGGCCGGAAAUGGGUUUCGGUUAAUGUUGAGUGCUUCUGGAGCCUGCACUUCAAUCGUGUGGGAGUCAAUAAGUUCCUGGAUAGCAUUACUCAAAUGCUAACACGUUUUGGUAUCAUGCCCCGGUGCACCAGAAUAGUAUUCACAGCUGACCGAAUAAUCUAGAUUCUUCGGAGGAGGGUUUGGCAAUUUUUCUUCGAUUGGUCUCAACUUAUCUAGUUGUCGCAGCCGCUGGAAUAAACUAGUCUAGGAUUCUAAAAUGGAGUGAAAGUCUUCUUCUUCUAAUCCCUUUCAUUCCUCAAGACUGGAUUGGCUCGGAAUGCGGGUUUCGAGGGUUGUUUGAAGACUAUUGGAGGUGGGUAAUGAAUUUGUGGAUUUGGGUAGGUAUUUUAUGGGGCUGGCGCACGCCAUUGUACGUGGGUGGGAGGUUAGUUACACGCUUGUGCAUGAUGUACUGAGAAGCGAUGUUCUAACGGUGGAUAGUAAUGUUGUGGUGGGCUGUAUGGAGUGUGUGUGUAUGUCUGGUGGUGAGGACGGGGUUGGGUGUAAUGGGAUUGGGCACGAGGCCUAGACCAAAUUCCCUACUCAACUGUUGCUACUUUCUUCUUCUUCUUCUUCUUCUUCUUUCCAAAUGUUCCCCCGGGUCCACCCUAGAUGGCCUGAGUGAUCACCUUGAUGGCAGAGUAGCUCACGAUCUUGUUGGAUUUGAGGCCUUCCUCGACCAUACUCCCUAUUUUAACUAUCUCGUUGAAUGAUUUACCUACUACUGACACCAGAUGCCCGAAAUAGGUAGGUUCCAGAGCUUGCAGGAAAUAAUCCACCAUCUCACCCUCCUUCAUUGGAAGAUCAACCUUGGUUGCUUGUUCUCUCCACCGGAAAUCGUAUUCUCUGAAACUCUCGUUGUGUUUAUUCUCCAGUUUUUUCAAGGAUAGACGAUCCGGGACAAUUUCGAGAUUAUAUUGAAAGUGACAACGCUUGUGCCAGGUCAUCCCAAGUAUACCACCGACUGUGAUCCUGCCGAGUGUACCAUUCCAAUGCCGACCCACUUAAGAUUUGGCUAAAGUAUGCCAUUAGCAAUUCUUCUUUUCCCCCUGCUCCUCUCAUUUUGCUGCAAAACCCCCUUAGAUGCGCCACAUCGUCAUGUCCAUCAUAUAAGUCAAAUUUAGGCAUCUUAAAACCUGGAGGCAACUGCACAUCUGGAAAUAAACAAAGGUCCUUAAACGCCACACUCACCUGGCCACCUAUCCCUUGCAUGUCCCUGAACGAUUGUUCUAAACUUCUGACCUUUCUGAGCACCUCCUCUUGCUCAGGAUUUUUGAUACGCUUUUCGACUCUCAUUGGGAUUUCAAAAUGGGGAGCAUAGGAAUAAGGUUUAUGGGCUUUGUAAGCGGGUUCUUCUGGAUAGUAUUGGUUGUCGUAAGCUUGAAGCAAGGGCUCACUUGAUGAUCUAUGGAGUGCGGGAGGAGGAGGUGCCACAUAAAUGGGAGCAAUUGGCUUUAGGUAGUGGAGCUAGGGGUGGUUGAGAGGUCGUACCCUUGUGCUGCGAGUAGACAGGAAAGCUUGGGGUGGAUUAGUGGUGGAAUAUGAUGAGCGACUUUGGGUAGUGGAGAUGGGGGUGGUUGAGAGGUCGUACCCUGGUGCUGUGAGUAGGCAGGAAAACUUGAGGGUGGAUCAGUGGUGGACUGAUCAUGAGCUUGGGCCAGUGGUGGAAUGAAGGCUGGGUUAGCAAGAUAGGUUGGGGGUGGCUGUCCUUUUGCCCAUGCCCGAUACAUCUUAGCCAUUUGUUGUUUUAGUUUGUAUAUUUCCUCCUUCAUGGCAUCAACGUCCAAUUCCUCUACCUAUUUCGAAGGGUCAAUAAUGCUAACAUCGGUUUCCUGAUUGGACAUGACUUGCUUGCUCUUAGAACACAUGUUGUAGGAGUGGGUUGCUAGAAUGCCGCAAGUACUAACCACAUGUCUAGUCUGAAUGCAAAAAACACCAAAAUUUGUUAAUGGUUAGGUUUUGACAUGCAAGCGGCCAUAUAUUUGGGGGGGGGGGGGGAAUGCACCUAAANNNNNNNNNNNNNNNNNNNNNNNNNNNNNNNNNNNNNNNNNNNNNNNNNNNNNNNNNNNNNNNNNNNNNNNNNUUUGGGGGGGGGGGGGUGAAUGCACCUAAACAAAGAUUGGUUACUACAUGCAUCGGUUGCUUGCGUCAUCCCGACUUUCCUUUUUCAUUUGCAAUGCCCUUUUUAGUUUUAUGCUCUUACUCACUCCUAUUUUUUUCUUCUUUGUUUCUUGCCUUUCCUCUGCUUUUCUCUCCCGUUCUCUCCACCUUCGUUUAUUUUCUCUUUUAUUUUUCUUUAUUUGGUUACGGUUGAAUCCUUUGUAGAUUGCCUACGUAUCAUGACUCCGCAUUAAUAUGGCCGAGUGUAGUUCUGGCAAAUAAAAAGUGAAGAAACAAUAAAACAUUUUGGCAUUCUCCAUUUUCAUAAUAACAAGCUUUGGUUACAAAGACUCGAAAAAGUGACAGAUUUGAACAAGAAACUAGCAAAUUCUGAUGAAAGAGGACUACAGACUCAAAGAUCAACUAACCUUGCGUAAAAGAAAAUACAGUCUCCAAGACGAACUGAUAGGAUUUAAGGUAAAUACAAGCUCGAGAAAUCACAAAUACAUUAGGGCUUCAAUUGCUCCUAGGACCUGCGAGGCAUCGUUCGGCCUUGCUGCGGGUCGACGAGCUAAAUCCCCCUGGAGGUGAAGGAGAUCUUCCAUUACGCGGCGAACAAAAAGCAUCGCAGUGGCAAAGAACAUAUAUCUAGGUAUAUCCUCACAGCUUCUACACUUCAUUGGAUGCAAUGGGCGAUCCUUUUGAUUCUUUCUCGUAUGGCACCUUUCUAUUGCAAUAAGUCUGCUCAGUUCUGGCCCCCAAAGUUUGUUCGGCUACCCAAUUUUGUUCUUGAAGUGGUUGCAAAUCCCAUUCCAAUUGCGCCAAUGUUGUGUAACAAUGUUCGCUUUCAAUUUUGAACUCUUUUGCCUGUUUGAUCAUUUUGUUUUCUGCGAUGAUGACCCUUUUCUUUAAUCUCGCAACCUCACCGUCGAACUCUUCUUCUAUAUUCUUAACCAGACGUGUUCGUUCUGCCGCAUUUUCAGCCAAUUGUUUUCAAGCCCUAGCUAAUUCCCUUUCUACUUUGCUCAAAUCAAAACUGUAGUCAUUCACCUUCUAUCUCAGGCUGUCUAUAAUUUUUGUGUCCUAUGCACUUCGGUUGGGGUUUUCCGCUGCUACUUUCUUUUUUUGAAUUGGGGCCCGAAGGGCUUCAUUUUCUUUGACCAGUUUCUUCUUUUUGCCUUCAUCUGUGGAGGCCUGCUAAUCUUUCUCAAAUUGCAAAUUCAUGACCCGCUUCUCCAAUUUGCAUAUUGUAGCCCUGUACUCGUGUCUUUAGCCAACUAGUCCCACUGCUUUUGCGAUGCUUCAACGAACUCCUAGAGAUGAGGCCUCUUGGCUGGCCUUUCGAACUCAAUUUCUAUCCUGUACCAGGUAAGGUAUCCUGAUGACACAUCGCCUCUAGACCGAUCCUGUACACAAGUUUUUGCUGUCAGGUAUUGGCCUUCAUUCCAAAUUUUGCGGACCGUUGCUUCGGGGAACUGGCUAUCAGGUCUAAUCUCGACUACCUGGAUAUUGUGAUCUUCGUCUUUUGGUGCUAUCUGGCACCUCCCGAGCUAUCUCAAGACCUGAUGUGGGGCAUAAGGCUGGAUGCUCCUAAGACUCAUCAGAAGGAAGUGAGGCUCCGUUGCCGGCAUGUAUAUGAUCUUGUCCACAGACAACCAUCCCAGCGUCCACUCUAUUUGGCCGGCGGUGAGGGACCGAAGGUAAGAUAUCCAUUUUGUUACUCCUUAGGGCAGGCUGAGCCCUUCAAUCCUUGUGUAAAAUUCCUCCAUACAAGUUUUCCCCGCUGACCCAUAGCUCAUAAACUGAGGAUGGUGUCAUAGAUGAAGGGACCGAAGGUAAGAUAUCCAUCUUGUUACUCCUUAGGGCAGGCUGAGCCCUUCAAUCUUUCAUCUGUGGAGGGCAUCAUUUUUUUUGACCAGUUUCUUUUUUCGCCUUCAUCUGUGGAGGCCUGCUAAUCUUUCUCAAUUGCAGUCAUGACCCGCUUCUCCAAUUUGCAUAUUGUAGCCUUGUACUCGUGUCUUUAGCCAACCAGUCCCACUGCUUUUGUGAUGCUUCAAUGAACUCCUAGAGAUGAGGCCUCUUGGCUGGCCUUUCGAACUCAAUUUCUAUCCUGUACCAGGUAAGGUAUCCCAAUGACACUUCGCCUACCGAUCCUGUACACAAGUUUUUGUUGUUAGGUAUUGGCCUUCAUUCCAAAUUUUGCGGACCGUUGCUUCGGGGAACUGGCUAUCAGGUCCAAUCUCGACUACUUGGAUAUUGUGAUCUUUGUCUUUUGGCGCUAUCUGGCACCUCCUGAGCUAUCUCAAGACCUGAUGUGGGGCAUAAGGUUGGAUGCUCCUAAGACUCAUCACAAGGAAGUGAGGUUCCGUUGCCGGCAUGUAUAUGAUCUUGUCCACAGACAACCAUCCCAGCGUCCACUCUAUUUGGCCGGCGGUGAGGGACCGAAGGUAAGAUAUCCAUUUUGUUACUCCUUAGGGCAGGCUGAGCCCUUCAAUCCUUGUGUAAAAUUCCUCCAUACAAGUUUUCCCCGCUGACCCAUAGCUCAUAAACUGAGGAUGGUGUCAUAGAUGCUCGGUCAUCCAUAUUUGCAACAAUAGAUUGCACCCCUUAGAGAAAUCUUUCCCGGUCCUGCAAGUUGUGAGAGCACAAAAGAUCUCAGCUACUAUAAUAGGCGCGAGUGUGCUUUUGGCUUGGGUGUGUAGAGUGCUGACAACCCCUGCUAUUUUUAUGUCGAUGUUCCCAUGCUUCAUUGGAAACACCAGAAUCCCGAGGAAAGCCACCAUAAAAGCGAAACGUCUAUGUUCUUCCCAUUUGACGCAGUUUCCUUUGCUGCAGAUUUUGUUCUCUGGUUUGUUGAACCCCCCUAUGUGACCAUAUUUGCUAUGCAGGAAUGAAAAAGUACAAAACCCUGUUGCCAAGUUCGAGUUCUGUACCACUCUGCUUAUCUUCAAGGUAUCUAAGAAUUAUGUACAGCAACAGUUCUUGGGGCAACUAAAUACUUGUGUCUCAAAGGAAGCUCAACAUCCCCAAUGUACUCGGCUAUUUCUUCUAAGGUCAGGUUAAGUUCAAAAUCUGAGAAGUGGAACACAUUGUGCGUCGGGUCCCAGCACGUGACCAAUGCCCUUAUGAUGUCUCUCCGGGGUAUAAUCUCCAAUAGCCCAGCAAGGCCCCCCAAAUAUUUUUUACCUCGUCUUGCUCUUCUCUACCUAGAUCAUUCCACCACAGCUGCAACUCCAAAGGGAUUCUGCUUAUGAAUGAGAAAGGUUCGUUUUGGAUUGUGCUCAUCCUACACAUUUAUUAAGGCGAAUUAGUAACUUAUGAUUUUAUUCUGUUUGACUUCAAAAUCAAGAUUGACCCCCUUCUUUUGUGAAACUUGUUUUCUAAAACUAGGAACCCAGUUCGCAGAUACGGCCUUUCAACACUUCCUAAGGAAAUUUAUAAGGUUGUGCCCAGUAACUGGCCAAAAUUAAAAUAAAAUUAAAGGUGGCCGCUUGUGCAAAAUCAGCCUUCUAGCGUCCAUUUCGGCAACAUUCGGCUAUUCUUGACAAUAACGACAUCACCUUACGUAUUACAACAAUACAACAAUUAUUUUUCAUUUUCGGCUAUUUUCCUUAUUAAUAUUUUUGCAAAAAGGAAAUUGGACCCGAGGGGGGUUGCCUACGUAUCUCACACCCUGUGAGAAUCAAAUAAGCGUAAUUUGGGCAGAUAAAGCAAAAGCAAAUUUUUGAAAACAGACUCAUUGUUUUUCAUAGGCAAGUAAAUAAACUAUUGCUAAAAAUAAGACAUUUUCCUUUCUCUUUUUUUUUUUGUUUUUUAUUUGCAAAUAAACUAUUUUUGAAAGCAAAAUUCCAUUCCCCUUUUCUUCCUUUUUUUUUCUUUUUUUCUUUUUUUGUUUUCAUUUUCUAAAAUAUCCAAAAGAGUUUUGACACUAUUUGGACAUUGGAUUUCCAAGGCAGGUGGUUAACUUUCCUUACCCGUAAAAAGACGGUCGACAUGCAAAUCCAAAAAAAAUAAAUGCACAAGUAAGAUACAUGAGGAUGGUCCAUUAUUCCGGUUACACCUGUUCUAGACAGGUCCAACCCCUGUGUUGAGUCCCUUAAGUCAAAUGCAUGAUGCAGAUAAGCGUUCCUACUAGGGAUCCGUCAUGAGGUUAAGUUAUUCUAUGUUUAAAACCUGAGUAUUUGUUUCUAGACUGUUUACCUAAGCGGACAACUCGAGUCGAGGAGGGGGCUACGUGCCGGGGACCUGCAAGAUCAUCCGGCUUAGUAACUUGUCCGAGCCUUUUUCUUAUUUCAAGGUAUGACACUAACAGAAUAUGGAGUCUCGACCAGCGAGCACAUCCACUAAGAUAAGAAGAGAAGGGUUUGGUAACAGUUUAUAUAUACAUUUCAAAUAAUAUCAAAGCGUUAAAAGCUUAAUUUGCACAUUAAGUCAACAUGUAAAAACAAAAAUCAGAUAAUAAACGAAGCCAAAUACAACAAUUAUUCUAAGCUCAAAUUCUUGAACCCUGAACCAGAGAUUCUGGAUUCAAUCCCCAGCAGAGUCGCCAGAGCUGGCAUACCUCCUUUUGAAUAUCCACAACCUGGUGAAGGGCGUGGAUAAGAGAAAAUUUCCAAUUUAAGGACAAUCGAAAUGAGAUUUAUUUAAAUGAAUCAGAGUCGCUACUUGGGAGAUUUAUGGUGUCCCAAGUCACCGGUUUAAAUUCCAAAUCAAGGAAAGUUUGACUCUGUAUACAGUUUGCGAGCCAGAAAUCCGAGUAAGGAAUUCUGUUAACCCGGGAGAAGGUGUCAGGCAUUCCCGAGUUUCGUGGUUCUAGCACGGUCGCUCAACUGUCAUAUUCUGCUUAAAUUAUCUGAUAUUAAACAAUUAUGAACCUAUGUGCAAAUUUUAAAUUUAGCUACUUUUAUUAUUAUUUUUGAAGAAAAUUGCAAUGUCGUUAAAGCGUGCCUUGACCCAUGUCACAUAAAUGCACACGUGGUUUUUGACACAUUUCAACUUCAUUGGUAUUGGGAUUUGGUCCACAUAUAUGUGCACUCGAAAUUAGAAAAGUAGUAUAAUUAAACACACACCUAAAGCGACUAACGUAUUAUUAUCUUUUAGGGAAGCCGUGAAGUUUGCUAAACGGCAUGUCCCGAAUUUCUAUGUAUCUUAAUAUACACAUUUAACGAGGGCCACGCAAUUUAUGGGUUUCAUUUGGCGCAGCGUACCUCAUUUUAUUAUUUAAAUACCCGUCUUAAAGCAAGCAAGGAUUUUCUAUUGAGGCGUGCCUCUAAUAAGACCUAAUUAAUUAGUAUUAUGAAAUUCAGGCCUCGAAUUCAAAUCCGGAUUCAAAUAAAAGGGAAGACCCUCUUAACUUGAACCUGUUUCCUAACUCGAAAGCCCAAUCUUACAUUGAAAAAUUAAACUAACACUGGAAUUUGAAUUCGCGCUUCAGUAUAUUGGGCUACAAAGUUGGCCCUAGAAGUAAAAAUUAUUCAGCUUUUAUAAAGGCUGUCCAGUGUUCAACAAGAUGUAUUGGCAAAGUGGGUCCUUGAUACAUGGGCCCAUUAUUGUGCAGCUAGGCCCAAAUCUCGUUUUUAUGAAUAACUGUGGGCUCCUGAAUGAGCCCAAACCUCAUUUUCAGCCUUCAAAAGUACCGAUUCUAAACAAGCUGAAUCUAACGAUUUUUUAAACAUAGAAAAACCACAAGAAUUAUUCAAAACGAAAGCGAGACAAUAUUUGAAUACCAAUCUCAAUACAUUAUCCAACUCGUUUGUAUACCAGCACAUUUAAUCCAGAAUUUAGCAAAAGUUUAAAGUAAUUACUGAAUCCUCCAACUAUCGUAACAAGCAAUAUACUUCUGAUACUAAAUUGUAAUUAACUCCUGGGUAGGUGAUUAAGAGGUAAUAACAGCAGCAAAUCCACCAAACAAAUGCAACAACAAAUUCUCGAAACCCAGGAACAAACAAGGAGUUUUUCUCAAAAUAAACUAGGAUCUACACAGCUUUAACACUAAUGAUUCCAGGAUGAGUUUAAAGUGGUUGAUGCUAAUGGAACAGUAAUUGUUUUUUGUGUUUUUAAGUUUUCAUCAGAUUUCCUAGAAUCAGAUAUGCCUUUUUUUUGCUCUUCUAUUUGGAACUAAUUCAGAAGAAUUCUUUAGAGGUUGUUUUUCAUGCCUUUUCAAUCAAGAUAUCUAUGCCUUUAUAGGCAAGUAAGCUAGGGCAAAGUUUAGCUUUUAUUCUUUUUCUUUUAGUCCUUUCAAUUUUCAGAUUUUAUACCAUCAAUCCCUCAAUUCUUAACUUGCUAGCCAAGCUAUAUCAAUUAAAACUUGCAAUUCGAAUUUAAGCCCUAUUCUAGAAUGCUCUAGACUUAACUACAAUAUUAUGUUCUAUUUAGGACUAACUACACUACCCCUUUUCAAUUUGAGAUUUACUAAACUAGUUCUCACUACACCCCAACCCCUUUUACCUUGGUUUACAAUUAUCAGCUAUAACCAAAUGUCCUAAUAUCUGAAUCAAUAGACCCAAAUAACCCUAAUUAGAAUCUGAAUUAACCAACUAACAGUUCAAAUCAGCAGGUAUUACUAGACAAUUCAAAAGAUCAACACAUGAAUCAACACUAACUUAAUACAAACAUCUUAAAACCCUGAAUUAAUCCUAAAACAUGCCAGUAUUUCAAAAAUGAAAAAAAUCAAAGCAAGACUUAAUACUAAAAAUCGAAGCAAACAUGGUUAACUAUAAACAAAAAUUAAGCCAACAAAAGUCUAACAGAACAACCAUCUUAAUCCAAUAAAAACAGAAGAGGUUCAAGAGAAGAAGUACAAAUUAAAGCCCUAAAAAUCUAAAACAAUCACAAUGAGAACAAGUGAGACCAAAGAACGACAAUGGUUUGCAGACUUACUCUAACAAUGACAAACUCAGGCGAGAUAUCACACUACUGAAGGCUAACUCAACUUAAACCAAAAAUGAAGCAUGGGCUAAGGCCAGAAAAGAACAGAAAAGAAGAAAUCAUGAAAAUUGAUAAGAUCAUAUUUAGACUAAAAAAACAUUAACAAAACGAUAAUUGAAACUAAAGUUAACAGAGAGACUGAAAGACUUAGCUUAAACUUUUGGAGUCUUAAGAUUCUGCAUGCUUAAAGGGUUCCGGGAACCUAAUUUUGACUCGGAGAGACUGUGAAGGCGUUUGUAGGCACAUAACCUUGUUUUUGUGGUGAGGAGAGUGAGGGUGGCUCAGGGGACCCUUUUGCUUGGGGUUAAGAAACUGGGGUGAUUUUUAGUUGGAGUUCAAAUCAAUAUUUGAGUCGUUGGACCAUGGUUCUAAGGGAGUUGGUGUUAGUGUUAGAUUUGUGACGAGGGUGGAAAGGGGAUGCUAUGGUGUAUUUUUGGUAGCCGUCUAAGCCGAUGCCGCCGUGGACGGCGGACCAGUCAAACCUUGAAUGAAGAUUCGAGAUGAACGGUAAAGAUUCAAGGGCUGGGAUUUAGGGUGUUGGAAAGAGGAGGAAGAGGAGAUUUAGGGGUGUAAAUUUGGGCGUCGUUGGAGACUUACUGCCAGCAGCGGACAUCAGAGAGUCGGUGAAUUUAUGGCGGUGAUACAACGGUGUAUUUUAGGGUUAAGAGGGACAUGGUACGAGGUUGCGUCUGGGAUGGGGGGGCGGUGUUUGUAACACUUAUAUAGGCGUUACACCUCCACUUUUCGACCGUCUGAUCAAAGCAGAUCGACGGCUCAGAUUGAUCUAAUGGAAAACUGCGUCAUUCUGGGCAUGGGGUUGGACCGGGUAGUGUUUUGGGCCGGCGGGUAUAUUGAACGGGUCUUGGGUUUUUUGGGCCGAAAAAAUGCCUAAAUCUGGUGGCCUGAUUUGUUAUUUGCCCUUUUUUAAUUUCAAAUUCUUUUAUUUGUUUUCUUCCUUUUCUCUUUUAUUUAAUUAAUUCCCUUUGUUUUAUUUGUUUUUGUUUUCAAUUUUUAUCAAAUGCAAAAUAAUAAGGAUAUGACCAAAUUUAAACUUUACUAAUUAAUUUCUAAAAAUAAUCUAAUUCCCAAAUUUUAAACAAAAACUAAACAAAUGUAAAAAUGACCAUUUUGUUAUUUCUUGAUUUUUUCAAAUGUAAAAAAUAAAUAUGCUAUUUAAAUAAUAAAAGAAAAAUCCUAAAAAACAAAUUUAAAAAACUAAAUAACAAAUGUAAAAAACGAAAACUAAACAAAUGUAAAAAUUGAGUCCUAAAUGCGAAUAUGCCAUUUUUGUAUUUUUAUGAAUCAUAUCAAUUUAAAAUGCAGACAAUCACAAAAUCUUGCAAUUAAUUCCUUAAAAUUCAAAUAAUAAAAGAAAAAUCCUAAUCUUAAUGAGUUCUAUAGGAAUAUUUUAGGCGAGGCAAAAAUCACGUGCUCACACUCACUAAAGAAGAAAACUCCACCACGCUCGCAAAUGCCAAGUCUCAUUACUCCAUCAACCCAAAUAUGAACAUUCUUAGUCUGAUUGCCUUUCCUUUGCUGGGAAUAAAAUAACAAAUCUCUAGAUCAUGUACUGAGUAAACCUCCCUUCAAGUCAUUCAUUUCCCCGACAUGUAGGGAAAAAUCUUACCAUCAUAACAAUACUACGAACAAUCAUUCAUAAGUGUCACACCUCCUUUUGGUUACUACAACCCGGUAAAGGGCGUAGAUAAGGGAGUAUUUCCAAUUAAAGGACAAUCGAAAUGGGAUUCAAUUAUUUAAGAGAAUUUCAGAGUCGCCACUUGGGAGAUUUAUGGUGUCCACUGUCACCAUUUAGAAUCUUGAAUCGAGGAAAGAAUGAUUUUGCUUAACAGUUCGCGAACUAGAAAUCCGGGUAAGGAAUUCUGUUAACCCGGGAGAAGGUAUUAGGCAUUCCCGAGUUCCGUGGUUCUAGCACGGUCGCUCAACUGUUAUAUUUGGCCUUAAAUUAUCUGAUUUCAAACAGUUACGAGCCUAUGUGCAAUAUUGAAUAUUUUAACCACUUUUACUAUUAUUUUUUAAAGAGAAUUGCAACGUCGUUAGAACAUGUCUUGAACCACGUCACAUAAAUACACCCGUGGUUUUUGACACAUUUCAACUUCGUUGGGAUUUGGAUUUGGGUCACAUAAAUGUGCACCCAGAUUUAAGAAAGGUAAAUUAUGAAACUAACGCGCUUAAAGCAAAUACGCGUUCGCAACUUUGCGAGGGCCAUGGAAUUUAUUAAAUGGCAUACCUCGGAUUCUAAGGAUUAAUUCAAGAUUAACUAAAGCGAAGGCCGUGCAAUCAUUAGUUUAUUUAGCACAACUCGUCUCAGUUUACUAUUUUAAAGGAUAUCUCCAAAGCGAACGAUAGUUCUCUACUAAAAUCCUAUUAGUGAAUAUCUCAUAGCUUAGACUUCAACUCCAAGCCAUUGGGCUUUGAAAUGAGCCCAAGGAUGGUGAAUCCUUUAUCCAACCUUGUCGAACCAGCCAUUGAUGAGUCUCAGCAAAGUAAGGCAAAAUUGGGCUACGCAGUAGCCCUGGCUGAAGCCCAGCUCAUCAUAGACUGGCUGUUGAGACCUGAUCCUUAGUGGAUCGAAAUCCUUAUUCGAAUACAAACUGCACAAUUAUUCCCAACAAAUUUUCAACGAUAGAAACAUAUGUUUGAUCUAUGUAAGCAGGCUAUUAAUUAUUUAGCUAAUACUCACAAGGUUCAGGGAAUUAAUAUGAAACAUCUAAUUAGCCCCUAAAAUCUAGACAGAUAACUACUACUUUUUAAACGAAAUCACUAUUGAAGAGGCUUCCUAAUUUAAACUGAGCAUAUGCGAACUAGAAGGAGUAACUACUCGAUUUCCAAUUUCAUGAUGUUGAAGUAAACAAAUCCACAUUCAUGAUCUCAGAUUUAAAAACCUUAAAAUCAACCUACUUAAUCUAGCACUAUACUGGACAUGCUACUCUACUACAAAAUUUUAACAAAUCAAAGUAAGUUUUCAGUCAGUCCUUAUACAUUCCAUGUACAUACUAAAGGAACUAAAAUGAAUUACAUCAGCUCGUAAAUUAAAUAUAUAUAGACAACCGUUCACUAUUUCCUAAUCAAUUGCAUAAUCUGAAUAAACACCAAGCAUGAAGCCAGGCUUCCAUUCCAUUUCAAUUGUAGGGAUUACAUCAGGGAGCUUUUAAGUGUGUACCUGGAAUGAAGAAGAGACCUAUGAGAAGGCAGUCACAGAGAAACACAACAACAAAUAAUCCCAGAUUUAAUGAGAAAUCAGUGAAUAGACCCCAAAUCAACGGAACAGUAGAUUCAACACUUUCAAAAGACCAGGAGAUGCAACUCGCACAACCAAUACCAAUUUUAAAUAGCCAAGUUAAUUCAAACUUCACGCAAAUAUAACCCAACAGCUACCCUUUAGUCCAUGAUAAGAAGAAGAAAUUAGAACAAGUUUUUGAUCAAAAUUUUGAAGUUUUAAGCUCAGAAAAAUCGAUUGAAUUAGCAGCUUUCUAAUUUUUAUUCAGCUUUUUUCCCUUCUCUCUGAGCGCUAGUAUAUAUAUCCUCACACAUAGGGCUACCUUCAGACUUUAAGUUGCCUCUUAGUCCCUAUUUUAUUUACUACCUUAGUCCCCCAUUUCAUAGCUUGCUACCCAAGUUACCACAAAAUGGAAAUCUAAAUUCCAAUUUGUUUCCUACUCUAGAAGCUUCUUAAUUCAACUGCCAAAGAUUCCUUGCUAAACUACCCAAAUUACCCUUGAAUUGUUCCUAAAAUUAAUAACCCUAGCCCAUCUCUACCCUAGUUAUCUUACCAAUCCUAACUCAACUACAACCAAAUGCCCUAAAGUCUAAAUCACAGGACCCAAAUCAUUCUAAAGGUUUGAAUUAAAUGACUGAAAUCCAGAUCGAUUACAAUUAUGUAGCAUCAGUGUCUAACCAAAGCAGAUUACAAAAAUCAAAAUAGGAUCAGACUGACAAAUUCAUUAAAAAUCACGGCAUAAAAACAGGUUGCCUUCCAAUAAAAGACUCAAACUAAUUCAAUCAGCCAAUGAUGGAAAUAAUGAACCAAAAAUAAAAGUCAUUCAGGAGAAGAAACAAAUCAAUGAGAGUAUAUAUUUAUCCAAAGAUCCAAAGAUAAAAAAUCGAAAUCAAAGAACAAACACAAAUUUCCUUUCCAUAUACAUAUUCCAACUAAUAAGGCUAGUCAAAAUAGAACAAUGAACCAAAAUAACAGACAUUCAAGAGAAGAACAUAUCAAUGAGCGUAUACAAUUAACCAUACAAAUAAAUACAAGACCAACAAAAAAUCGAACACGAAUUGCCUUUCAACAAACAGCCCCCCCCCCCAAAUAAUAAGGUCAGCCAAGAUAGAAUAAUGGACCCAAAAAUAAAAGACACUCAGGAGGAGAACCAAGAAACAACUAUGCUUACUAUACUAUAAGCCUAUCAAACGAAUGAAAAAUGAAUUAAUCCAUACAGAACAAAAGAGAGGAGAGCAUGAAUACUAAGAAUGUACUAAAACAAACAGAAAAUGACCUACACAAUGAUACUCUAUUAAAGUUAAACAAGGUUAGAUGACUUAGCUUAAAAUCAUGGCUUCAGAAACCACAUGCAUCACUAAACGGGUUCCGACUAACUUUUUAUUUAGCAUUUGAACCAUACGGGGGUGAUUCGAGGGCCAUGAGUCAUGGAUUUGAGUUGAGGGGUCUAAAGAGGAUGCAUGGUGUUGAUUUGGUGGUUUUUGGAAGCGGUUGCAUUUUGGCCGGGCUUUCAAAAUUAAUAUUUGAGAAGAUGUGGUGUGAUUCGAGGGACAAAUGUUUUAGAUCUGUGACGAGGGUAGGGCGAGGAGUCUAGAGUGUAAAACUUGGGGUGCUUGUCGAAUUUUGAACAGACAUUCGACGAGAUUGGGAAUUAUUUGAGGGUAACUGGUGAUGGGGUUGGAAAGGGGAGAGUGCGGAGAUGGUGUGGUGUAGUUUUGGGGUCCAUUAGAGCUACGCCGACGGCGACGACGAUUUUCGGCCGGCGGUGGAUGGUGGAGGGAGGGUGGUGAUACGGUGGUGUUACACCGGAGGCCGGUUUAGUAUGAGGAGGAUGAUUUUGUCUCUGAGGGUUGUGAGUGUCGUUCAAACACUUUUAUUAAAAUUGUGAGGCUAGAUCUGUGUCGUUGGAUCAAAAGGAAUGGAUGGCUGAGAUCAAAUGGACGUCAAACAACGUCGUUUAGAUGCCUUCUCUGGCUGGACCGGGUAUGGGGCUUGGGUUGGGUUAAAUUUAAUGGGUCUGGUGGUUUGGGAUCCAAAUUGUGGCCCAAAUCAUGGUCUUAAUGAGAAGUCCCAAUUUGUGCAUUUUUCUCCCUUUUAUACAUUUUCUUUAUUAUAUUUUUAGAUUUUAAUAAUAAAAAUAAAAAUAAACUAAAAAGUAUUUAACUUAUACAAAAUAGACUAAAUAAACUUUUAAAUAACCUAAAUUCUAAUUUCAAAAGAAAAUUGAAUGAAUGUAAAAAUAAGCAAUUUUGUUAUUUUCAAUAUUAAUUAACAAAUAACCCCAAAAAAGAAAAAAAAAGGAAAAAGUGGAAAUUAAGUCCUAAAUGUAAACAUGCUAUUUUUGUAUUUUUUGUGAAUUAUAUUAAUUCAAAAUUCAUAACACAAAAUCAUGCAAUUAAUUCUUAAAAUUCAAAUAAUAAAAGAAAAAUCCUAAUUUUAUGAAUUUUAUAGGAACAUUUUGAGCGAGACGAAAAUCACGUGCUCAGAGCUGCCCUUGUUUGCUCGAAGAUACGAAGGGUUUCCGAGCAAAGAUAAAUAAGAAUCGAGAGAUUUUUGCCUGCUUUGCAUUCCAUGAGAAGCACUUUGAAAACUGUCUGACUGAACCCUUGUCAUACCUCCCUUUUUUUACACGACUACCCCGAAGGAUAAGAACGCAUAAGGGAUUUAUUCCAAUUAAAGUGACAUUAUUCAAAAUGAGAUUAUUUAUUUAUUAGAGUCACCAAUUGGGAUAGCUUUGAAUUUUGGUGUUCCAAGUCACCGGUUUAAUUAAAAUCCCAAAUCGAGGAAAUUUUUCGACUGCCCAAAUGGAGUCUGCGAACCAGAAAUUCUCAGUAAGGAAUUCUGUUGACCCGAGGGAAGGUGUUAGGCACCCCCGGAUCCCGUCGUUCUAGCAUGGUCGCUUAAACUAUUAUAAAUGGAUAAAAUUCUAAUUUUACACAUGUUCAUCCUAAAACUGCAAUUUUUAAUAUUUAUACCUCUUUUAAUAUAUUUGUAAGGAAAUUUGCGAUGCCGCUAAAACUUGUCGCCAACCACGUCACAUAAAUGUGCACAUAAUUUUUGACAUAUUUCAACUUCAUCGGGAUUUGGAUUGGGUCACAGAAAUGCGCACCCGUACUUAGAAAGAUAAAAUUAUUAGAGACGCAUCUAAAAGUGACUAACAUGUUAUUAUCUUUGUGGGAGUCCAUGAAGUUCGCUAAGCGGCAUGUCCCGAAUCUCUAAGUAUUUUAAUAUGAACAUUGCACGAUGACCACGUGGUUUAUGGGUUCCGUGUGGCGUGGCACAUUAUGUUUUAUUACUUAAAAGACGGUCUAAGGCGAACCGAGACUUUCCAUAAUGUUUGUUUCUAAAAGGGCUUUAGCGAUACAGAACUUGGGCUCUAAAUUCAAGUCCGAAUUCAAACAAAAAUGAAACCUCUUAAUUUGAAUUUACUACCUAAUUUGAAAGUACAACCCAAUUUUAUUACAUCAUGGCCAAUAUGGCAGGUUUGAAGCAACACCAUCAGACCCUUUGUUUGCGGAAUUACUGAACUAUAGAUUAACGUGGAAAAUUAUGGAGGGUAACGAUUAAAUUAGGCUAGUUACGAGCUAUGGUAGACAAGGAAUAUUCGAACGGGUUUGAAAUGCGUAAAUGCAUAUUUCCUGGGUCAAAACUAGACUGCCUGCUCGAAUUAAACUGAAAUUCCACCGGCUUUAAUUGACUUUAAGACUACAUUGACACUAAUUAAUAAUAUCCAAAUAUAAAAACUGAUUGUAACCAUUGGCAAGGUUAAAAUCCGCGACUGGGGUGUAGCGAACUAUUAAUUCAUUGUUUGAAUUGUAGAACUUAAAACAGAUUCACAUUUAGGAUACAACUGACAACAAUUUAAAACUAUCAUGCUCUUAGGAUCCAAUUACUUAAAAUCAAUUUAAACUAUUCAGCUAAGCUUGAAACAAUCCCGUUCAGUCCAAAUUACACAGUCCCAAAUUUAUACAGGCAUAAAUCAAGUUAAGCUAUAUUAGACGUUACAAAUCAAUUAGGACUAUUCGAUUCUAAACUAUAAGAAGCCAACCAGGCUUAGCUCAAGGAGCAAAUGCUGGAGUGUUUAUCAUUUCAUUUUUGACCGUGGCUACAUCGGAUCAUGUUCAUGUGUGUGUACCUAGAAUUACAGCAAAGGGGAAGCACCUAUUAGUGGGUAAACAACAGAUAAUACAGCAGCAAAUCCACCAACAGAUUCAACAAUCAAUCAAGCUCGAAACCCAGAAACGAACAAGGAAUUUUUCUCAAAAUUAAGACCACGAUCUACACAACUUUAAUAUAAAAUGCAUCCAGGAUGAAUUCACAAUGGUUGAUGCUAUCGAAAAAAAAUCUUCGCUUUCUUUUGCCUUUUGUGUUUUUCAAGUUUAUAUCAGAUUUCCUGGAAUCAGAGCUACAAUUUUUUGCUCUCUUAUUGGGAAUUAAUUCAGAAGGAUUUUUAGAGGUCUCUCCUUUUUUCUUUUUAGUCAUGAUACUUAUGCAUGUAUAGGCAAGUAAGCUAGGGAAAAGUUUUCAGGUCUUAUUUUAACCUUUAGUCCUUUCUAAAUUUCCAGUUUUAACAGUAAGUCCUUCAUUAUUUGCUUUUAGCCUAGGUUACUUCAGACUUCUAACUUGUUUACCAAGUUUACCAACUGAAAUUUCACUAGAGGCCUUUACUAGAAGCUUCUUAAUUUGUUAUAAAAGAUUCCCUAUCCCUCCAAUGCCUAAACUACCCUUUAUCCAAUUUGAAUUUACGAAGCAUGAGCAGUAAACUAACCCCAACACUCUUUUAACCCUAGUUAGAAAACACUCCAAUGUAUCCAACCAAUCUUGAAAUUUAUUCAAAACUCUACAACUUGUGCUGAACCUGAUUUAAUUUUGAUCAAUAAAAGUUCUAAAGCCAGUGUAUCUAUAGCAGACAAUUAAUUGAAACAAUUUACAACAACAUGACAUGCCAGACGAAAACAAUCAUAUCCUAAUAACCUAACUUGAUCCUCAACUAUUCAAUUUAAAUCACUCAAACAUGAUGUUCAUGGAUCAACAAAGAACGAAUCAAAUCGUAGCUCAAAAAUCUAGAGGUCCAGUCACUCGAAGUGAAAUAAGGAAUCAUUCAUAGCAGAUCAUCGAUGACAUUAAACAGAGGGAGAGAAAUCUGAGUAAACCUAAACUAAAAUUUCAAAUAAAACUAACAGAGGGUCAUUAACAAACAUGCAAGAACAGACAAUACCAAGACAAAGACGAAAGAAUAAGAAAUUGAAUAAGGAACUUAGCUUAGUGACUGGUCGUAGUCCAAAACCCAUGCACCCUUAAACUUCUAGGAUUUCCGGCCAACCUUUGAUUUUAAAUUUGGGAAGAUCCUUUGACAUCGAGGGAGAGUGGUUAGGGUUUUAAGAGGAGGAGGGUGAGAACAAAUACAGGAUAUGAGUUUGGUUGGGUUUGGAGGGGUUGAGUUUUGGACCAGAUUCUUUGAUUUAAUAUUUGACAAAAUCAGGUCAUGUUUGAGGGUUAUUGGAUAUAGAUUCAUGGAGAGGGAGGCGAGGGGGUUGUGUGGUGUAAUUUUGGGUUUGAUUGGUGGUGGCGCCGCCGUAGGCGGCGUUCACAUUUUUGAAGAUUUGAGAAGCUGGGACAAAGUUUGAGGAAUGAUUUUCAGGGCAUUGAAAAAGGAGGAAGAGGUGGUUCAGUGGUGUAUUUUGUUGUGAGUUUUGAGCUUCGCCGGCGGCAGCGACGAUUUCCGACUGGCGGCGGUGAGGUGGAGGGUUGGUAGAGACGAUGGGUACGAGGAAGAAGAUGUUUUGUCUCUAGGGUUUGCAAUGCAUUCAGACAGUUUUAUUUAUGACUAAGGUCAGAUAUGGGCCGUUAGAUUAUAAGACAUGAAUGGCUGAGAUCAUGUGCCCCAAAACAACGUCGUUUUGGGGCGUCUUUGAUGAGAGACCGGUAGGGACAUGUUUGGGCCGGUUUAUUGAUGAUUUGGACGGGUGGGGAGGGUUUGGUUUGGGCUACAUUUAGCCCAAGCCCAAUAUCAGGCCAACCUGAUUUAUAACUCUUCUCCUUUAAUUCUUUUUUUUCAUUUUUCUUUUGUUUAUUUAUUGCUUCAAUUUUAAAACUCAAACUAAAAUGAAAUCUAAAAAUUUAUUCAACCUAUUAAAUUACAAUUAAACUACUAUCAUUUUAAAGGAAAUUAAAUCAAACCAAACAAAUCAAAAUUUCUUUGUGAUUCUUGUAUUUUGUAAAAAAAAACCUAAUUACUGAUUAACCUAAAAAACAAUGUAAAAAUCACAUCCUAAAGGCUCAUGCAAUUUUUGUAUUUUUAUGAGUUAUCAUGCACGCACAAAUACUCAAAAAUAAGCAAUUAAAUCCAAAAAUCGAAUCUUAAAAGGAAAAAUUCCUAAUUCUAAGAAUUCUGUAGGAGUAAUUUUAGCGAGACAAAAAUCACAUGCUGACAGCUGCCCCCUGUUGGCUGGAACCACGAAGGUUUUCGGUCAAAGAUAAAUGAGCGACAUGAUGGAUUUUUGCCUGCUCAAAGCUCCAGGAGAAGCAUUUUGAAAACUCUCUGACCGAACCCUUCUUUAAAGGUUGCCUACAUAUCCUUGGCUAUAAAGGAAUCAUGUCAGUGUAGUUCUAGAGUUUUCAGUAGCUGAGACUACCAUGAGCCGUGAUUUUAUUGUUGAUGUUGCUGCUACUGCUUGCUGACCCCUUAUUACACCAAAAGGAAAUCAAAACUAAACUAGCUAUGCCUAUCAACUAUGAGUUACAAGAUUCCUAUCUAUAAAUCUCUUGAAAGCUUGAUCUUGAGUCUUUAUCUGGACUUGCUACGGACUUCUAUCUGAAUCUUGAUGCUCGUGAGCUAUAGGUUUCGGUCCUUUCUUCAGUAUUACACCAGCUGGGACAUGCACGACUUGCGAUUUUGAAUCAAACCUGGACAGUCCACGUCUUCUUUUUCAACCAUUCUGGAUUUGUUUCCUUUUGUUCUCUUCUUCUUCUUUUCUUUUCUUUUGUCCUGAAUUGAGUUCACUCUUCAAGUCAUCUCAAAUCCUAUACCCUGUGGUAAAACCUGUUCGGCCAUCAAAACCAACAAAUAAACAAAAUUUUCUGCCCUAGUUUUCACUAUGAAAAAUUUAUGAGUUAUUUGCAGCAUGAAUCUAAACUAUUCCUAUUGAAAACAAUGAAAGUGGGAUUAUGUAUUUUUUGGGAGAUUACCAGGUUUAUGCUGGCGAACGGCCAGGUUAUGCCAGAAAAGAGACAUGUUCUUGCUGGGGUAAGAGGAGAAUCCACGGGUUAUGCCUAGGUCCCUGCUGGGGAAGAAAGUCCACGCGUUGUACCGGGAUUGAAAAAAAAGAAGGCUCAUGGAGUAUGCCAGGGGAUCCGCGGGUUAUGCCGGGAUUUCCUAGGUUAUGCUAGGGAAAUUCAUGGGUUAUGCCAGGGGAAUCCGCAGGUUAUGGCGGGAUUGAAAAAGAAAGGGCUCCAGGGUUAUGCCAGGGGAUUCGCAGGUUAUGCCGGGAUUGAAAAAGAGAAGACUUUUGGGUUAUGCCAAGGGAAUCCGCGGGUUAUGCCAGGAUUUGAAAGGAAAGAUUACUGAGUUAUGCCAGGGGAAUCCACGGGUUAUGCCGGGAUUGGAAAGAGAAAACUCCUAGGUUAUGCUAGGGAAAUCCACGGGUUAUACCGGGAUUGAAAAAGAGAAAGCUCCUGGGUUAUGCUAGGGGAUCCGCAGGUUAUGCGGGGAUUGAAAAGAGAAAGAUCCUAGAUUAUGCUAGGGAAAUCCAAGGGUUAUGCCGGGAUUGAAAAAGAGAAGGCUCCUGGGUUACACCAGGGGAUUCGCGGGUUAUGCGGGAAUUGAAAGGAAAGAUUCAUGGGUUAUGCUAGGGGAAUCCGCGGGUUAUGCCGGGAUUGGAAGGAGAAAACUCCUAGGUUAUGCUAGGGAAAUCCACGGGUUAUACUGGGAUUGAAAAGAGAAGACUCCUGGGUUAUGCCAGGAUUUGAAAAAAGAAAACUCCUAGGUUAUGCUAGGGAAAUCCACGGGUUAUACCGGGAUUUGGAAAGGAAAGAUUCCUUGGUUAUGCCAGGGGAAUCCAGGGGUUAUGCCGGGAUUGGAAAGGAAAGAUUUCUGGGUUAUGCCGGGAUUGGAAAAAGAAAGCCUAUGGUAGAAUUCCCUCAGGUUAUACUGGGUAAUGUUGGGGAAUGGAAGGUCACAGAAGUCCUUCUGGCUAUGAUGGGGAUAGAGAUAGAAAGGAAAGACCCUUAGGUUGUGCUAGGGAUAGAAGGGAUUUAGCCUUCAUAUUAUGAUGGGGAAUAAAAGAAAAGAAGGGCCCUUAGGUUAUGCUGGGGACGGAAAGGAGAAAAGGUUCCUUAUGUUAUGCUGGGGAUGGAGAGAGAAACCCUUUGGGUUAUGCUAGGGAAUGAAAGAAAGAAAUUUCUCAGUCAAUGUUGUGGAGAGUGGAGUGUGAUCCUUGGGUUAUGCCGAGAAGGUGCACAAGUUGUGCUGGGAAGACUAGGGAUGUGGCCCUAAAUCUGGGGAAGGAGUCAGGGAUCGGAGUCCUAUGCUAUCAUGUUUUAUGAUUCUCCCUUCCUUCUUUUUUCAUAAAACUGCAGGAGAAGAUGUAACGAGAACCUCCCUUUUUGUUGAUCAUUGGUGCAACGCUAUUCUUAGCCUUUGUCAUGUUCCUUUGAUUGAAUUUGCCAUUUGUCCCUAUUGAUUUGGAUUACACAUGUUUCAAAUUUUCAAUCAAAACACGAUUUGUUAGUUCGAACAGUGAUUGUUUUGUGGCCUUGAUUUGCUUGAUCCCGGCCUUAUUUCUGUUGGGAAAACCUUUGACUCUCCAGACUCCGCCUUAUAGGUUGGUUGGGAGACCUCAUCUUUCAAAUUUGUUUUGCUUUUAUAGGCCCUUAUUUAGGAUUUCUUUGUCCCGAUUUCCACUUCAGGGCCUGCCUUUUGAGAACUUUGUGGAGACAAAUAGCCUGCUCAGGCUUAACCUUUCCAAUCUUCAUUUGCCUUUGUGGGCUUUGACUUUAAAUUUCUUUUCUUUCCACUUUCUUGCUUUUGAAGCGUCAGCCGUCAUGGUCAGCCGGGAUUGGCUAAAUGCGUCCGCUGAUACUGGAUAUUUCUUUUUGUUCUUGCCGGGAGAAGCCCCGUGAGACCGGUCUUACCACCUUCUCUUGCGGAAUAGUCAUGAAGUCAGAGUUAAGCCAAAAGGGAGUGGGGGAAACAGCAAGAACAAGCAUAUGGAAAUAGAGAGAAGUGUCCCUUUCGGAGAAAAAGGAAGGACUUAUCUGGGGGUGCGUGCCAACUUUAAAUGGAGAUGACAUGCUUCUUGGACUAGAUGCCCGACCCGGAUACAUUUAUGCUUCUUGUGACCCAUAUUUCAAUCUUUCAAAAACCAUGGAAGCUUACUUGGGCUUGGAUGGUGAUAUUUCUUCUUUUCGGCUGACGGCGCCCUUUGCGGGUUUUCGUUAAUCGACCUCUCUCCUUUCUCUUCUCCCGUCGCUGGAUAGUGCUAUUUUACGAGUUUUCACUAAAUAGACUGUCUAAUUUUUAUUUUCUCUACUCACCGUCGCCUUAUGGUGCCGAACAUUUUCACCGAUAAGGCUCUCUCAUUUUAUUUCUCUCAAUUAAAUUGUGCCAAAUCCUAACAAUGGUGUUUGUCACGUCCCUGCUUUGGCCAAUUGAUCGGAAGGAUUCGGACCAGGUUCUUGGGUAAAGGAAAUUGGAUGGAAAUUUACAACUUUAGAACCACUCUGGAGGGUUUAUGGCCUAACCAUUACAUCUCUGCCCCAGUUUUAUUUUUGGGGAGCUGAGGUUCUAUUUUGAUAUGAAUGAACCUCAGGGAGAGGCUGCCUACAUAUCCUUUCGGAAUCAAGUCAGACGUAGUUCAGGAAGUUUUUCCUAAACUAAUUUGUUUGUUAUUUUUUUUGUUUUCACUCAUGCAUUUUUGCUUCUUUUUUUGUUUUCUUUUUCUUAUUUUUUUUCUCUUUUUCUCUUCUUUCUUCUUUUUUUCCCAUUCAUUUCCAUGUUUUUUUGAAUAGAAAUUCUAGGUUCCAAAGAGGGUGAACAAAGAAACAUAAUCGGCUCAAGGAGUUUGCGAAGGAUUGGUAGUGUUUAGAGUAGCAGGAAAGAAAAUCCUUUGUCAUUUUAACCGUCCGGAAUCAUUGCGGUAAGGAGUUCAAACAUAAUACCUUUUUACUGCAUCUGCAUUCACUGCUGUCUCGGGCUCGUCUCCUUCAACAUCACCCAACUACAAUGCUCCUUUGGGCAGUAUCUUUCUGAUAAUAUAUGGACCUUUCCAGUUCGGAGCAAACUUUCCUUUAGCUUCCUGAUGGUGAGGGAGAAUACGCCUCAUUACAAGCUGUCCGACUUCGAAAUUCCUGGGGAGCACUUUCUUGUUGUAAGCGCGGGCCAUUCUUUAUUGGUAUAACUGCCCGAAGCUGUCCGACUUUGAAAUUACUGGGGUGCACUUUCUUGUUGUAAGCGCGGGCCAUUCUUUUUUGGAAUAGUUGCUCGUGACAAACCGCAUCCAUUCAUUUUUCAUCAAUUAAUGAUGAUUACUCCAACCGAGGCUUAACCUACUCGCUAUCCUCAAUUUCUUCUUCGACAAUUACCCGGAGCGAAGGGAUUUCUACCUCUGGGGGUAUGACAGCUUCAGUCCCAUAGACCAGUAAAUAUGGAGUUGCCCCUACCUAUGUGCACACUAUGGUGUGGUAUCCAAGCAAUGCAAAAGGCAGCUUUUCAUGCCAUUGUCUUGAGCUCUGGAUCAUUUUUCUCAAAAUCUUCUUGAUGUUCUUGUUAGCCGCUUCGACGACACCAUUGGCUUUGGGCCAGUAAGGAGUGGAGUUUCUAUGUGUUAUCUUGAAUUGUUCACAUAUAUCUCCCAUCAGACGACUCUCCAUAUUGGCCGCACUGUCUAUAAUGAUGGUUGCGGGAAUACCAAAACGAUAAAUGAUGUUGGAACGCACAAAAUCUACCACAACUUUCUUGGUGACGGACUUAAGUGUGAUGGCUGGACUAUUGAGAUUUUCCGCAUUGUCUGUAAUGAUGGUUGCGGGAAUACCGAAGCGACAAAUGAUGUUGGAAUGCACAAAGUCUACCACAACUUUCUUGGUAACAAACAUAAGUGUGAUGGCUUCGACCCACUUUGUGAAGUAGUCAAUAGCAACCAAUAUGAAUCUAUGUCCAAUUGAGGCUUUUGGCUCAAUGGGCCCAAUGACGUCCAUCCCCAAGGCAAGGAUGGCCAAGGCGCUGACAUCAAAACUGAAACAAUCUUUCUCUGUGGUCAUCCAGUAAUACCUUGCCCAAAGUAUUUUCUUUGCCAGUACAUACUCGUUCAUAUGAGGCCCACUCACUCCUACGUGUACAUCAUGCAUAAUCCUCCCGGCUUCCUCGGCGUCGACACUUCUUAGCAAGUUGAGAUCUAGGGUCCUCUUAUAUAAGGUAUCACCACUCAAGAAGAAACUAUUCGCGUGCCUUCGGAUGGUUUUCUUUUGCUCCUCAGUAGUCUGCUCGGGAUACUCUUGUGUUUUCAGAAAAUUCUUGAUAUCACACUACCAGGGCUGGGUGCUGCAUUCGGCCUCAGUCGCAUUACAAUACCCAUGGCUUUCCUUGAUUUGGAUUUCCAAAGGAUCGACGUAGGCGUUUCCAGGGUAAGGCAACAUGGAAGUCAGAGUUGCGAGUGCAUAUGCUAACUUAUUGUGACAGCGAGGAAUGUACCUGAAUUGUACCAACUUGAAAUGUUUGCUGAGAUCCUCUACACGUUGUCGAUAAGGGAUGAGUUUGACAUCCCUUGUCUCCCACUCUCUUUGGGCCUGCUGGAUGAACAAAUCUGAAUCCCCCAUGAUUAACAAUUCCUCAACGUCUGGGUCAAUGGCCAUAUUCAUACCUAUGAUGCAGGCCUCGUAUUCAACUGUGUUAUUGGUGCAGAAAAACCGAAGCCUUGCUGUAGCCGGGUAAUGUUGAUCGGUGGGUGAGAUUAAAAUUGCCCCAAUUCCUAUGCCUUUCGCAUUUAGUACUCUAUCGAAAAAUAUUUUCCAAGCAAGGAUGUCUUCAGAUGUUACCUCCACCGAAUUCACUUCUCAGGGAAGUAUUCAAAGGUUGAUACUCAUCGUCAACUAGAUUCUCGUCUAGAUGAUCCGCUAAUGCUUAGGCAUUCAUUGUGAUACGAGUGAUAUAAACUAUGUCGAACUCGGUGAGCAGGAUUUGCCAUUUUGCCAACCUCCUUGUGGGUAUCGAUUUUUGGAAUAUGUACUUUAACAGGUCCAGCCUGGUUAUGAGGUAGGUGGUGUGGGCUUCCAAGUAAUGCUUCAACUUCUGGGCUACCCAAGUCAAGGCACAAUAGGUUCUUUCUAGCAGUGUAUAUUUGGCCUCGUAACUAGUAAACUUCUUGCUCAAGUAAUAGAUGGCUUGCUCCUUCUUUCCCGUAGCAUCAUGCUGCCCGAGAAUACAACCAAAAGUGUUCUCAAGGACUGUCAAAUAAAGAAACAAUGGCCUUCCCAGUUCCGGCAGGACCAAGACUGGUGGGUUGGACAUGUAAUCUUUGAUUCUGUCGAAAGCCUGUUGAAACUCAUUGGUCCAUUUAAUUGAUGCGUCCUUUUUCAAUAGCCUGAAUAUGGGCUCAUAUGUAGAAGUCAGCUGGGUGAUGAAUCGGCUGACGUAAUUCAGUCUUCCCAACAGGAUCAUUACAUCCUUCUUGGUUUUCGCUCGAGGUAGCUGUUGAAUGGAUUUUAUCUUGGUUGGAUCCAGCUCAAAAUCUCUUCGGCUGACAAUGAACCCUAAAAGUUUGCCUGAUGGGACCCCGAAUGCACACUUGGCUGGAUUCAAUAUUAAAUCAUACUUGCGAAGUCUUUCAAAGAACUUGUAUCUUCUGAUGCAUCAUGUCAUGGAAAAUAGUGGUAAUUUGCCCCAGCAUUCUUUAAGCCAAAAGGCAUAACCCUGUAGCAAUAAGUCCCGAAGGUGUGGUAAAAGCAGUUUUCUCAGCAUCUUCCUCAUCCAUCAACACUUGGUGGUAUCCUGCGUAGCAAUCUACAAAGGAUUGUAUCUUGUUUUUGGCAUAGUUGUCAACAAGGAUGUGGAUGUUUGGCAAAGAGAAGUUGUCUUUGGGAUUGCCUUGUUCAAAUCUCUUUAUUCUACACAUACUCGAGUUUUCCCAUCUUUCUUCGGUACCGGGACCACAUUGGCCUACCAUGUGGUGUAUUGAACCACUCGGAUUACACCCGCCUCUAACUGCUUUGUGAUCUCCUCUUUGAUCUUAUCACUGAUAUCAGGUUUGAACUUUCUUUGUUUUUGUUGGACUGGAGGGCAUUCGGGGAGUUGUCAACAAGGAUGUGGAUGUUAGGCAAAGGGAAGUUGUCUUUGGGACUCGCCUUGUUCAAAUCUCUGUAGUCUACACAUACUUGGGUUUUGCCAUCUUUCUUCGGUACCGGGUCCACAUUGGCCAACCAUGUGGUGUAUCGAACCACUCGGGUUACUCCCGCCUCUAACUGCUUUGUGAUAUCCUCUUUGAUCUUUUCAUUGAUAUCAUGUUUGAACUUUCUCUGUUUUUGUUGGACUGGAGGGCAUUCGGGGUAUGUGGGCAGCUUAUGAACCACCAAAUCAAGACUCAGCCCAGGCAUAUCAUCAUAAGACCAAGCAAACACAUCAUUGAAUUCAAAAAGAAGUUGAAGCAGUGAGUCCCGGAUUUCCUCAUAUACAUGGAUGCUUAUUUUGGUUUCCCUAGUUUUGCCGGGACCACCCAAGUUAACCGGUUCGGUAUCAUUUAGAUUCGGCUUAGGUUUAUUUUCAAAAUGUUCCAACUCUUGGUUGAUUUCCUUAAAAGCCUAUUCUUUAUCAUAUUCCGGGCUUGGUUCAUUAUUUCACAAAUAGGCAGCAUGUUCGGAUCGGGGCAUGAAGUCCGCGAGCAUUCCAUAUUAUUUAAAGCCGCAUUAUUGGAACUGAAAGAAAAGAUAAAAAUAGAAGAAAAUAGCAAAAAUCAGAAAAAAUAGAGGAGUGCAGACGAUGAAAUAUUGAUCUCAUUUCUUUGAAAUUGUAAGAUAACAGGGUUUACAUUUGAAAUUUAAAGAACAAAAUACUAAAGAAAAAAACACUCGAGUUACACCCUGAAAUAACUCGGGAUGCAAGAAGAGAUGGCAAGGUAGGACUACAAGGCCUCCCGCCUGACUGGGAAAGGCGUAGCCUUCCAAUUUUGCAAUUUGGCAUCCGGUCCCAGGUAGAACACCUCGGCGGUGCUCGAGCCUUCUCCAAGCUGAACCAUGUCGGCUUCAUACAAUAAUUUCCUCAUGGCCCUACAUAUACUUCUCUCCGGUAGGCAAAGCGAUUGGCUCAGUUAUCCCUUGUAGAGAACUUCAGAGUCCCUUUCCUGGCUUAAAUCCUUGACGUAUCAUCUCUCUUGCCACCAUAAUUCAGGCGUUGGAGAGGAAAGGCUGGGGAUAUGGUUUGCCUUCUUCGUGUUGAUCAGCUGCCACGAUUUCAAAAGCUUGGUAAACUAUGUGCCCACUUCUUUCUUUACCUUCGAGGCAGGGGACAGAGGGAUCGCGGUAGAUUGACUAUUCAUCUUCUCCAUGGACCACGAUUUCCUGGUUCUCAUGAUCAAACUUCACCAUUUGGUGCAGAGUAGAAUUCACAACUCCUGCUGCGUGAAUCCAUGGUCUUCCUAGGAGGUAGUUGUAGGAUGUGUCCAUAUCUAAUACUUGAAAUGUUACCUCAAAACCGACCGGACCAAUGGUCAAUACCAAGUCAAUUUAUCUUAUCAAGUCUCUUUUAAUUCCAACAAAAUCCCAGACACACACAUUGUUGGGGAGGAUCCUCUCCGUCCCGAUUUCCAUUCUUUGCAAUGUUAACAGUGGGCAUAUGUCCACCCCGGAGCCUCCAUCUACCAUUACUCUUUUGAUGUGAUAGCCUUCACAUUUUCAUAGUGAGAUGCAGGGAUUUGUUGUGGGCGGCUCCCUCUGAAGGCAAAUCAUUCUUGCUAAAUGUAAUAUGAUUAACAUCGAAGAAUCUUUUUGCCAUUUUCUCCAGUUGUUCCAUUGAGGUUUGAACCGGCACGUAGGCCUCAUUUAAAGUUUUGGCUAACACCUUCUGGUGCUCCGGAGAAUCCAUUAGCAAUGAUAUUAAAGACACUUGCUCGGAAGACUUCCGGAGCUGGUCCACUACCUCAUAGUCUGGCAUUUUCAUCUUUCGAAAGAAGGCCUCCGCCUAUUCAGCAUUUACAGGCUUUUUGGGUGGGAAUCGCCUUUUGGUAGCACUGUUCACCUCUUCCAGGUCUGAAUAUUUCUUUGCAGGGUGACCUUCUUGAGUUUCCCCAACAAUUUCUUUACCUUUGUAUGUUGCUAUUGUUUCUUGAUAGUUCCACGAGACUGUAGAAAGGUCGGUCAUUGGCCUCUGGGGCGCGCUAGCGAUUACCACUGGCUCAUUCAACCUUGGCGGUUUAAUCGGUCCCCGCACCACAUAGGCUCCCUUGGGUACGUACAUCAUCUUGUUCAACUCAAAUCGUCUCGGGGGAUUCAGAGUUGGUUAUUUUUCUUGACGACCCCGUGGGAUGUAAAGGACGGUUUCCUUGACGGGUGCCGUCUCAGUUUUAGCUUCAACCUUCUUCUCUGCUUCCGGGUGCUUGGCUUCACUCAUUUCCUUUUCUUCAUCCUUCUUGGGGGUAACCUUUGGCUUUCUAUCUGCAUCAACAAUGGCUAUUAUGGCUUUCAAAGCAGGGUCAAAUUCUUUGUCCUCGCAAAUCAUCUCGAUGGCUGGCCCGUUGUUGUGAGCCGGUAACGGGUUAUUAGUCACGUUCGGGACAUCUUCAUCUCUCAACACUAUUUUCCUUUGUUCUAUUAUAUCCUCCAUUGGAUCAUCCCGAUAACUGGCCCGUUGUUGUGAUCCGGUAACGAGUUAUUAGUGACAUUCGGCACAUCUUCAUCUCUCAACACUAUUUUCCUUUGUUCUAUUAGAUCCUCCACAGCUCGCUUUAGAGUCCAAAAUUUUUCGAUGUCGUGUCCUUUAGCUGCUAAAUGAUAAGCACAGCGUACACCCUGUUGGUAAGAAGGCGAUUCAGGGUUUUGUCUGUUUGGGGGCGCAGGCUGCAAGAGGCCCAUCUGGACAAGUUUUGGGAAUAAGCUGGAAUAAGACUCCCCUAUUGGUGUAAUGUUUUGCCUUCUGGGCGGAUCCCUUGGACGGAAAUUGUUUUGGGGAGGGCAAGAUUAUAGUGGUUUUGGGGAGGCUAAUUUCUCGGGGCCUGGUUUCUAUUGAUCAAGCAAAUGGUUGGGCAUUCAUAACUGCAUAAGGUUGGGGAUUAUAAUGCAUGUCUUGAUGGGGAUAGUAGUGUUGGGAGGUCCUUUCCGAGAACAAUGGGCCUGUGAGGAUGAUGUCUUCUCAUACCAAAGGCUGCCAUUGAAACUUCUUCUUUCUUUUUGCUUCUUGCAACUCCUCAUUCCCCACCUUGGAUGGUCUGUGAGGUUGCCCUUAUGGCUGACUGACUCAGAAUUCUUCCUGUUUUCAAGCCAUUCUCUACCAUCUCGCCGAUCUUGAUUGCUUCCACGAAAGGUUUGCCCAUUGCUGACAUCACAUUUUGAAAGUAAUCCGCUUCUUGGGCCUGGAGAAAGAUAGUGACCAUCUCUAUCUCGUCCAUGGGCGGCCUUACUCUUGACGCCUGUUCGUGCCAUUUGAUAGCGUAUUCUCUAAAACUCUCUGAAGGCUUCUUUUUCAAGUUGGGGAAAGAAUUUCUAUCUGGUGCAAUGUCAACGUUAUACUGGAAUUGCCUUACGAAAUCCAGGGCAAGAUCGUCCCAGAUAUGCCAUCGUGUGACAUCUUGGUCCAUGUACCAUUCAGAAGCGAUGCCUACUAGACUCUCUCCGAAGUAUUCCAUUAACAGUUCUUCGUUUCCGCCUGCCCCACGCAAUUGGUUACAGUACUUUUUCAGAUGAGCAAUGGGGUCGCCAUGACCAUUAUACUUUUCAAACUUAGGCAUUUUAAAUCCCAUGGGAAGAUGUACAUGCGGGAACAUGCACAGAUCUGUGUAGGAAACGCUCUUUUGCCCACUCAAACCCUGCAUGUUCUUCCAGCUCUACUCAAGGCUUUUCAUCCUUAUUGCUAUCUCAUCUUGUUCAGACAUUUUAGGAGUUUUAUCCUGCAUUGGUGUGAGUUCAUAUGCUGGUUGAGGAUAAGUGUAUGUGGGGUAUGAGGGAGGCUCAGUUUGGUAAUUGGGAGUUUGAAAUGUGAAAGUUGUAGGAUCAACAUGGGCCUCGGCACUGCAAGCUGUGUGAUGGCUGAACAUGGAGGAGCCAUAAAAAUAUUAGGAACUGGGCCAGAUGUGAACAUUAGAGGACGGGCUUCAGAAGGUGCUCCGACAACGUUGGUUGAUAUGGUAGGCUGCUCCAAGAGGAACUGCUGGUAGAGUCAUUUCGGUCGGAUCGAACAUGAGUCUCGGCACUGCGAGCUGUGUGGUGGCUGCACAUGGGGGAGCCAUAAAAAUAUUAGGAAUUGUUCCAGAGGUGAACUAUUGAGGGCGAUCUUCAGAAGUUGCUCCGACAAAGUUGGUUCGUAUGGUAGGCUGUCCCAAGAGGACGUUUGGGUGGCUAAUAGGGACAGUGGAAGUACCCCCGACCUUGGGAAGAGCUCAGGAAAUCCAGGGAUGGCACUCAAAGGCUCGUCCAUGCAUCCCACAUCUCCAUGACUCUAAGUCGAAGGAUCCUAUUUUCUACAGCUGCCGCAGAUUCUGAGGCUGAGAUCCCUACAAUCGGGCUAUCCUCUGAAAUGGGAACUGCCGGAAAAGUCAUUUCAGAUGACAUUUCUGUGCUUCUUUUCGAUCUGGUAAAAUAUUGAUGUGAUGCCAGUUUACCACAAACCAACCACUGUUUCAAAAAGCCUGAGACUGGAAUUACAUCAAACAAACGAUUAGUUUGAGAUAGAUAACAGAUAGGGAAUCACACGUUGGGUGUGAUGCACCUAUACAUUUAACUGGUGUCUAAAUGUUUGCAAUGGUCGCAUGCGUCAUCCCGUCGUUUAUUCCCAACUUCAUGUUGAUUUCCACUAUUUGUUUUCUUGCUUUCCCUUUUCUCUUUUUUUUUUGUGUCUUUGGUUUUCCCAUUUUUUAAGAAUACGGUUGAAUCCUAAGAAGAUUGCCUACGUAUCAUGCUCCGCAUGAAUCAGACCGAGCGUAGUUCAUGAGAAGUGCAAUGAAAAUAACAAGAUAUUUUGGAAUUUUCAAUUCUAAUAAAGACAAACUUUGGUUACAAAGACUAGCAAAGUUAAUAAAAGGCAACUAACAGACUCAGACAUAAUAAGAACUACAGACUCGAAGAGUAAUAAUGCGUAAAAAGAAAAUAUAGACUGACAUACUCUUUUAAGGAAAAAUACAAGUUUCAGAAAUCAUGAAACAUUAAGACUUCAACUGCUCCUGGAGCUCGCGGGGCAUCAUUUGGCCUUGCCGCAGGCUUGCGUGCUAAACUCCCUUGGAGGUGGUGGAGGUCUUCCAUCACUUGCCAAACAAAGGUCAUGGCGGUGCAAAGAACAUGGAUCUUGUCAUAUCCUCACAAUGGUUGCACUUUGUGGUGAUGUAGUCCGCGAUCGCUCCAAAGGUCAUGGCGGUGGCAAAGAACAUGGAUCUUGCCAUAUCCUCGCAAUGGUUGCACUUUGUGGUGAUGUAGUCUGCGAUCGCCCGUACCCUUUCCCUAAUAACACCCUUUUCUUGCAACAACUCCCAAUUUGCUCGGCCCUUGCCUCUAGAGUUCGCUCUGCUACUUGAUUCAGUCCUUGGAAUUGCCAGAAAACCAUCUACAAUUGAUAUCACUGCAUAACAAUGUUCUCUCUCGACUUUGAAUUCCCCGACAUGCUUGGCCACUCUGUUCUCAGCAAUGAUGACCCUCCGUUUCAAUCCAACAAUCUCAUUAUUAUGCCCUUAUUUUAAUUGCUCAAUGAUGCGGGCUCGUUCCUCCGUACUUUUAGCUAAUUGUUUACGAACCCUAGAUAGCUCACCUUCCGCCUUAUUCAAGUCAAAACCAUAUUCAGUUACUUUCUGCCGCAGACUUUCUAUGAGUUUUUCAUCCUUUUCGCUCCUGGGGGAUUUUCCGUGCCUGCUUUCAUUUUCUGAAUUUGGGCUCGCAACGCCUCGUUUUCUUUGGUAAUCGUUUCUUUUCUCCCUCAUCUGCUGCGGCUAGCAAACCAUUUUCAAAUUGCAGCUCUUUGUCUUGCUUUUCCAACCUUCCUAUGGUGGCCCUGUGUUUUAACCACAUUGCAAUUUUUUUUUAAAUAAAAAUAUAUUAAAAGCAGUAAAUAAUUAAAAUUGCACCAUAGGAUGAAACAUGUAUUAAAAUCAGAUAUUAAGCCAUUUAUAAUAGUUUAAGCGACCGUGCUAGANNNNNNNNNNNNNNNNNNNNNNNNNNNNNNNNNNNNNNNNNNNNNNNNNNNNNNNNNNNNNNNNNNNNNNNNNNNNNNNNNNNNNNNNNNNNNNNNNNNNNNAGUGCCUAACACUUUCCCUCGGGUUAACAGAAUUCCUUACUCAAGAAUUUCUGGUUCGCAAACUCUAUUUGGGCAAUCGAAGGAUUUCCUCGAUUUGGGAUUUUAAAUAAAUCGGUGACUUGGGACACCAAAAGCCAAAACUCCAUUAUACGUUUUAACCUUCGGGGUAGGUGUGUAAAAGAGAUUAUUUAUUUAUUUUAUUCAGAGUCGCCACUUGGGAUAUGUUUGGCUUUUGGUGUCCCAAGUCACCGAUUUAUUUAGAAUCCUAAAUCGAGGCAAUCUUUCGACUGCCCAAAUGGAGUCUGCGAACCAGAAUUGUUGAGUAAGGAAUUCUGUUAACCCGAGGGAAGUUGUUAGGCACCCUUGGAUUCUGUGGUUCUAGCACAGUCGCUUAAACUAUUAUAAAUGGCUUAAUAUCUGAUUUUAAUACAUGUUUCAUCCUAUAGUGCAAUUUUAAUUAUUUACCGCUUUUAAUAUAUUUAUUUUUAAAAAAAGAAAAUUGCAAUGUGGUUAAAACAUGCUGCGAACCACAUCAUAUAUAUGCACCCGCAGUUUUUGACAUAUUUCAACUUCAUUGAGAUUUGGAUUUGGGUCACAUAAAUGUGCACCCGUACUUAGGAAGAUAAAAUUAUUAAAGACGCGCUUAAAGCAACUAUCGUGUUAUUAUCUUUGCGGGAAGCCAUGAAGUUUGCUAAACGGCGUGUCCCGAAUUAGUUCUUUUGCUCAUAGGUUAAACUCAACAACUAAUCAAUGAUCGGAGUACUCAAAAUAAUGUAAUAGGCUAAAAGUACAAAUGAUUGCGAAUUGGUAUUGGUUACAGAAUGUAUCAAGAACUAUUGAGUUACUACCAAAUACUCAAUUAGCCAAGUUAGUACUGUUUGCAGGGGACUCUAGCCAACUCAUAAGCAGGCAGUAUAUGUGACCAACUUAAGAAAAUUCAAAUCACUAAAUCGAUAAUUAAACUACAAAACACUAGCUGGACAAUCACAAUUUGUGACAGUGAUAACCAUAAGCCAAUAUCACAAUAAAAAGUAUUCGGAAAAAUAAUCUUUCUAAAUCAUUGUUCCUUGUUUAAAUUAUUACAGUAAAUUGACAUUCCAGCAAAUAUGGCUAAUGGUUUCCAGUUCAACUCAUGCCAAACUAUGGCUGGCCAUCGAAAUUUGAGUUUGUCAACUGUAUAUAAAGAAAACUAGGAAACCGAUACACUAUGUAAUUCUACACAAUUAGAGGGUUGUACUGGCUUCUUCAAGGAGGACUCCGGCUAACUGGUGGCCAAAUCCAUCCAUACGCCAUAUCUCAAUGCCAUUUUAAGCAUAAAUUAUUAGUUAAUCAAUUAAAUCCUAAAGAGUAUAAGAAACUAACUAACGCUACACUUUAGCAAAUUAACUUAGCUUCAACAGACGCAGAACAAAGAUCAACACAGAGUGAACAUUAAAUAGUUUAAAACACACUGAAUAUAUGGAAUCAAACAUAAACAACACAAGACCAAGCAAAACAUUCAAACCAUACCAGCUACAAGUUGAAAUCAGCUACUAAUCGCAAGGGACAACAACGAAUGGUAACAAACAGCAAAUCCCUCGGCAAACCCAGCAAGAGCGGCUAAAAUACUCGAGAAAUAGAGCUUGAAACAACACUUGAGUCCAGAUUUAUGCGUUGGUUCAACACCUGUUCCAACGAAUAUCUCCUUGAUAGCAGUAGAAAUAAUCAGCCACUCCCCUAUAUUUGACUCUCAAAAUUCAGAUGAGACCCAGCAGAUUUCACACAGUGAUUCCGGGUACUUCAACAAAUGCAUUUGACAGCUACACAGCUCCAAAUGCAGUACGCAACUCCAAUCAUUUCCUUUUCCCGGCAGAAAUUAGUCAAAUAAAGUAUGGAACUAAAACAAAUGUAGCUCCACAACAACACAAUAACAACGAGAAACAGUGUAAUGACAACAAAAAUCAACGGGCAACGAGCGAAAAUUCCACGGCUUCAAAACAGCUUUUUAUAUAUGAAAAUUUCGGGCCAACAGUAGUAAGACUUUAAAAUAGCCAACAGUAGUAAGACUUUAAAAUAGCCAAAUAUAGGCCGAAAAUUACUUCAAAUGGGUGUUCAGCUACUAAUUGCAGGAGAAAACAACCACAAACAGCUCCGACUUCUAUUGGUAAGGAAGAUCAACAACAAUAGCAACUAGAGCACAAAUCCACUGCUCUGAACCAGAUACCCAGCAGAUUCGACAACUUCAGCAAUAACGAGACUUCAACAAGUCCGAAACAUCGACGGGAAGAAACUCGAACCUCGACGAUCUAAUAAACUUUGGACUUGACCUUUUCGAAGUCCCUUUUAAAUUCAGCUGAAGGAAACAACCAUUUUAUGAUUUUUUGGUGACUGUUUGGGGUAAAUUUAAUGGCUGCUUUGACUGGUUUCGGGGUGGAGACGAAGAAGCAAGGGGGAUUAGGGUGUGUAAGGGUUGAGGAAGAUGAAGACCUGGAAGGGGAGAGGGGGUCUCUCUGGUUGUUGAUUUUUUGUAGAACCAGUCAAACGGAGGGUCUCCUCCUUGAUAUUAUCGUGUGUCCCCUCCCUCGUGUAUUUUCCCGUGUAUCAGGUUUUAGGUGGAGACAAUGGGUUUGGAUUUGGGUCAGGCGGGUGGGUUCAUGGGUGGUUUGGGCUUGGAUCAAGAGAAAUCUUGGAUCAAUUUUGGGUGGGGUGAGAGCUGGCUCAAUUUCACAAGACAAACCCAUUUUCAAUUCCUUCUUUUAUUUUUUUCUAUUUUUUCCUUCUUUUUUAAUUAAAAUCCUACAAAUUUAAAAUUUUAAAUUAUCUAAAAUUAUCAAAUUAAACUAAUUAGCUAAUUAUCAAAAUAACUUAAUUCUAAAUUAACAAAGAUAAAACAAUAAAAGGAAAAAAUGUAGAAAUUGACCAUUUUUUGUAAUUUUUAUUUUUAAUAAAGCAACUAAAUACAAUGCAUGAUAUUUUGGUAUUUUUUAUGAUUUGACUAUAACUUGAACAUGCACGAAAAUGCAAAUAAUUAAAAAUUAUACAAAAAUUCCUAAAUGUCCGAUAAUUAACAAAAAAUCUAUUUUCUUGGGAUUUAUAGGAGUAUUUUGUAUAGGGCAAAAAUCACGUGUUUACAACCUUUAUUCAGUUUCCUUGGUUAGCCAAUCCCAUUGCUCUUGUAACGUUUCAACAAAUUCUUGGAGAUGCGUUCAUUUAGCUGGCCUUCCGGGCUCUAUUAUUUUCUGUACCAAGUAAUGUAUCCCGGUGCAACCUCGCCUUUAGAUAUGUCGCAUACUCGGGUACCCGCUGUCAAGAUUGACAUUCACUCCAGAUUUGAUGCAUGACGACUUCAAGGAAUUGACCAUUGGGGCUAAUCUCAACCGCAUGGUGGCUAAUAUCCUCGUCCGUGGAAUCAUUUGGCAUCCACCCAAUUGCCUUAGAACUCUGUAUGGCGCGUAGGGUUGGAUACUUCGGAGACCAUCAAAAGGAAAUGAGGCCUGGUGGCUGGCAUAUACACAAUUUCAUCCACGGGGAGUGACCCGAAUGUCCAUUCUAUCUGAUUUGCAGUGACAACCCGGAGAUGUGACACCCAUUCCGUGACACCCUCAAGUAGCCUAAACCUAUCAACCUUGUUGUAGAAUUCUUCUAUGCAACUCUUUGUUGGUGACCUAUAAUUCAUGAAUCGAGUCCGGUGGCAUAGAUGCUCGAUCAUCCAUAUAUGUAACAGCAGGUUAAAUCCUUCAAAGAAGUCUCCUCCCGCUUUACAGGCGGUGAGAGCACGAAAGAUCUCGGAUAAGAUCAUAAGAGCGAGGGUACUCUUGGCCUGAGUUAGUAAAGCGCUGAUGACCCCUGCUAUUCGUAUAUCAAUAUUUCCAUCCUUCCGCGGAAACACCAUAUGACCCAAGAAGAAAACCGUGAAUGCAAAACUUCGAUGCUCCUCCCAUUUGAGUUGGUUUCCUUUAGUACAAAUAUGGUUUUCCGGGUUAUUGAAUCCCCAUAUAUGACCAUACCUUUGAUAUAUAAACUGCAGGGUAUAGAAGCCGGCUGACAGGUUAGGGUUGUAAACCUUUCUAUUGAUUUUUAAGAAAUCCAGGAACUUGUGCACGACAAGGGCUCUUGGCACAAUCAGGUAUUGGUGCCUCAGGGGAAUCGUAGGGGUCCCAAUAUAUCUAGUUAUUUCCUCUAAUGUCGGUGUGAGUUCAAAAUCCGAGAAAUGGAAUACAUUGUGAGACGAGUCCCAGAAUGUUAUUAAUGCUUUUAUGAUAUCUCCCCUCAGGUUAAUUUUCAGCAGCCCAGUAAGUCCUCCAAAAUGCAUGUUGACCCUGUUUUUCCCCGCUUCCCCCAAGUCAUUCCACCACAUGUGUAGCUCCAAGGGAAUAUUGUUCAUGAAUGUUAUCAGCAAAUACUGACCCAUGCUCAUUCUGCACAUUUAGUAGGGCGAAUUAGUAUCUCAAGAUUUUGUUCUAUUUGACUCCACAAAAUAUUAAAACUGACCUCUUUCUUUUAUGAAAUUUAUAUUCUAAAACCAUGGCCCAGCUUUGCAAAUACGACCUUUCAGCACUUUCGAAGGAAGAUUUUAAGGUUGUGUUCGCUGACCGGCCAAAAUAAGACUCAAAGGUGGCCAUUUGUGCAAAGUCAGCCUUCCGGCGUCCCCUUUAGAAACAUUCGGCUAUUCUUGGCAAUAACGAGAAUUUUGUUUAUGAAUGUUAUCGGCAAAUACUGGUCCAUGCUCAUUCUGUACAUUUAUUAAGGCGAAUUAGUAUCUCAAAAUUUUGUUCUACUUGACUCCACAAAACAUUAAAAACUAACCUCUUUCUUUUAUGAAAUUUAUUUUCUGAAGUCAGAGCCCAGCUUUGUAAAUACGUCCUUUCAGCACUUUCAAAGGAAGAUUUUAAGGCUGUGCUCGUUCACCGGCCAAGAUAAGACUCAAGGGUGGCCAUUUGUGCGAAGUUAGUUCCGGUGCCCCUUUCAGUAACAUUCGGCUAUUUUUGGCAGUAACGGCAUCACCCGAUUUAUUAAAGAAAAUAAGUAAAAUUGGACAUUUGUUUUGGUUAUUUUCGCAAAAGGGAGGUUGGACCCGAUGAGGGUUGCCUACGUAUCUCGUAUCCGACGAGAAUCAAACCGACAUAGUUCGGACAAAACAAUUUAUUAAAACCAAUACAGUAUUGAAGAUCCCCUUUUCUUUUGUUUUGUUUUUGGUUGUUUUAUUUUUCGAAAUCGGCAGUAUUUCAGUGCUAUUUGAGCAUUAGUUUUAAAAGACAAGAGGUUACCCCCAUUAUCCCUAAUACUGAUAUUUUCUCUAUUUUCUCUCCUUAUUCACAACCCGGUCAACAUGAAAAUCGAAAGCAAAUAAAUGCGCAAGUAGCACGUAAAAUGCAUCAGGAUGGUCUUUAUUUCGGCUCACCUGUCCUAGAUGGACCCAACCCCUGUGUUGAGUCCCCCUAAGUCGAAUGCAUGAUGCAAAUAAGCGUUCCAACUAGGGAUCCGGCAUGAGGUCAAGUUAUUCUAAGUUAAAACCUUUGUAUAGGGUCUAGACUGUGCACCCGAGCGGACAACUCAAGUCGGGGAGGGGGCUACCUACCGGGAACUAAAAGGCCAUCUGGCUUAGUAACUUGUCCGGCCUCUUUCUUAUUUUCAGGUAUGACAUUAACAGAAUAGGGAGUCUCAACCACUAAGCACAUCCCCUGAUGUAAGAAGUGAAGGGGUUCGUAGCAGUUUAUAUGUACAGUUCAGAUGAUAUCAAAGCGGUAAAUCAUUUAGCACUUAGAAUAGAACAUGUAGGCAAAUCAGAAGGAGCCAAAUAUAAAAGUAAUUCUAAGCUCGAUUUCUUGAACCCUGAACCAGAGAUUCUGGGUUCCAUAUCCCCAGCAGAGUCGCCAGAGCUGUCAGCUUCCUUUUACACAACUACCCCGAAGGAUAAGAACACAUAAGGGGGUUUUUCCAAUUAAAGUGACAUUAUUCGAAAUGGGACUAUUUAUUUAUUAGAGUCGCCACUUGGGAUAGGUUUGGAUUUGGUGUCGCAAGUCAUCAGUUUAAUUAGAAUCCCAAAUCGAGGAGAUUUUUCGACUUCCUAAAUAGAGUCUGCGAACCAGAAAUUCUCAGUAAGGAAUUCUGUUAACGCGAGGGAAGGUGUUAGGAACCCCCGGAUACCGUGGUUCUAGCACGGUCGCUUAAACUAUUAUAAAUGGCUAAAAUUCUGAUUUUACACAUGUUCAUCCUAAAACAACAAUUUUUAAUAUUUAUACCGCUUUUAAUAUAUAUUUUAAGGAAAUUUGUGAUGCCGCUAAAACUUUUCGCAAACCACGUCACAUAACAACGUCAUAUAAAUGUGCACGUAGUUUUUGACAUAUUUCAACUUCAUCGGGAUUUGGAUUUGGGUCACAUAAAUGCGCACCCGUACUUAGGAAGAUAAAAUUAUUAGAGACGCAUCUAAAAGCGACUAACGUGUUAUUAUCUUUGCGGGAGGCCGUGGAGUUCGCUAAACGGCAUGUCCCAAAUCUCUAAGUAUUUUAAUAUGAAUAUUUCACGAGGGCCAUGCGGUUUAUGGGUUCCGUUUGGCGUGACACACCACGUUUUAUUAAUUAAAAGCCGGUCUAAGGUGAACUAAGACUUCCAUAAUGUUCAUUUCUAAAAGGGCUUUAGCGAUAGAGCUUAGGCUCCAAAUUUAAGCCGGAAUUCAAACAAAAAUGAAACCUCUUAAUUUGAAUUUACUACCUAAUUUGAAAGUACAACCCAAUUUUAUUACAUCAUGGCCAAUAUCGCAGGUUUGAAGCAACACCAUCAGACCCUUUGUUUGCGGAAUUACUGAACUAUAGAUUGACGUGGAAAAUUAUGGAGGGUAUCGAUUCAAUUAGGCUAGUUACGAGCUAUGGUAGACAAUGAAUAUUCAAACGGGUUUGAAAUGCGUAAAUGCAUAUUUCCUGGGUCAAAACUAGACUGCCUGCUCGAAUUAAACUGAAAUUCCACCGGCUUUAAUUGACUUUAAGACUACAUUGACACUAAUUAAUAAUAUCCAAAUAUAAAAACUGAUUGUAACCAUUGGCAAGGUUAAAAUCUGCGACUGGGGUGUAGCGAACUAUCAAUUCAUUGUUUGAAUUGUAGAACUUAAAACAGAUUCACAUUUAGGAUACAACUGAGGACAAUUUAAAACUAUCAUGCUCCUAGAAUCCAAUUACUUACAAUCAAUUUAAACUAUUCAGCUAAGCUUGAAACAGUCCCGUUCAGUCCAAAUUACACAGUUCCAAAUUUAUACAGGCAUAAAUCAAGUUAAUCUAUAUUAGACGUUAGAAAUCAAUUAAGACUAUUCGAUUCUAAACUAUAAGAAGCCAACCAGGCUCAGCUCAAGGAGCAAAUGCUAGAGUGUUUAUCAUUUCAUUUUUGACCGUGGCUACAUCAGAUCAUGUUCAUGUGUGUGUACCUGGAAUUACAGCAAAGGGGAAGCACCUAUGAGUGGGUAAACAAGAGACAAUAACAGCAGCAAAUCCACCAACAGAUUCAACAAUAAAUCAAGCUCGAAACCCAAAAACGAACAAGGAACUUUUCUCAAAAUUAAGACCAGGAUCUACAUAACUUUAAUACAAAAUGCUUCCAGGAUGAAUUCACAAUGGUUGAUGCUAUCGAAUAGAAACCUUUGCAUUCAUUUGCCUUUUGUGUUUUUCAAGUUUGUAUCAGAUUUCCUGGAAUCAGACCUACUAUUUGUUGCUCUCUUAUUGGGAAUUUAUUCAGAAGGAGUUUUAGAGGUCUCUCCUUUUUUCUUUUUAGUCAUGAUAUCUAUGCCUUUAUAGGAAAGUAAGCUAGGGCAAAGUAUUCAGCUAUUAUUUUAACCUUUAGUCCUUUCUAAUUUUUCAUUUAUAACAGUCAAUCCUUCAUUAUUUGCUUUUAGCCUAGGUUACUUCAGACUUGUUUACCAAGUUUACCAACUGAAAUUUCACUAGAGGCCCUUAUUAGAAGCUUUUAAAUUUGUUAUUAAAGAUUCCCUAUCCCUCCAAUGCCUAAACUACCCUUUAUCCAAUCAGAAUUUACCUAGCAUGAGCAGUAAACUAACCCCAACACUCUUUUAUCCCUAGUUAGAAAACACUCAAAUGUAUCCAGUCAAAACUCCACAACUUGUGUUGAACAUUAUUUAAGUUUGAUCAAUAAAUAAUCUAAAGCUAGUGUAUAUAUAGUGGACAAUUAACUGAAACAAUUUGCAACAACAUGACAUGCCAGAUGAAAAUAAUCAUAUCCUAAUAACUUAUGUAGGCUUUUGGACAAGGUUAGAAAGAAGGGGUGUGAAAAGCUCAAAAAAUCGCUUUUAUGGGUUCAAAAUUUACAACUUUCGGAAUCCAAACCAAUGCAAUGUAUGCCCCAGUUUCUUGCUUGGGGCUUUCUGAUUUAUUUGAAUACGACCGAGCCGUAAGGCUGCCUACGUAUCCUAAAAUGAAUCAGAUCAAACGUAGUUCCUACUAAUUCCUUAUGUUCACUAUUGUUUGAUUUCCUUUUCCUCUUCUCUUUCUGCUACCUUUCUUACUUUUUCCUUUUAUUCUUUUUUCUUUUCCUUUCCUUUUCUUUUCUUUUCUUUGCUUUCUUUUCUUUUCUUUUCUUUGCUUCUCUCUUUUUCUCUUUUUUUCUUUCUUUCUCUCUUUUCUGUUUUGUUUUACUUUCUUUUUCUUUAUUGUCCAUUUGCCGCCUUUUAUAAUUGCAUUUCUUACUCUCAUUAUUGAUUCUGAAAGAUGGGAUAUAAGAAAAUAAUUGAAGCUCAAGAGGGUUAACAAGGGGUAAAGUUUUUAGAUAGCUGAAUAAAAUGCCUUCAUCAUUUCAAACUCUAGAACAUGCCAAGUACAAAUAAAUGUCAAGCAUAGACAACGAUUCCAACAAAACAGAAUCAUACAUAAUAUCUUUUGACUGCAUCUAAAUUGAUAGCCAUUUCUACGCAUUUUCCUUCCACAUCUUUCAGAUACAAUGCUUCAUUAGACAACACUCUAAACACGACAAACGGGCCUUGCCAAUUCGGAGAAAACUUGCCCUUUGCCUCAGCCUGGUGAGGAUGGAUGCGCUUCAACACCAAUUGACCUACUUCAGACUUUCUUGGACGCACUUUCUUGUUAUAUGCUCUCGCUAUCCUCUGUUGAUACAACUGACCGUGACAUACCACUACCAAUCUUUUCUCAUCAAUCAAACUCAAUUGCUCCAAACAAGCUUUGACCCAUUCUUCGUCGCCGAUUCCUUCUUCAGCCAUGAUUCGAUGGGAUGGGAUUUCAAUUUCAGUCGGGAUUACUAAUUCUGUGCCAUACACCUACAAGUUUGGUGUCGCCCCUACCGAAGAGCGAACUGUAGUGCGAUAGCCUAACAAUGCAAAGGGUAACCUCUCAUGCCACUGCCUGGACCCUUUCACCAUUUUAUGAAGUAACUUCUUUAUGUUCUUAUUGGCCGCCUCAACCGCUCCAUUCGCCUUGAGGCGAUACGGGGUAUAAUUUCAAUGUGUGAUCUUGAACUGCUGACAUACUUCUCUCAUCAAGUGACUGUUGAGAUUUGCCACAUUAUCAAUGAUGAGCGUCUUGGGGAUUCCAAACCGACAGAUGAUAUUCGUAUGUACAAAGUCGACAAUGGCUAUUUUGGUCACUGCCUUGAAGGUUUUGGCUUCCACCCAGCUGGUGAAAUAGUCAAUCGCAAUCAGGAUAAAUCUGUGUUCAUUAGAAGCAGCAGGCUCGAUGGGCCCGAUGACGUCCAUGCCCCAAGCAACAAAGGGCCAUGGUGCAGACAUUGUAUGAAAUUCCGACGGUAGGGAGUGGGUUAGUCUCCAUGCACCUGACAUUGAUGACAUUUGCACGAAGUUGAUGCAAUCCCGCUCCAUGGUGAGCCAAUAAUAUCCUGCCCGAAGGAUCUUCUUUUCCAAAACAUAUCCACUCAUGUGUGGCCCGCAGACACCAGCGUGCACAUUAUUCAUGAUGGUUGUCGCCUGCCCAACAUCUACCUGCCUUAACAAACCAAGGCCCGGCGUCCUUUUGUAUAAUACUCCUCCAUUGAGAAAAACCCGCUCGACAGAUGACAGAUCGUUCUCUUCUGGUCACUCGUGGCUUGUACUGGAUACACACCUCUCCUGAUAUAUUCCUUGAUGUCGUGGAACCAAGGCUCGCCGUCAAGCUCUUCUAAAAACCCAUUUGACAAGCAACGGAUUUUUCUCUUUUGGUCACUCGUGGGUUGCAUCGGGUACACACCCCUCCUGAUAUAUUCUUUGAAGUCGUGGAACCAAGGCUCACCGUCAAGCUCUUCUUCCACCAUGUUGCAAUAAGCAUGCUGAUCAUGGACCCAGAUAUGUAUCGGGUCAACAUAAGCCUUGUCCGGGUGAUGUAACAUUGACUCCAGAGUAGCCAAGGCAUCAGCAACCUCAUUCACUCGGGAUGUGCGUGAACUCUAUUGACCGGAAUCGUUGACAAAGAUCAUGCAAGCAUUGCUAGUAUGGUAUGAGCUUUAAGUCUCUUAUUUCCCAUUCCCCUUGAAUCUGGUCUACCAGAAGGUCCGAGUCUCCCAAGACCAAGACUUCCUGGACACCCAUGUCUGCUGCUAAUCUCAAACCCAAAAUGCAUGCCUCAUACUCCCCUUGAAUCUGGUCUACCAGAAGGUCCGAGUCUCCCAAGACCAAGACUUCCUGGACACCCAUGUCUGCUGCUAAUCUCAGACCCAAAAUGCAUGCCUCAUACUCUGCCAUGUUUUUGGUGAAUCGGAAUUGAGCUGUGACUGGGUAAUGAUGCCCUUCUUAUGAAAUGAGCACUGCUCCUAUCCCAACACUUUCAUGUUGGCAGCCCCAUCGAAGAACAAUUUCCAACCUGACCUCUCAUCUUGUUCCAUUCCAUCAAUAUGCAUCACUUUCUCAUUUGGGAAGUAUGUAUUCAAGGGCUCGUAUUCUUCAUCUAUCACAUUCUCAGCUAAAUGAUUUACCAAUGCUUGUUCUUUCAUGGUAGUCCUAGUCACGUAGAUAAUGUCGAACUCAGUGAGCAAGAUUUGCCAUUUUGCAAGCCUUCCGUGGGCAUGGGCUUCUGGAAAAUGUACUUCAAUGGGUCCAGAUGCGAGAUGAGAUAAGUGGUACAUGAGGACAAGUAAUUCUUUAUCUUCUGGGCUACCCAUGUCAAGGCGCAGCAUGUCCUUUCAAGAUGAUUAUACUUGACCUCUUAAGCCAUAAAUUUCUUGCUAAGGUAGUAUAUGGCUUGCUCUUUUCUCCCCGUGACAUCGUGCUGACCCAACACAAAUCCAAAUGAGUUGUCCAGGACUGUCAAAUAUAAGAUCAAGGGCCUUCCUAGUUCUGGCGGGACCAACACCGGUGGGUUCGACAAAUAUUCCUUUAUCUUAUCAAUAGUCUCCUGGUACUCUCCCGUCUAUUUCACCGCAACAUCCUUUUUCAAUAGCUUAAAGAUGGGCUCGCAGAUAGUUGUGAGCUGAGCAAUGAACCGGCUGAUGUAAUUCAACCUUCCUAAUAGACUCAUCACUUCUGUUUUAUUCCUCGGUGGCGGUAGCUCCUGUAUAGCUUUGAUCUUUGACGGGUCCAGUUCAAUGCCUCGUCGGCUGACGAUGAACCCUAGCAACUUCCCUGAGGGGAUCCCAAUUGCGUAUUUUACCGGAUUGAGUUUAAGAUCAUACCUGCAGAGCCUUUGGAAGAAUUUCCUCAGAUCUUUGACAUGAUCAGAUUUCUCUCUGAUCAUCUAUGUAGACCUCAAUUUCUUUAUACAUCAUAUCGUGGAAAAUGGUUUUCAUGGCUAUCAUAUAUGUCGCCCCGGUGUUCUUCAAACCGAAAUACAUGACCCUAUAACAAUAUGUCCCCCACAGUGUGAUAAAUGUGGUUUUCUUUGCAUCCUCUUCAUCCAUUAAGAUCUGGUGGUAGCCUGCGUAGAAAUCCACGAACGACCCGAUCUCAUGCUUCGCACAAUUGUCAAUCAGUAUGUGAAUGUUCGGCAGAGAGAAGUUGUCCUUCAGACUUGCUUUAUUGAGGUCACGGUAAUCGACACACACUUUUGUUUUACCAUCCUUCUUUGGUACGGGCACAACAUUAGCUAACCAGGUGGGGUAUCGUGUGACUCGGAUGACUUUUGCCUCAAACGGCUUGGUCACUUCCUCUUUGAUUUUCACGCUCACAUCAGUUUUGAACUUCCUCAACUUUUGUUUGGUGGGAGGGCAGGCUGGGUCGGUGGGCAACUUGUGAACCACCAAGUCAGUGCUCAACCCGUGCAUAUCAUUGUAGGACCAUGAAAAUACAUCUUUGUACUCAAGCAGGACUUCAGUUAUUUCUUUCCUAAGUUUUGAUUCCAUAUGGACACUUAUUUUUAUUUCUCUGACAUAAUCUGAGCUUCCUAAUUUGACCGCCUUUGUAUCGCUCAGGUUUGGUUUGGUUUUCUCCUCAAAUUGGCUCAACUCUUUACUAAUCUCAUCCCGAGCCCCUUCCUCAUCGUAUUCUGACUCAUCCUCAUGUUCUAUUUCCUGAAUUAUUAUUUUCGAACUAGACUGAUUUUGAAGACUGGGCCGAGGAGUCCUUAUGCAUGUCAGAUCACUGGAACCAGCAUAAAAAUAAAGUUGUGAUUCCAGAUGGACACUUAUUUUUGUUUCUCUAACAUUAUCCGGGCUCCCUAAAUUGAAUUCCUCUAUAUCGCUCAGAUUCGGUUUGUGUUUCUCUUCAAAUUGGCUCAGCUCUUUACUAAUUUCAUCCCAUGCCCUUUCCUUGUUGUAUUCUAGCUCAUAUUCAUGCUCUAUUUCCUGAAUUAUUAUUUCUGAACUAGACCGACUUUUAAGAUUGGCCGAAGAGUCCUUAUGCAUAUCAGAUCAUUGGAACCAGCAUAAAAAUAAUUGUACAAAAGAGAAAAGAAAGAUAAGUAAAGAAAAAUGCAAGCUAUCAGUAUUGCUGGAAGGGAAAUUGUAUUUCAUUAGAAUCAAAGUUAACAGAGAUUACUUAUCCAAACGGACGAAAAUAACAACUGAAUUAACAACUCUGAAGUUAAUCCAAACUAGACUGAAAGAAAAAUCAAAGCCGACUACCACGACUACCUCCGGAUGGGAAGAGGAGUGGCUUCCCAGUUAUUGACUUUUGCGCAUGGUCCCACAAAGUGCACAUCUGCGCUGCUCGAUCCUUCUCCUGCCUCGACCAUAUUUAGCUCAUUGAACAGCCUUUCUAAUCCCUUAUCCAGAUCCAUGUCCACAUCGAUCAGCGGGCCGGGAAUCCUAGGUAUGGAGCCAUGGCUAGCCCUGGGCUUGACGAAUGAUUUGGACAACCUUGAGAUGGGCUUUGGGAGAGCGCAUGCCCUCUGUUUCAGCUUCCUGGCUCUCCUUAUGUCUGCAGCUGUAGGCUUGAACCCUAAACCAAAAGUGUCCUGAUUUUUGGGUAGGGACACUGGUUGCACAAUGCCUUGUAGAGCAGUACCCAACCUCUUGCCGGGCGUGAAACCAUUUUUCAACAUUUGUGAAGCCUCCAUGACCGACGAAACUGCUAUCUUUGGAAUCAUGACAACUUCACAUUCUGGGAUCUUUUGAACAGACAGCGUAUCAAAUACCUGGUAGAUCCAUGACCCUUUGCUGUCUUCAGAUUCGAUAAAAGGUACGAUAGCAUCACCUGAAAUGCACUGAUUGUCUUCACCGUAGAUCACAAUCUCUUGCCUAUCCCAUUCAAAUUUGACCAUAUGAUGCAGUGUAGAUGGCACUGCCUUGGCUGCGUGAAUCCAAGGCCUACACAACAACAGGUUAUAAGAGACUACCACGACCAGCACUUGAAAUUCCAUGGUGAACUCAUCGGGCCCUAUUGUCACUUCCAGCACUAUGUCCCCCACUGAGUCUUUGCCUCUGCCAUCAAAACCUCGCACACAAAUAUUAUUCUUGUGGACCCUUUCAUUCUCCACCUUUAGCUUGGUCAAUGUGGAGAGUGGAUAAAUAUUUGCACUGGAUCCGUUGUCAACCAGAACCCGGGUGACCACAACAUCUUCACAUUUCACGGUCAGAUAAAGGGCCCGAUUAUGCUCAGUGCCCUCCGUAGGCAGCUCGUCAUCGGAGAAAGUGACCCGAUUUACCUCGAAUAUCUUGUUUUCAAUCUUCUCCAAAUGAUUCACUGUUAUUUUAUCAGGGACGUGGGCUUCGUUCAAAUCUUCAUAGUGCCCGGCGAUGUUCAUCUGAAUGGAUUAGUAAGGACAAUAAGGAGAUCUGAGCUUUUGGUCCAUCAGUUAGCCUUUAGUCCAUGAUAAGAAUAGGAAAUCAGAACUACUUUUUGAUUAAAAAUUUGAAGUUUUAAGCUCAGAAAUCGAUUGAAUUAGCAGCUCUCUGAUUUUUAUUCAGCUUUUUUUUUCCUUCUCUCUGAGUGCUAGUGUGUAUAUAUAUAUAUAUAUAUAUAUAUAUCCUCAACAUAGGGGUACCUUCAGAUUUUAAGUUGCCUCUUAGUCCCUAUUUUAUUUACUACCUUAGUCCCCCAUUUCCUAGUUUGCUACCCAAGUUACCACAAAAUGGAAAUCUAAAUUCCAAUUUGUUCCAUAUUCUAGAAGCUUCAUAAUUCAAUUGACAGAGAUUCCUUGAUAAAUUACCCAAAUUACCCCUGAAUUGUUCCUAAAAUUACUAACCCUAGCCCAUCUCUACCCUAGUUAACUUACCAAUCCUAACUCAACUACAACCAAAUGCCCUAAAAUCUGAAUCACAUGACCCAAAUCAUUCUAAAGGUUUGAAUUAAAUGACAAAAAUCCAGAUUGACUACAAUUAUGCAGCAACAUUGUCUAACCAAAGCAGAUUACAAAAAUCAAAAUAGGAUCAGACUGACAAAAUCAACAAAAAUCAAGGCAUAAACACAAGUUGCCUUCCAAUAAAAGACUCAAACUAAUUCAAUCAACCAAUGAUGGAAAUAAUGAACCAAAAAUAAAAGUCAAUCAGAAGAAGAAACAAUUCAAUGAGCAUAUAUAUAUUUAUCCAAAAAUCCAAAGAUAAGAAAUCGAAAUCAAAGAACAAACACAAAUUUCCUUUCCAUAAACAGAUUCCAACUAAUAAGGUCAGCCAAAAUAGAAUGAUGAACCAAAAUAAAGGACACUUAAGAGAACAAUAUAUCAAUGAGCGUAUACAAUUAUCCAAAGAAAUAAGGAUUAGACUAACAAGAAAUCGAACACAAAUUGCCUUUCAACAAACAAGUCGCCCAAAUAAUAAAGUCAGCCAAGAUAAAAUAAUAGACCCAAAAAUAAAAGACACUCAAGAGGAGAACCAAGAAACAACUAUGCUUACUAUACUGUAAGCCUAUCAAACGAAUGAAAAAUGAAUUAAACCAUACAGAAGAAAGAGAGGAGAGCAUGAAGACUAAGAAUACUAAAACAAACAGAAAAGGACCUACACAAUGAUACUCUAUUAAAGUGAAACAAGGUUAGAUGACUUAGCUUAAAAUCAUGGCUUCAGAAACCACAUGCAUCACUAAACGGGUUCUGGCUAACUUUUUAUUUAGCAUUUGAACCAGACGGGGGUGAUUCGAGGGCCAUGAGUCAUGGAUUUGAGUUGAGGGGUGCAAGGAGGAUGCAUGGUGUUGAUUUGGCGGGUUUUGGAAGCAGUUGUAUUUUGGCCAGGCUUUUCAAUUUAAUAUUUGAGAAGAUGUGGUGUGAUUCGAGGGAUAACUAUUUUAGAUCUGUGAUGAGGGUAGGGCGAGGAGCCUAGGGUUGAAAACUUGGGGUGCUUGAUGGCCGGUCUCCGCCGUGGACGAUGGAGAUGUCGAAUUUCGGAUAGAUAUUCGACGAGAUUGGGAAUUAUUUGAGGGUAACUGGUGGUGGGGUUGGAAAGGGGAGGGUGAGGAGAUGAUGUGGUGUAGUUUUGGGGUCCAUCGGUGCUACGCUACCGCCGGCGACAAUUUCUGGCCAGCGGCGGACGACGGAGGGAGGGUGGUGAUACCGUGGUGUUACACCAGAGGUCGAUUUGGUAUGAGGAGGAUGAUUUUGUCUUUGAGGGUUGUAAGUGUCAUUCAGACACUUUUAUUAAAAAUGUGAGGCUAGAUCUGAGCCGGUUGAUCAAAAGGAAUGGAUGACUGAGAUCAAAUGGACGUCAAACAACGUCGUUUUGAUGCCUUCUCUGGCUGGACCGGGUAUGGGGCUUGGGUUGGGUUAAAUUUAAUGGGUCUGGUGGUUUGGGCUCCAAAUUGUGGCCCAAAUCAUGGUCUUUAAUGAGAAGACGCAAUUUGUGCAUUUUUCUCCUUUUUAUACUUUUUAUUUGUUAUAUUUUCAGAUUUUAAUAAUAAAAAUAAACUAAAACAUGUUUAACUUCUACAAAAUAGACUAAAUAAACAUUUAAAAUAACCUAAAUUCUAAAUUUCAAAAGAAAAUUGAACGAAUGUAAAAAUAACCAAAUUUGUUAUUUUCAAUAUUAAUUAACUAAUAACCCAAAAGAAAGAGAAAAAAAGUAAAAAUUAAGUCUUAAAUGCAAACAUGCUAUUUUUGUAUUUUUUGUGAAUUAUAUUAAUUAAAAAUUCAUAAUACAAAAUCAUGUGAUUAAUUCCUAAAAAUUCAAAUAAUAAAAGAAAAUUCUUUAUUUUGAUGAAUUUUAUAGGAACAUUUUGAGCGAGGCAAAAAUCACGUGCUCACAAUAAGUAUUAUGGAAACUUGUGCCUAGCCUCAGAGCUCUCAGAAGUACUGAUACUGAGCUGAAACGACAGAAUAUCCUUCUACAAGAGCGACGAUAAUGGCUCAAACAACCCCGUAGAGAGAAACACCCUACAUCACAUUCGUAGUACCAUUACAAUUCUUUAAUUCUCGAUUUAUAACAAGCGUUUCUUUGAGUAGAAAGGACACAAGGGUAUAAGCCUAAAGGAAUCAAAUCGCACGAUGAGGAAUCAAGAAGGUAAGUACUCCUAACAGCCCUGUAGCCUCUUGAAAAUAAGUACAAACGUAUCCGUACUGAUCCGCGAGACUCUACUAGACUUUCUUUUGACUCGUGAGACUUAAGGGAACCUAGUGCUCUGAUACCAUGUUGUCACGAUCCAAAAUCCACAAAGGGUCGUGAUGGCGCUAGACACCGCUGUCAGGCAAGCCAACCAAAAUACAUAAUUAAAUUCUCGUUUUAAAUAUUUCCGAAAUUACUUCUUUUAUAUGUUUAAACAAUACAUAGUAAAUUCCACUGGAUAGAUAAUGAAAAAUUUAACAACGUUUAGAGUUUCUGAAUAAACCCAUAGACAUCGUAGAACUUGGUGUCACAAGUGCAUGAGCAAUUUCUAAGAAAUAAUUUAAUAAAACAACUGUCUGGAAUACAAAUUGGAUAGAGGAUAAAUACAACAAUAUGGAGGAGACUCUGCAGGCUGCGGGUCGUCCCGAGAAGUGCAACUCAUCUAAGUCUCCGCAUCAACUAUGCUGCUAUGCCACUAAGCCACUAGCCACAUAUAAACCUGUGCAAAAAAAAUGCACAGAAAGUGUAGUAUGAGUACGAAAACAAUGUGUACCCAAUGAGUAUCCCGUCUAAUCUCGAAGAAGUAGAGACGAGAGGUCGACUUCGACAUUUACUAAUGGUCCAAUAAUACAUUAUUAAUGCGAUGAAUCACUGAUUUAUUAUCGACAGUAAUUUUAAAUAAGUCAAGAAACAGGUAAAAGUUCCUUUUUAUUAAAGCCUCUGGAUUCGUAAUCCACUAAUUAACAAUUUUCUCAAGUCGGGGAGAAAAAAUAUCAAUAUCAAUAAAUCUCAAGGAAAGCAAUACAAGCAUGCGCAACUCUUGCCGAGGUCGUACUACCCGAACCAACAUAAAUGUAAAAUAUGCAUUGCCGAGGGUCGAAAGGCGCGAACCAUAGAUGCAUUUAUUACCCACUCGCGAACAAUACAUGCGAUGCGGUCAAAUUUAAAUAUACAAUUGCCCUGCUCGCGAACCUUACAUGCGAUGCAUGUACACAUAGAAGUACAUGCUCAAACAACAAAUUAAGAAUUUAUCGGGAAAUAUUUAUCUAAAUAAUAUUCAAUUUCUUUUAUUGAUUUAAGAAAAUGAAGUUUGAUCCUAUUAGAAAUUCAUUUACCAAUUCGAUAGAAUUUAAGAAAUUCAACUAUCAAUAAGAUCACAAAUAUUCCAAGUAUAGCAUGCUUUUGGAUCCUAGACUACCCGGACUUACACCUGUUAGCAGCUACGCACGGACACUCGUCACCUCAUGCAUACGUAGCCCCCUACAAAUAGGAGCACAUAAUUAAUUAUUUCACCUAUGGGGAUAAUUUUCUCUUACAAGGUUAGAAAGAAGACUCACGUCGUUCCGAAAAUCCAUGAACAACAUUCCAUGCCCUUUCGAAGACUCGAAUCAAUGCUAAAUGCUUCAAAGCUAGUCAAAAAUUAUGCAAGUACAUUUAUAUAUGCCCAAUUACUCAUUACAAUCCAAUUCAAAACAAUUCUUAACCUCGAUUAAAAGGUUGACAAAAUUUUCCUCGGGCCCAUGUGCCCAGAUUCCUAAAUUUUUCGAAGAUAAAGUUUACCCAUAGCCUCAUGAACUCAAAUAUAUAGUUGGCUAUGCAUUUCAUGUCCAAAAUCGUGGUCAAAAUCCAAGAGUACAAAUUUUCUAAGUUUUUCCCAAAAUUACAACUAAUUCACAUGAUUUUCCAUGUUAAAAUCUAGAUAUAAUCCAAGUAAUUAACUUGCAAUAGGUGGGAAUCACUUGUCUUGACAUGGAUGAUGAAAAUGAAGCACCAAAAUCGCUCCUAGUCGGAUCCCAUGGAGGAAAUGAGCCAAAACCAUUUCUUUGCACUUAUACAAUGCCCAUACGACUCUUCUUUGCGUUCGUGAGACCCCCAUCGCGUUCGCAAAGAAGAAAAUAUUCAAAAACCAUUUUCGAAACUCCUCAGCCUCUAGUAUAAUGUCCAUUUUUUUUGUACAAAAUUCCAAAUGACAAAUGGUUUAAUAUUUUGAAAAUAAGAUACCAAGAUCUACAACAUUUAUGUUUUUGUCAUGUCCUAAUUCCUUACAGAUUUUGAGAUAUAACCUGUCAAAUCCAGCUGUGUUCAACACAAUUUCUUCUUCAUAUUCCCGGAUAGCCUAUAAUGUACCAGCUAUAUCCUUUUUGUACACAAAUGGUUUACUUUUCUGAAAACUAGACACAAAGAGCUAUAACUUUCAUUUCUGGAUGAUCUCCAUAUUCUUUAUAGGUUGCAUGAUAUGAGCCUUCGAAGUUAGACCUGUGCAACAAAGAUUUCCUUCUUUACGAACGCGAGGAUAUCUUUGCGAACGCGAAGAAUAGAGUCCCUGAAAUAAACUCCUUCUUCGCGAACGCGAAGAACAACAGCAGCAUCAGCUGUUGCAAAAUAGUCUGAAAUGAUCCGAAACCACCCCGAAACACACCCCAGGCCAUCAGGGUCCCGUCCAAUCACAUAAACCAGUCCCAUAAUACAUCACAGACUUGCUCGAGACCUCAAAUCACAUAUCAAAAAAUGCUAAAACAACGGAUCACAUUCCAAUUCAAGCUUUAUGAACUUUGAAAUUUCAAACUUCUAUAUUCGAUACCGAAACCCGUCAAAUCAUGUGUGAUUAACCUCAAAUUUUACACACAAGUCAUAUUCGACAUUGCGGACCUACUCCAAAUUCCGAAAUUGGAAUCUGACCUCGAAAUCAAAAAGUUCACUUCCGGUCAAACUUCUCAAAAACCUUCAAAUUUCUAUCUUUAACCAAAUGACUACAAAAUAACCUACUAACCUCCGAAUUCUCUUCUAAUUGCGCUCCCAACUUCAUAAUCACCAUACGGAGCUACUCCUAGACUCGGAAUCCCAAACGGACAUUGAUAACACUGAAGUGCACUUUAACCCAAACUUAUGAAAUUUCUUCCAAAAUGCUAACUUCCAUAAUAGGUGCCAAAAGUCUCUCGGGUCAUCCAAAACCCGAUUCGGGUAUACGUCCAAGUCCGAAAUUAUCAUACGAAUGUACUGGAACCUUCAGAUCCCUGUUCCGAGGGCAUUUACUCAAAAAUCUAAUCUUAGUCAAUUCUUUUAACUUAAAGCUUCUGAAAUGAGAAUUCUCUUUCCAAAUCAACUCCGAACUUUUCCAAAUUGAAUUCCGACCAUGCGUACAAGUUAUAAUAUCUGAAGUAAAGUUGCUCAUGGCCACAAACUGCUGAACGACGUGCUAGAGCUCAAAACGACCGAUUGAGUCGUUACGUGUCUUCUUUUCUAUUGUCGGAUAAAUAUUAGUCUAUAGUAAAAAAAAUAUUUAAAAUGUGUAUUGCUUGACUUUAGCUAGUCAUACAUUAAUCAUUAAAAUAUUGUCAUGUAUGGUUGGGUUGUGUUACUUAUCCAUCACUACCAUAUAUUAUCUACAAUCGCACUUAAAACUUAUUCUUAAUAAUUUCUUUGAACUUUAUUAAUUAUUAAGUAGUAGCCAUGUGGUCGCUUCUUUGAAUUGUAUUUACUUUUAGAUGGAAAAUUGUAAUUGACGAUGUAAAUUAUAUAACGGUACCUUGUUUGACUAUUGUCGGAAAGAUAGGAUAAAAUUUAUCAUCAUCAGAAAAUGAUGAAAUAACCUUAUCUUGACGAUGAAAACAUCACAUUAGGAUAUGCAUUCUAAAUUAAAUAAUUUUUUUGGUCUAGUAGGAAAAUUUCUUAACCUGAUUUUUAAACUCGAAGCGUUGAAGCUCUGUUUAAUCUAAUGGGGGACAACGACCGUGAUAUUUCUUUUCUAUUAUAUAGGAAAAGUCUACUUUGUAUUCUAUUUGUGUAUUCUUUUUUAGUCUUAAAUAAUAGCAGAUGAAAUAGAAGGCUUUGAAGGAAGAUAAUGAAAUUAUGUAAUUGGAUCUUCUAAAAGCAAAGGAAUAAUCUGUUUUUCUAUUUUAUAGAAAUAAAAUGAUGGUCGGUCAAAACCAUAUAUGUCAUUUCAGAAUAAUUCCUACAUUGUUAUAUUUUUUAAAUAUAAAGUGUCAUUGAUACACGUGUAUCCCACAUUUUCCUGACUACAAUGCUAUUUUGCAUGUACUAUUAAUUAGACUACUUUUCCUUAGAGUACUAAAUGCAAAUACUCAUUUGGAACAUUCAUUUUCUCAUUUGGUAAAUUAACUAAAUUUAGUUUAGUCAACUAGAAGUUUCCACAGAGAAAGUUGAAUUAAUUUUUAUAUAAUAAAUAUCGGUACAUAUUUAAAAGAUUUUCGUAUUUAUCCAUAUUGUUUUGUCACGACUUCAACCCGGUCGUGAUGGUGCCCAACACACUGUUAGGCAAGCCCAACCAAUUCCAUAACCUUAACCAUUUUAUACCAUUCAGGAGUUAAUUAACACAGAUGAUUUACUAAAUCAGAAUACUAAAAGUCUGAAAUAAACUAAAACAUGCGGAAUCCCAAGUAAUAAAAAUAACUACACAACCCGAAGAAUCUGGUAUCACAAGUUUGAGCCUCUAAUAUCUGAGUAUCAAUCUACUACAUAUCGUUCUAAAAAAUGCGAAAAUAAAGCAAAUAAGAUAGAAGGAUGAUCAAGAUUGCGGACGUCAUGCAGCUACCUUGAUGUUCCCGGAUAAGCUGCUCGGUAGAGAAAGCUUCACUCAACCUUAGAUGUACCUGGAUCUGCACGCAAGGUGCAGGGAGUAAUGUGAGUACUCCGAUUCAGUGAGUAAUAAACACAAAUAAAGACUAAGAAUAAGAAAGCCUAAAUAGGCACAAGUAAUUCUAUAAAUACAACAACAUGAACCAGAUAGUAUUCAACCAGUAAACCAAUAACAACAGUUAUGGAAAUGCUACAGCAGAUAAGUAAGUAAAUGACAUGCAAAUAUGAUAUGCAACACAUAGUCCGGUACCCUCUAGUACCCGCUACAACGUGCAGCCCACUCCAUUUAUUUAUCGUCGACGACGCUCAUUAGGGGUGUACAGACUACGGGAGGAGCCCCUUACGGCCCAAGCGUAAUAUAAGCCAUCUCGUGGGAUUAACUAGGCCCUAGGGCUCAUAUGAAUAUCCACAUAAUACUGCUGCGGCGCACAAUCUUUCGGGCACAACAAUUUAUAGUUCUUCAGCCCAAACUUCAUUAGAAAUAUUAUUUAAGUUUCAAGUUUGAGAAAAGAUGGUUGAGUUUGAGAAAUAGUAUUAAAUACCAGGACUGAGUUCAAUAAUACAUAAAAACGGUAAGAAACCAGUAAUAACAAUCCCUGAAGGAUUCAAUCAAUUGGCACGAAGCCCAAUCAUAGCAAUCAUCUCAAAUUAUACUAAUAAUAAUAGCUAAAUUUUAGUUAAAUACACAGUAUUCAAUCUACCGGGACGGACACAGUUACAAUCCCCUAUGGUGCUCUACCCUAAUCUCGCUAUCUGGCGUACAAGUAACUUUAAUAUAGCACUACAAUGUGCAAAUUCGGAGUUUCAAAUUAUCAGGACAACAUUUACAUCUACUACUCACCUCAAGCCGGCAAAUGUCCUAGCUCGCUAUGCCUUUGCCUCUCAAAUCGACCUCCUCGCACGUCGAAUCUGAUCAAACCCACAACGAAUACGUCACAAUAUGCCAAUGUAACAAUAUCUAAUCGAAAAAUAGCAAAAGUCUCAAAAUUAGCAAAACCCGAGCCCCGGACCCACUUCUCCAAUUCCAAAAAGUUUUACAUCAACGGAUUCCUUAUCUCGCCACGAGUUUAUACAUACGAAAAUUAUCCAAUUCCGACACUGUUUGGUCCUUCAAAUCAUCAUUUUAUAUUUUUGAAAGGUUUCACAAAUUUCUUCCCAAAUUCCAUCCCGAAUCACGAAUUAAAUGAUGAAUCCAAUGAUCGAUUCAUAUACUCUAGCCAAAUAUGAGAUAGAAUCACUUACCCCGAUAAAUUUCUUGAAAAACCGUCGAAUAUUUGAGAAAAUUCGAGCUUUCUAGGGCAAAAUAUCAAAUAAAAUCCAAAACCUCAUAUUUGUAUAGCAACUCCUAAAUUUCCAUCUCUGUCGGCCGCAUAAAAUCGACCGUGGCCACGCAAAAACUAGCGCGGUCCACGCAAAAAUGACCGCGGUCGCACAUUGUUCUCUCCAAUGAUAGGCUUUGGUAUUUUUGCUAUAACUUUCACUACAGAUGUCCAAAUGCCUGUUACAAUAUAUUUCUGAAAACUAGAUUCAAAGAAUUACAGUUUUUCAAUUUUGAAUCAUCUCAAAAUUCCUUGUAGAUCAAAUGAUUUGAGCUUCCAAAAAAGGACUAGCGGGAAGGUUCUUCACCGCGGCCGCACACACUUUUGUGCGGUCCGCACGACACCUACUGCGGCCGCACACACUUUGGUGCGGUCUGCACAGCACUCACCGCGGGUGCACUUCUUUUUGUGCGGACCACGUGGGUGAGUUGCGAGGCCUGCAACCCAUUUGGACCUGCUAUAGCUAUGAUUUUUGCACUAAAACUUCCUGGAACCUACCUGGAACUCCCGGAACUUCAAAAUAAUUGUACCAAUACAUCCCAUGACAUCGUUCAAACUUGUUCAAAAAUUUGGAACGCUCACAGCCACAUCAAAUCAUCAAUUUAACAUAGGAUUCAGCCUAAGAACUCCAAGAACUCUUAAAUUAUGCUUUCGAUCAAAAGUUCGACCAAAUGACGUACGAAUAACCUGAAAUUUUUGCACACACAUCUCAAAUAACCUAACGAAGCUAUAGCAACUUUUGGAAUUCCAUUCCGACCCUCGGAUCAAAAUCUCACCUAUCAACCAGAAUUCGCUAAAAUACUAACUUCGCCAAUUCAAGCCUAAUUCUACACCGGACCUCCAAAAUCACUUCCGAUCACACUCCUAAGUCACAAAUCAUACCCCGAAGCUAGCCGAAUCAUUGGAAUUCACAUCCGAGCCUCCUAGCACAUAAGUCAAUGUCCGAUUGACUUUUCCAAAACAAGCCAUCAUUAAAGAGACUAAGUGUCACAUUUCCUUCUCAAUUCAAUCCAAAAUCAAAUCUUUCACACAAAACACUCAUAGUGAAGCAUAAAGAAGCAGAAAAUGGGGGAAAUGGCCUGGUAACUCACGAGACGACGGGUCGGGUCGUCACAUCCUUCCUAAUAUUAACAAACGCUCGUCCUCGAGCUUACCCGGAGUUGUUCUAGACACCAACCAAUAGAUGAAUAACUUUACCAUGAUAUACUCGAGGGUGAUCCCACAUCACCCUAUUUCAUAUAGGUCCCACAACACCUUUAACUGAAAUUACAAAGUCCAAUCUAGCUCAUAAUUCAUAGAACUACAUUUUCACUUCUGAAACCAUACACAAGAUCGUAACCCCACAUCUAUAUUCAAAAUAAGCCCGAACCAGCUAUAAUAACCCAUACCUUCAAAUCUCAGGUGCAAUUGUAUGAUAUACCACCUAACACCAACACUCAAAACGAUAACUUCUAUUUACAGCAGCUGCACAUAACACGCGAAUACGGGUAGACUUAUCAACUAAGGUCUUAUUCCAACACUUUGAUGUAUUGCUAAUGAUAAAUGAAACAUGCAAUAAACUGUAUCUAUCUCUCGAGUCAACCAUUCAUCAAGUCACUUCCCUUUUGGCUAAUACCAUAGCAAAUUUCCGAGCCGAACCUCGACAUUAUCCUUCCAACAAGCUGCAAUCAAAUCCGAACGUAUUCAUUAAUGACCCCAACGAUCACCUCGAAUCCAACACACCACUCUGGUGACGUGACAUAUCAAUACAGGCCUAAGCCACAAUUUGUAUAAUUCGCGCACCAAUAAGAAAUGGUCUGAAUAUACUCAAAUCAGGAAAAUGACCCAAACGAAACAGUUGUACCUCAAGCUCAUCAGUACCAUCACAAUAUAACGCUGAGACCUCAUCUCACAUCAUAGAAAUAGAACACAUGAAUCUACCCCGAAAGGUCAUAUCUCCACGUACCCUUGCUACAAUGCACGAUCCUAUCCAAACACUACUACACAUAGCACACAUCAAGUCACUAUGCUUAAAAUCGACAACCACGCACCAUGUGAUGUCUGGAACCAAAGCACAUUAUCAUACCCACGGUGAGACAAAUAGCAUAUGCCAUGCAACCCAAUAGGUCAUAAUUGAUACUCCAUUCAUCGAGCAACACCAAAAUACUUUUCUCGCUCGACUUCCACUAUGAAUCCCCAAUGGAACCGUAACCAUAUGUGCCCAUAACCAACAAAUCAUAAUGCCUCGCAACACAGAAAAACAACUCUUAGAUCUCCCCAGAUCACUAACAAAAUCAAUAACGAUCGAAUCGACCUAUCCCCAAACAAUGCAAAUCGGGGCCAACCAAGCCGACUCAAACUAGAACACACAUCCACACUGACAUGCUAUUGAACUCAUCAUAAAGGAAGCUUGAAGCUGCUCCUCACACUACUACAUCUCCUACCGGAGGUUAUGAUACGGUGCCCGGCACCAAAUCAAUACCGAAAUCCACAACCUUGCAUGGCGACAUGUCCGACCAUAAGAAAUGCAUCCGAAAAGUCCCUCAACACCAGAACUAAAUACAUGGUAGAAACCUCUGCCCUGACAUCCAUCACGAAGGACCAAUUAAGAAAAGCAAUCCUCCCUAGAUGUCCGCUAGUCUUUGAAAUACAACCCACUCUACCAUAACAUAAUUCGACACACCUCGCCACUACGUACAUAAUCAGAAGUCUCAUAUGAUGACACAAAGUGCUGAUAGGGUACCGAUUAAAAUGUUGUUCAAACAGAAGAUGAACUCUGGAAGAAACUGCCUAACUUACGCGCUAAUACGUGCUCUCUUUAGAAAAAUAGGAUGCAAGGCAUACAAAAAAGAGCAUAUAGAAAACUACGCUCAAUAUCACACUAUUGCGGUGCACAACCCGAUCCAAAUAACACACUCAUGGCGGCGUGCCACCCGAUUCACACGUAACACUCACAUAAAGAGAUGUACAUCGAGCUAAAUUGCUCAUUAAUAUAAAAUUUCGAAUUUCAGUCACAAGCAUGCUAAGUGCAUAUCACCGUCCCUGAGGGGACAUAUGGCACUAUAAGCUACCAAAACUCAAUCUCAACUGAGGUGCAAUAAAUAAUCUGAAUCUCGAGAGCCAUUUUGCUUAUAAACAUCAUUUCUACGCGGAUCCUCAAUACAUAAGCAUUUUCUCAAAUAGUCUCAGAACUCACACGUCACAGUGUAUCACUGCAUAAAUAACACCCUGACUCCUCCUCCAUAAGGAGCACAUCACUGAAAUGAACCCAUUUGUCUUGACAUAGAGCCCAUAUUCAUAUUUGAAUCCAUCCACCAACCUCAAGCCAAUUCUGAUCGCACUAAACUAGGUUAAUUACCUUUCAAAAGUCCCUAACAACUCAUCUUCUGCCCGUACCACAUAAGAACAUCCAUCAUAGUCGGAGAAAUAAUCCGUAGUCCACAACUCAAUAAACUGAGUGCCCUCGGGUAAUAUCUUCUCAAUUAAACGAUAUUAUCACAACCUUCAUACUUGGUUCAAGUUUUCAAUCAAUCAAGUGACUAAAUUCCAUACUUACACAAUCUUCCUGUGGGACACCCUCCCACAACCUACCAUUACGAAUAACUAGGUCGUACCUCCAAACCACUGACUGCACUAACGUCGGAAAACGCUCAAGAAUCACUAACUAGGGUGCAAAGGCGUUUCACAAAAUAUCAUCCUCAUGUGAUGCUGAAGACAAUACCGAUUUACCUUAAACGUCGAGACUUCUUUCCCGCUCAUCCAAGCUCGUGAGAUCCUGUCCAUACCGAGUUGUUACCUCUAUGUUCACUUCAAAUUCCAUAUCACUCAUUGCACCCAACAUGGAAACAUAUGUUAGAACACUCUCUUCAUCACAGCUUCGGAACCAUUAUUGGAUUAACACUUUAUUAUAUAAAACUUUCAACUUAACUCACUUUAGGAGAACCAUAGCAACACACAAGUGAAUUCUCAUAAUCGUAGAAUAUGCAAAUCUCUAAGUAGUAGUCCAACCCACCAUGACCCUCCCGGGAUCCGCCUACACGUAACAGGACCAUAACAAGGGAACACUCUUGAAUAACAUCUAUUACGACGGACGACAUGCCUCACCUGUACCGCCAAAAAUCACACGCGCAACUUGAUCAUACUAGCAGAAUUAAUCUCUACCACCAAUAUGCAAACAAAUAUAUGGCUAACAAAUCCAUCUCAUUCGACUAACCCUGAUUGACCUAGGAAUAAUAGUAAUUGCAUUCAACAUAUAACACAAUCCAUCUGCACUCAUCCCGAGUGACUUUGAAUCAUGAGACCAUGCUGUCUCACAUCCCACGAACAAUUUCGUACCUUCCAACUGCUACCUCGCAUGUCAAAAGAUCAUAGAGCAUUCUGCGAAUUUUGAACCAUUACCUGCACCUUCCUAAUAGUGCUACAUGGAAGCCCAUAAGUGAUAUAGAAAAAUUACACAUCUUGACCUCUCCCAAUGGAGAGUCAGUUCUAAUCAUAUAUACACAUGUAGAGUCUCGAACACAUUAGUACCAUUCUCAAGAGUCAUUUACUUUGUUUAACUGCAUUUAGCCUGAUCCAAUCAACAGAACCAGCCAGGCCUCGUUAGCACUCUCACAACGCAAGAUAUGACCUCGUCACAAUGCAAACAAAAUCUUCCUACUCCAUGCACCGAGCAUUCUUCACCAACAAUAGCUUAAGACAUCCUGUGAUUCUCAUGCAUCUACAAAGCACCAUAUCACCUUUGUAAAAAUUUUCCUUCACUCGAGCCGUCCUCGGCUCAAUUUCUACAACUAGAACUGAUUUGCCAUUAUAUCUUAAAUUGGAACCAACACAGCACAUAACCGUGCAAUCAUCUAAUAAAUAGCAACCUCCCCAACUUGGCUCGAAGCCCUAGAUCAAAACGCACAAUAACUCAUAACGCAUAUACUCUAGUGCUGCCUUAAUACCAUAGUGAGAUUAAACUCAAUCCUUCAUAAGCUUGUGGAAACACAAAUCAUCUAGAAUUUUUUUUUUUAACUUUUCUGCAAAUCUUGCAUUCACUCACAUAAUAGUUAAGCCCACUUUCUAGGUGAUCCAAUCUAGAUUUCAACACAUUUUCUUCACUUGUAAAUGAGAUCUCCUAACAUACAUAUAAGGAUCACACCAAUUUAGAACACUCCGCAGGCUGCGGGAGAUGACCCACUUAUUUUGCCUCAAUAUAACAUUCCUGUAUACCUUCCACCGUCAUACACAUUACACAGCCACUUAGUCUUCAUGAGUCUAAACUCAUACCGCAUCAUGAAAUUUACUCCACCCUUAACUGGAGAUAUGAAAAGAUUACUCACGUGCCCAUAACUCGGGGCUAUACCUUGAAUCACGAUGGAAAUGAAACAUUUAAUAGUUCUUCUAUCAUCCUACAGACCUUCAUCGUCACUUCCAAGUCACCUAAAUACAUCUCGCAGUGCUAACGUACUCAUCACAUGGCUACCCAGCCGACAUUUCCGCUAAUAGAGACAUUAUAGAAUGUAUAUGUUUGAAACACUUGCUCAUACAAUCAUCACCUCGGUGCUCAAGCCAUAGGCCAGAUACGGCCUCAAGUCCUCCAGACUGGCCCAACAUAAACUCACAGAGAUUACAUCUCGCCCCUUGAUCGCGGAAUCACAAGCCAUCAAGGCACUUCUGAUACUGAGCGCUCAUGCGCGCAUACAAACGCGUGGAAGGAAUUUCAAGAGUUUUAUUUCAAGUUGAAUCAAGGAUGCACGAUAAGAAUUCAAGAAUGUGAAGUUUUUCCUAAGGGUUCUGCAGCCUCCCGAGGAUAAGCACAGACGUCUCUGUACCAAUCCGCAAAACUCUACUAAAUCGGCUCAUCACUCGCUAGACCAAGUAACCUAGGCUAUGAUACCCAUUUGUCACGACCCCAACCCCAGUCGUGAUGAUGCCUAACACACUGCUAGGCAAGCCCGACCAAUUUAAUAACCUUAACCAUUUUAUACCAUUCACUAGUUAAUUAACACAGAUGAUUUACUAAAUCAUAAUACGGAAAGUCUGAAAUAAAACUAAAACAUGCGAAAUCCCAAGUAAUAAAAAAAAUUACACAACCCAAAGAAUCCAGUGUCGCAAGUAUGAGCCUUUAAUAGAUGAAUAUCAAUAUACUACAUGUUGUUCUAAAAAAAUGCGGAAAUAAAACAAAUAAGGUAGAAGGAAGAUCAAGAUUGCGGACAUCAUGCAGCUACCUUGACGUUCCCGAAUAGGCUGCUCGGUAGAGAAAGCUUCACUCAACCUCACAUGUACCUGGAUCUGCACGCAAUGUGCAGGGUGUAAUGUGAGUACUCCGAUCCAGUGAGUAAUAAACACAAAUAAAGGCUAAGAAUAAGAAAUUUUGAAUAGGCACAAGUAAUUCUAUAAAUACAGCAACCUAAACCAGAUAUUAUUCAACCAGUAAACCAGUAACAACAAUUAUGGAAAUGCUACAACAGAUAAGUAAGUAAAUGACAUGCAAAUAUGAAAUGCAACACAUAGUUCGGUACCCUCUAGUACCCGCUGCGGCGUGCAACUCGAUCCAUUCAAUUAUCGUUGAUGGUGCUCACUGGGGGUGUGAAUACUCCGGGAGGGGCCCCUUACGGCCCAAGUGCAACAUAAGCCAUCUCGUGGCAUCAACUAGGCCCUCGACCUCAUAUUAAUAUCCACAUAAUACAGACGUGGCGCGCAGCCCGAUCCUAUGCUCAGUCCAGAAUCACAUAAGCCCCUCGGGCACAACAAUAUAUAGUUCUUCAGCCCAAACUUCAUUAAAAAUAUUAUUUAAGUUUCAAGUUUGAGAAAAGAUGGUUGAGUUUUAAAAAUAGUAUUAAUUGCCAGGACUGAGUUCAAUAAUACGUAAAAAUGGCAAGAAACCAGUAAUAACAAUUCCUGAAGUAUUCAAUCAAUUGACACGAAGCCCAAUCAUAGCAAUCAACUCAAAUUAUACUAAUAAUAAUUAAAUUUUAGUUAAAUACACAGUAUUUCCAUCUACCGGAAUGGACCAAGUCACAAUCCCAAAUAGUGCUCUACCCCAUGUUCACUAUCUGGCAUGCAAGUCACCUCAACAUAGCAUUACGAUGUGCAAAUUCGGGGUUUCAAACCCUCAGGACAUUAUUUACAUCUACUACUCACCUCAAGCCGACAAAAAUCCAAGCUUGUUGUGCCUUUGCCUCUCAAAUCGACCUCCUCGCACGUCAAAUCUGAUCAAAACCACAACAAAUACGUCACAAUAUGCCAAUAGAACAAUAUCCAAUCGAAAACAAUCUAAAGAUAGCAAAAAACUCAAAACUAGCAAAACCCGAGCCCUGGACCCACUUCUUAAAUUCCAAAAAGUAUUUACAUCAACGGAUUUCUUAUCUCGCCACGAGUCUAUACGUACGAAAAUUAUCCAAUUCUAACACCAUUGGUCCUUCAAAUCAUCAUUUUAUAUUUUUUAUAAAUUCCACAAUUUUCUUCCCAAAUUGCAUCGCGAAUCACGAAUUAAAUGAUGAAUUCAAUAAUAGAUUCAUGUACUCUAGACAAAUCUGAGUUAGAAUCACUUACCCCGAUGAAUUUCUUGAAAAACCUUCAAAAAAUCACCAAGUAAGUAUUUACAGCGUUGAGCUCUUAUAUGUAUCUCCUGAACUAUCGUUUUCACUAUACUUUGUGCAUUGAUUUGUUUCUUCUGUAAGAUAAAGAAUUUUAUCACCAAGUAAGUAUUUACAGCAUACAAAAAUCAACUACAGAUCUCUUCUGCUGGACAUGAAGUCCCAACAUGAGAUUUCUUCUCUACUCCUUAAUCUCCUAUUACAAUCCUUACUUAGCUCAUACUGGAUACCAAUUCAUAUUAUCUAGAUAAAUAUCCAGUUUUUACAGCGUUGAGCUCUUAUAUGUAUCUCCUGAACUAUCGUUUUCACUAUACUUUGUGCAUUGAUUUGUUUCUUCUGUAAGAUAAUAUUGUUUCUGGCUUGCCAAAUAUGGUAGAAUACUGUAGCCAAAACCAUUCUAUUUAUCUCUGCUCCAGCACUCUUCCCUGAUGCCUUCUUCUCCGCCAAUUGAACGUCUUCCUUCCACUUCUUUUCCGAGCUCUCUAGGGAAAAAUAUCAAAUAAAACGCAAAACCUCAUAUUUAUAGAGUACCUCUCAGAUUUCCACCUCUGCGGGCUGCACAAAAUCGACCGCGACCACGCAAAAACUAGCGCGGUCCGCGCAAAACCUAGCGCGGUCCGCGCAAAAACUAGCGCGGUCCGCGCAAAAAUGACCGCGACCGCACAGUGUUCUCUGCAAUAACAGGCUUUGGUAUUUUGGUCAUAAAUUUCUCUACAAAUGUCCAAAUGCCUGUUAUAAUAUGUUUCUGGAAACCAGAUUUAAUGAACUAUAAUUUUUAUAUUUAAAUGAUCUCAAAAUUGAUUGUAAAUAAAAAAAUAUGAGCUUCCAAAGUAGGACCGGGGGAAGGUUCUUCACCGCGUCCACGCACACUUUUGUGCGGUCCGCAUGACACCUACCGAGGCCGCACACAUUUUGGUGCGGUCCGCAUAGCACUCACCGCGGGUGCAUUUCUUUUUGUGCGGAUCACGUGGGUGAAUUCCGAGGCCUGCAACCCUUCUGAACCUGCUACAUCUAUGAUUUUCGCACUAAAACCUCCCAGACCUACCUAGAAUUCCCAGAACUUCAAACUAAUUGUACCAACACAUUCCAUGACAUCGUUCAAACUUCAGAACACUCACAAACAUAUCAAAUUACAAAUUUAACAUUAGGAUUUGAGCCUAAGAACUAGAAGAACUCUUAAAUUAUGCUUUCGAUCAAAAGUCUGACCGAACGACCUCCGAAUAACCUGAAAUUUUUGGACACACAUCUCAAAUCACCUAACGAAGUUACAACAACUCUCGGAAUACCAUUCCGACCCUCUGAUCAAAAUUUCACCUAUCAACCGGAAUUCGCCAAAAUACUAACUUCGCCAAUUCAAGCCUAAUUCUACACCAGACCUCGAAAAUCACUUCCUAUCACUCUCCUAAGUCAUAAAUCAUACUUCUUAGCUAACCGAAUCAUCGGAAUUCACAUCCGAGCCUCCUAGACAUAAGUGAGUGUUCGGUUGACUUUUCCAAAACAAGCCUUCCUCAAAGAGACUACGUGUCACAUUUCCUUCUCAAUUCAAUCCAAAUCAACUCAUUCACACAAAACACUCAUACUGAAGCAUAAAGAAGCAGAAAAUGGGGAAAACAGGAUAGUAACUCAUGAGAGGACGGGUCGGGUCGUCAUAAUUUUAAAGCACGUUAAAAAUUAAAAUUAAAAGGUUCUAUCCACACUCUUUAAAGGCCAUUUCAAACUAAAAAAUCUCAUAUUCAAAAGUAAUUUUAAAAAGUAUAGUUUAUUAAACCUCAAAAGUUAAUUUAAGUGAUGAGAUUUGAUCAUGUUGUACCAGGAGACUAUCUCUUAUAUGCUUAAUUGAUGCGAAAAUUUAAUCUACAUCAUUUGAACUCAUCGUUUAAGUUUUCAACAAUCAAUAAAUUAUUUUAAAAUAUUAUUUAUUACAAUAUUUUAUAUUGUUUCAUUAUGACAAUUAAAAUAUGAUAAUUCUAUCUCUGUUUUUAUUAAUAAUAACGAACAUCAUAUAAUUUCGUGCUGUAAAAGGACAGACUGGUAAUGAAACCCACUCUAUUCUUCUUUAUUUACCCUCGACUUUAUUUUUCAAGGAGACUAACAUAUUCGGUUCUCUGUAAAAAAUAAUGAUAUAGAAAAAUAAAAUCAUUUCUCUUAUUUCCUUAAUUAAGAAAAAAAUUAAAAUCCUUAUGAUUUAUAUAGACUUCUAUCAAAUGUUUAUUAUUUUAUCACCAGUUAAUAUUAUUUUAAACGAGUUGUAAUAAAUAUAAUUUGGACUAUUAUAUUAAAUUACUACAAUUUAUAUCAUAUUAAUAUUUAUUUAGUACCUUUGGUUCUCUUUACUUAAUUGCCUCUUUAGGUAUACAAGUCUCCUUGGAAGUUCUCUUUAUUUAGUGUACUAAAAACUUCUCUUGGUUUUGUUAUAUACAAGACAUGAAGUAAAAUCAUAGUAAGUUUUUCUUUUUCAUUUUUUAUCGUAUUGUAAAGAAUGAUAUUGUUCAUUUUAACUUUCAUCAAGUAGCUGAUUGUUCCCAUUAUUGAAACUCCUAUGAAACCAAUUUGGACGUAUUCAAGAAUAGUUUACACGUCGAUUAGUGAGCUUUUUAUUGUAUAUAUAUUUUGUUAAUAUAAAUGACACUUAUUGGCUUUGAUGUCCUCUCUUGUAAAAUAUUCAAAUACAUUAGAAAAAACAUAUUAUUCAAAUUAAAUUUUCAAUUGAUGUUUAUGUUUGAUAUGGAUAUUAAAAAUAAGUAUUAUAGCACGUAGUUUUUUUUUUAUGUUAAUUAGAGCAACUUAAACAUAUUAAAAUUUAUAGUUUAAAUUUAUGUAAAUUAUUAAAAUAAACUAGUUGUAAAUUGAGAUCUCCUAUAUUAUUUUCUAUCCAUGAUUAAAUGAAUAUAACAAUGAUCGAUUUCCUUAUUAAAAUAUUAACUAAGCCCGGGCACAAAAUAAUUUUAAGAAUUUUCACAUUCCUAUGCCAUAUAGGAAGCUAUAUUACUCUCAAUAUUUAUGGUUUGAUUUAAUUACAUUUAUUAUACCUAAUUAUCAAUUCUAUAUGAUAAUGUAUUUUAACUGUACAAUUAAUGUAUCGCAUUAUCUCUCCUUAAUUAACGCUACCGUAUAUCCCUCCAAAUCCCCACCCCCACAUUUCUGUCUUCCAAACCCACAUCCUCACCCACGUAUUUCUCCACACCCAUGUUUCAAACCCAUUAUUCCCUCUGCUAAAACCGGAGAAACAUUUGUAACACCCUUCCAUGAACGUCCAAUUUCAAGCUUUUUUUUCCUGCAAUUAGUCAAAAUUGGAGUUAAAACUUCAAAGUUCAUACACACAUUUACCUUCAGCUUCAAAUUUUUUCAAUGAAGAAGAACAAACCUUCAAAGAGACAAGAGGGCAGCAAUUCCACCAUUAGCAACCAUUAAAAAGCUUUGAAACUUUGAAUUCAAAUUUGAAUAUUGUUUUGCAGACAAGAGAGCAACAAUUCCACAAUUGAUAGCCAUUAAAAAGCUUUAAUUCAAAUUUUCAAAAAUCAUUAUUCGUUUAGAUUUUGUGUUGUUGUAAAUAAUUAAAAAUAUGGUUUGGAGUAUUUUGAGGGGUUUUGGUGAAGAUUAGACUUGGUUUUGGCUAAAUUUCAGAUUGAAACUCGAAGAAGAAGAAGAGAAAAAAGAAGAAGACAAGACAUACAUUAUAUUGCAGCAAUUGUAGAUAAAUUGUAUAAAAUUUUGAUGAGAGCAUGUUAUUCCACCUUGUCUGUUUUGGAGCAAAAUUGUACAAACGAGAAGAUAUUUUUUAAGUUAUAUAUUGCUAUACCUUUAAAAUCAAGAAAGUAUGGUUGUAUUGUAUUUAAAGAGGCAUGGAUUUAUAGAAUAUGUUGAAUGUGAGGAAUGAGUCAAAUAAGGCUAACAAUGACUUAUUUUUUUACAUUUAAUCUGUAACAAAAUUACAUAUCAUUUAAAAAAUUAAUAUGAAAAUACAGAAUUUCAAUGUUUGUACAAAUUAUCUACACAAUAUUUUAGGAAGAUCUAUCCCUUCAUCAUAUUUUUUUGGAUUUCAUAUUUUGCAUAGCAGUUUCGUAAGGAGUGACAAGAGCAAAUAGGAGAAUCAUAGAAUAAUAAGAAUUUUUGACAUACUUGUAUUUUUUGUAGAAGAUUUGUAGAAGUAUUUGUCGUUUUUGAUUUGUGAAAAUAGAAAAUAAAGCAUCUACAAUCAGAAUACAAAUAAUCUAUAAUUUAUCGAUAAAAUAUCUACAAACUGGGUACAUUAAAUUUUAAUAUCCCAAUUCCCAUUCAAUUGUAGUAUAAUUGAGAUUUUCGACAUAAUUAUAUUUUUUGCAGAAGAUUUGUAGAAGUUUUAGUGGUUCAUGAUUUGUGAAAACGGAAAAUAAAGCAUCUACAAUCAGAUAUAAAUAAUCUAUAAUUUAUCUAUAAAAUAUCUACAAACUGGGUACAUUGAAUUUUAAUAUCCUAAUUCCCAUUCAAUUGUAGCAUAAUUGAGAUUUUUGAUAUAAUUGCAUUUUUUUCAGAAGAUUUGUAGAAGUUUUAGACACUUUUUAUUUGUGAAAAUAAAAAAUAAAGCAUCUACAAUUAGAAUACAAAAUAAUCUACAGUUUAUCUAUAAAAUAUCUAUAAAUUGGGUACAUAUUUGGACUCGACAUGCUUCCCCUAAAAUGUUUGUUUCACAUUUUUGGUACAUAUUUUUGUCCAAAACAGUACUAAAUCAUCCACUUAAAUACAAUUUUUAUACAAUAUUGUUCAACUUUCAUAUAAGAGGUAAACAAAUAAAAGAAAAAUAAAUAAACAACAGUCUAUGAUUUCUUUAUAAUUUAUCUACAAUUUCUACAAUAUACGUCUUCUUCUUCUUCUUCUUCUUCUUCUUCUUCUUCUUCGACGAGUCUAAUCUUCACAAAAAUCCUUAAAAUUAAGAUAUAAACUGCAAACUAUUUCAAUUAUUUUCAACAACACCCAAUCCAAAUAAAUAACAAAUUUUAAACACCUUUCGACGAGUCUAAUCUUCACAAAAAUCCUUCUUCUUCUUCUUCUUCUUCUUCUUCUUCUUCGACGAGUCUAAUCUUCACAAAAAUCCUUAAAAUUAAGAUAUAAACUGCAAACUAUUUCAAUUAUUUUCAACAACACCCAAUCCAAAUAAAUAACAAAUUUUAAACACCUAAAUUUGAAUUCAAAGCUUUCAAGCUUUCUAAUGGUUGUCAGUAGUGAGAUUGUUGCCCUUUUCUCCUUUGCUUUGUAUUACUAAAAUUUGGGAUUGAGAGAAACACAGAAAUGUAGAGAGAAUUCUGGAAGCAAAGUCUAAUAGAGUAUAAAAAUCUUGAUCUGCAUUGUGAAAGAUCAGAGUGAGGUCGAUGAUAAUUAUUGAAUAUGCGUGAUCUGCGUUGUGGAAAAUUUUGAAAAAUAUUAAAUUCUCCUAUUUUAGCGUGCCUAAAUAAGGAAUCCUACAACUAAAAUGAUUCCUUAUUUAGUGCACUGUCUAUAUGUUGUAGGAAUACUAUUAGCAUGAAGGGUAAUAUGUAAACUAUAAAUAUAUUUGGUAAUAUAAUUUAUUAUAUGAUAUAGGAACGAAAAUUUCUCGUAAUUUAAGACGACAAUAUUGGACCCGUACGUGGACCUUUCCUCAUCUAGUGUUAAAAGAUAAGAAUUAUUGGGUCAUUUGUUUUUUUUAAAAUAUAAUAUUUAAGACUUUUAAAUUAACGAUAUUUUACUUAUUAGAUUUUUUUACUGGAACUAUAUGAAAUAAUACCAACUUUAACAGUAAAAUUUUUCUCAUGACAAAGCAAUCCAAAUGAUAAAAUGAAUAUAUGUUAACAACAUCAUUCCUGAAUUAAGAAAAUAAUAUUCAAUCACUAACAUAUAUAUUACCAACUAAUAAAUUUUAUAAUUAACUGUAAUUAUUUUUUACAAGAAGAAGACAUUAUUGUAAUGAUGUAUAUAAAGACAUAUUAAGUCUACAUGAAUGUUGAUAGACUUUAUAAUUUUGAGAACUAUAUUAUAUUACAAUGCACUGCAUGUUGGAUAAAAUAAAUAUAAUAAUCUUAAUCUUUUACCUUAAUUUUUUUACAAUUGUUUUUUUAAAUAUAAAAAUAUUAUUUUUGUACUAUAUUUGAGUAUAAGUCAACAUAUUAUUCUUUGUCUGAGCAACUGAAGCAAAUGCGACUCGUGUAUUGAAGUUAUAAUUUUAGCAUUAGAGUACUUUUGUGUGACAUGGUUUUUUUAUUUAUUAAGUUGUCAAAAUAGAUUCAUCAUUUUCAAGAGUUUGUAGUUGUAAAAUCUAAAUUUAACAACUCAAUCAUAUAGUUUAAUAAUAUUUGUGUGGUUUUUAAAUUUUAUACUCAUUAUUAUAAAGUACACGCAUAUCAUACGUAUUCUAAAACUAGUUGAAUAUAAAAGAGGCAUCAACUUUCGAAUGGUCGUAUACUAAUAACAAAAAUUCGUUCCAUCAUAAUAAGUUCUUAUGAUCUUAGUAUGGGCUUUGACUCUACUCGGUACCGGGUAAAAAUAGUAUGAUUUAGCUACUUUUCAAAUUGAUCAUUCAAAAGUAGUUAAUGUUUGCAAAGUUAUUGAAAAAUAGCAACUAUUUUGCUGCAAUACGAGAGAUCGAUGCACCUUUAUAUAUACUGAAAUUUCAGUAUAUUAUACUGGAGUAUUUUUCCGAAUUUUGAACAAUAUUGUUGUUCAGAUUUAUCAUUGCAUAAAAAAUGGCUAAAUUUCGAUAACUUUUAAAAUUAUGGUUAUUUUUGAAUAACCACUUAUAAAUUUGACUAUUUUUGAAUUUAUCCCUAAUUAACAUUAUGAAGGUGGGCAAAUUAUACUGGAAGUCGGUCCAAAGAAAAAUAAAAGAAGAAUUAAUCUAAAUAACCGGUUAUUUUUUGAGGUCGACUCUUUAAAUUUUAACACUGUUACCUCAGUGACUAAAUUUCGUCUUGAAAAGUUGUUGGGUGAAAUAUUCUUUCUAAAAAUAAAUUUAACCCUUUGAGCUAAUGUCCUCACUAGCGGUAGGAAGAGUGAAGGUAGGACAUUAAUCCAAAAAAGGGCUGAUCAAUGUUUUUUAGGUUCAGUCGAGAAGAACUACAUUGUAAAGUGUGUGAUGUAAAUAAUCUAUCCUGAUGUAAGCGUUAAUAAAUGAGUUCGUGACUUGAAUCCGUAACUUAUAAAUCACGCGAAGACAAAUACAUAUCAAUGAAAGCACAAAAAAUUGACAUAACAUAAAAAUACAUAUGCGUUCAUUACUCUUUUGUGGUAGUAGAUGUUAAUGUAAAAUUGAUCAAUUAUAGUCUGUAUAUAGUCUGCAUGAAAGCACAUGGAUAAAAAAAAAGAUUUUAGCGUGAGAAUGGAAAUUACUUAAUUUGGAUUCCUGAGAGCUGAGCCAGAAAUAAAUUCAAGGAAAGAGAUGGUCUACCUAAAAGAUGAAUGUGGUCUGAUAGAGAUAUAUUAAUGGAUAGCCACUCUGUUUAGAAAUUUUCUCAUAUAUGGGAAAGAAAAAAAAGUUUUCUCCCAUUGAAAAUACUAACCCUUUAUUUGGUUUGUAAUUUUCUUUACCCAGAACUUUUUAAAUUCGUGAAUUCCAAUUUUUUGAACAUUGCGAAAGCAAUUUUCCCCAUGAAUACUAAUCAAUCGUGAUAAUUGUGAAAUUUGGAUAACAAAAGAAACUAUUUUUCUAGUUUUUUAAGAUACAAACUUGUUAAUACUUUAUUUAUUUGUUUAUUUAUUUAUUUAUUUAUUUAUUUAUUGAUUUCUUCUAAUAAUUCUUUUCUAUUGAUAAUAUAGCUAACUUAUUUAAUCUUUCUUGAUCUUAGGUAAAAUUUUAUAAGUUUUAAUUUUAAAAAACUUUUUUCCGCCAUGACAACUGUUACAAGAAAUAUUAUAGGCAUUUAAAUCAAUUCUUUUAUUUGGUUGAAUAUGUUGAUUCGAGUAUUGUUUUUUUAUUUGUAUUAUUUUUCUAAACACUUUAAUUUAGAAACUAAGACCAUCAAUAUCAUAGUGUUAUAUUUUAAGAAACAUUCAAGGUUAGGACGGUUUUUUUUAAAAAAAAAUUCUCGUCAUCUAAUGAGCUCAUAUUUUUACAGUUGAAACUUUUAAAUUGUUAAAAUUUUAAACUCUUGAAGAAAGAAAGUAAGCAAAAAAAGUUAAAAAAAGUAUGUAAUCUUAAGAAAAGAAGAUUAUGACUGGGACAGAAUAAGAAAGAGAGUAUAAAAAUUUAUAACUAUUCAUACAUUCCAUAAUAAUCAUUCUGAUAUUGAUAAUUUAUUCACAAAUAUAAUAAAAUUAUCAUUUUCUGUAUGAAAAAAAUUACUUUCUGUUAAAAGUAUUCAAUAUAUUUUUUUAAAGAAAAACUAUAAAUUUAUUAUUGUUAAAAAUUGGAGCCCUCAAAUUUGAGGGCAUAAAGCAAUUAAGUGCUUUAUUUGCUUCACCAUGAAGUCGACACUGCUAUUAAUUCUACAUCUUUUUUAUCGGUAUUGGCACCAGAUAACCCUAUUUAGCAGCGUUGCAUUAGAUGAGAAUAGAUUAUUUAACUUCUUUUAUAUGUUUUAGAAUUUGAAUCCUUGUCGCUCACCAUCUUCGUUCUAUCUCCAUAUUCAUCUAAUUACUAGAAUUGUCAAAUGUUUCUUAAUCAUGAGACUAAACAUAAGUUUACAUGAUCAUCAAUCUUGAUAUAUUACCAUUUAGAGUGAAGUUUUAACUCAUGUAGUUCAAUGAUUUAUAUAAUCCGAUUAAUCAAUUAAAUGUUGAUUAGUAUUUCUGGACCACAAAGUUUGAGUAAAUGCUAGAAAGUACAAUAAUUUAGUUUCUACACCAAACGAAAAUGCUAAUUUAGUUUAUUGGAUAUAUAUAGCUUCAAUAAUUCACCCCCUUGUUUUGCCUUAUUUAGCUAAGAAGUGCAACAACCAUUAACAAUGAAAAAUAUCAUUUUUGGUAGUGAAAAAUAGUAUCAAAGUCUUGGCUUGCACGCCCUUCAAAAAGCUAAAUAAUAUCAAUAAGGGAACAUAUCAAUUCAAAGAAUUUUUGUUUUUCAGAAAGGAUUUACAAAUAUGAACACAUCAAUUCCCUUUUUUGCAAAAUCCAAAUUUGACAGAGACUAUCAUGACAAACAAAUCAGCCAGUAAAAAGGUCAACAUGAUUUUCAAGUGGUCCAAAGUGAAUGCCAUAACAAAGAAAAUUAUGGGGUAAAUUUCAGUACAUAACUAGUAUAUUUUUUUCCACCAAAACCAUGUAACUUUAUUUUGUAAUAAAAUUACAAAACUUAAGUACACCAUAAUAAUAUGAAAAUCACAAAAGCUCGAAACGUAACGCACCGAAUUAUUUUUUACUGGUUUAAAUUUUCACAUUAGCAUAUCCCACUUAGCACGGGCUAGUCAGUUUCUGACCGGAAAUUAAAAAAUAGGCAAGCAUUUGCAAAGUCAUUGAAAAAUAAUUACUAUUUUGUUACAACAUGGAAAGUUCCAACAUAAUAUAAUGGAGAUUGGUGCAAAUGUUUAUAAACUUCCAGCACAUUAUGCUGGAACUCUAGCACACGGAAAAUUCAAGCAUAAUGUACUGGAGAUUGUUGCACAUGUAUAUGAACUUCCAGCAAAUUAUGCUAGAACUCCAGCACACGAAAAGUUCCAGCAUAAUGUACUGGAGAUUGGAGCAUUCGUGUAUGAACAUACAACAUAUUAUGCUGGAACUACAGUAUAUUAUGCUGGAAGUUCGCAUGUAAAAAUUUCGAACUCCAGUAUAUUAUGUUGGAAUAUUUUCCUAAUUUUGAACAAUACUUUCGUUCAGAUUUAUCUUUACAUGAAAAUUGGCUAAAUUUCGAUUAUCUUUGAAUCUGUUGCUAUUUUCAAUUACCACUAGUAAAUCUGGCUAUUAUUGAAUUUCACCAUCUUUUUAACUAAUAAAUACCCGAGACAAUUAGAAAGAAGACCCAUUUUAAUUCGAUUGCGCGACGAGGAAAAAUUUAACAUAGACUAUUGUAAAGGCCCGAUCGGUCAUUUUGAGCUCUUAUCAUUCAGCAGUUUGAGUCCUUGAGUAGCUUCACUUCAGGUAUCAUGAUUUGUACGUGUGGUCGGAAUUGAAUUUCGGAAAGUUCGGAGUUGAUUUGGAAGAAAAUUCUAAUUUCAAAAGCUUUAAGUUGGAGGAAUUUACUAAGGUUUGACUUUGAGUAAACGACUUCGAAAUCGGGAUUUGAAGGUUCCAAUAGGAUUUUAUGAUGAUUUUGGACUCGGGCGUAUGUCCGUAUUGAGUUUUGGAUGACCCGGGAAUAUUUCUGCGCCUAUUGUUGAGAUUUGGCAUUUCGGAAGGAUUUCAUGAAUUUGUGCUGAAGUGUAUUUUAAUGUUAUCGAUGUCCGUUUGGAAUUCUGAGCCUGCGAAUAGCUCCGUAUGGUGACUUUGGUUUUAGGAGCGUGUCCGGAUGUAAAUUUGAAGUUCCUUAGAUAAUUUUGGGGUCAUUUGGCGAAAGUUGAAAAUUGGAGGUUUUUGGAAGUUUGAUUAGAGUGGACUUUCUGAUAUCGAGGUCGGAUUUUGUCCAAAAGUUGGGGUAGGUCCAUAAGAUCAAAGUGACUUGUGCGAAAAAUCUGAGGUCAAUUAGACGUGAUUUGAUAGGUUUCGGCAUCGAAUGUAGAAGUUUGAAGUUCUAAUGUACAUUAAGCUUGAAUUGUGGUGCGAUUCAUGAUUUUUGACAUUUUUUGAUGUGAUUUGAGACCUCGAGCAAGUUUGUAUUAUGUUAUGGGAUUGGUUUGGUAUGAUUGGUCGGGGUCCCGAGGCCUCGGGUGGAGUCCGGAUGGUCAACAGAUCGAAUUUGUAUUUGGAGGAAGAACUGAAGAUUUUGGGAAUCUGGUGCGAUCGCACCUGCCUAAAGAGGGCCGCAAGUGCACACUCGCAGAAGCAGCCCAGAGGUUGCAGAAGUGGAAAGGGAGUCAAGGACUGGCAGUCCGCAUGUGCGGAAGAUUUGCCGUAGAAGCGGAUGCUCACCUGCGGGUGAUUAAGCAUAGAAGCGGGCUGCACAGGUGGGGGCAUCUCUGCAGAAGCGGAAUUUUGGACGCCCCUGCGAAACCUCAUUUGCGGUGCAGUGACCGCACAUGCGAAGUAUGACUGGGUAGUGUGGUCUUUUAUAGCAGAGUUUUGGCUCAAUUCCACUUCAUUUCAUCAAUGGGAGCAGGUUUUGGAGCAUGUUUGGAGUGCCAUCUUCAUCCUCUCUCUCUCUCUAUAUAUAUAUGCAUCUAUGGUUCGUGUUGUUUAACCCUUGACAGUGCACAGAUUAUGAUGGGAUCGGGUUGUACGCCUUGGCAUUUCUAUAAAAUAUCCUUAUGGAAUCGAGCGUAAUAUUGGGCGAGAAGCCAGUGUAGCGGUGUGACUUUUUUCAUGAUUUGAAUUACAGUGACCUAUUUGGUGAGGUCCUUUAUAUAUAUAUAUAUAUGAGGAGGAAUUUGCUAAUUGAGAGCUUGACUUCAUUGUAACGAGGAUACUUAUACCACGUAGUUAUUCUGGGUAAUUAAAGAAUUUUAUCACCAAGUAAGUAUUUACAGCAUACAAAAAUCAACUAAAGAUCUCUUCUGCUGGACAUGAAGUCCCAACAUGAGAUUUCUUCUCUACUCCUUAAACUCCUAUUACAAUCCUUACUUAGCUCAUACUGGAUACCAAUUCAUAUUAUCUAGAUAAAUAUCCAGUUUUUACAGCGUUGAGCUCUUAUAUGUAUCUCCUGAACUAUCGUUUUCACUAUACUUUGUGCAUUGAUUUGUUUCUUCUGUAAGAUAAUAUUGUUUCUGGCUUGCCAAAUAUGGUAGAAUACUGUAGCCAAAACCAUUCUAUUUAUCUCUGCUCCAGCACUCUUCCCUGAUGCCUUCUUCUCCGCCAAUUGAACGUCUUCCUUCCACUUCUUUUCCGAGCUCUCUAGGGAAAAAUAUCAAAUAAAACGCAAAACCUCAUAUUUAUAGAGUACCUCUCAGAUUUCCACCUCUGCGGGCUGCACAAAAUCGACCGCGACCACGCAAAAACUAGCGCGGUCCGCGCAAAACCUAGCGCGGUCCGCGCAAAAACUAGCGCGGUCCGCGCAAAAAUGACCGCGACCGCACAGUGUUCUCUGCAAUAACAGGCUUUGGUAUUUUGGUCAUAAAUUUCUCUACAAAUGUCCAAAUGCCUGUUAUAAUAUGUUUCUGGAAACCAGAUUUAAUGAACUAUAAUUUUUAUAUUUAAAUGAUCUCAAAAUUGAUUGUAAAUAAAAAAAUAUGAGCUUCCAAAGUAGGACCGGGGGAAGGUUCUUCACCGCGUCCACGCACACUUUUGUGCGGUCCGCAUGACACCUACCGAGGCCGCACACAUUUUGGUGCGGUCCGCAUAGCACUCACCGCGGGUGCAUUUCUUUUUGUGCGGAUCACGUGGGUGAAUUCCGAGGCCUGCAACCCUUCUGAACCUGCUACAUCUAUGAUUUUCGCACUAAAACCUCCCAGACCUACCUAGAAUUCCCAGAACUUCAAACUAAUUGUACCAACACAUUCCAUGACAUUUUUUCCUUCUCAUGACCCCUUGCCACUAUAGUAACUUUUGUCAUAUCUCAUUUGAGUAAUCACAGUCAAAAAAUAAAUGUUGCACUAUUUUAUUGUUCCUGCGGCACAUUGUACAUAAUGUUUCAUCUACUGAGCCCCAUAUUGCUAGUCUUUCUUUAGUAGCUAGCCUAUCUUGUAUAGCUAGUCUUAAGAUAAAGAUCCACUUAGACAUUCCCUUGUUGUUGCAUACUAAGCAUCUCUAUGUCACCUUUUGUAAUUCACCUUGUAGAGCUUUGUACAUCUUUAUGGUGGAAAACCCAUCACUGUUCCUCACCUCAUCCUCUAAGUAUCCAGCCUCUAGGAAUUUUGCCUUAGCCUUGAAUAUUUUCUGGAUUAGAAGCAUUCUUUGGCUCAGUAUCCCAUAUAUUGUUAUUUUUUAUAUACUAUGUAUGAAUCCGCUGCACCCACAGCUUCUCUUUCUUCUUGCAAAUAUUCCAAAGCAGCUUACAAAUAGUAACUUUAUUCCAUAGUUCUAUGUUUGUGAAAUUUAAUCCUCCUGCUAUCUUAGAUGCACAUAAUUUGUCCCAAGCUAUCAAAGAUUUCUUUGUAGGUUUAGCACUGCCCUACAAUAAAAACCUUCUGCAAAUUGCCUCAAUGAAUUGUAUACUUUGUUCAUUGAUUUAUUUCUUCUAAAAGAUAAUAUUGUUUCUGGCUUGCCAAAUGUGGUAGACUGCUGCAGCCAAAACCAUUUUAUAUAUCUCUGCUCCUGCACUCUUCCAUGACGCCUUUUUCUCUGCUUAUUGAACUUCUUCCUUCCACUGUUUUUUCUUUCUCAUGACCCUUUGGCAGUACAGUAACUUUUGCCAUAUCUCAUUUGAGUAAUCACAGUCAAAAAACAAGUGCUGCACGAUUUCAUUGUUCCUAUAGCACAAUGUACACACAGUUUCAUCUACUGAGCCCCAUCUUGCUAGUCUUUCUUUAGUAGCUAGCAUGUCUUAUAUAGCUAGUCUUAAGAUAAAGACCCACUUUGGCAUUCCCUUGUUGUUGCAUAUUAAGCAUCUUCAUGUCACUUUUUGAAAUUUCUGUUGUAGAGCUUUGGACAUCUUUUUGGUGGAAAAGCUUUCACUGUUCCUCACCUCAUCCUCUAAGUAUCCAGCCUCUUGGAAUUGUGUCUUGGCCUUGAAUAUUUUCUAGAUUACCCAAGAAGCAUUCUUUGGCUCAAUAUCCCAUAUAUUGUUAUUUUUAUAUAGUAUGUAUGAAUUCGCUGCACCCACAACUUCUCUUUCUUUUUGCAAGCAUUUCAAAGCAACUUACAAAUAGCAACUUUAUUCUAUAGUUCUAUAAUUGUGAAAUUUAAUCCUCCUGCUAUCUUAGGUGCACAUAAUUUGUCCCAAGCUAUCAAAGCUUUCUUUGUAGGUUCAGCAUUGCUCGGCCAUAAAAACCUUCUGCAGAUUACUUCAAUGAAUUGUAUACUUUGUGCAUUGAUUUGUUUCUUAUGGAAGAUAAUAUUGUUUCUGGCUUGCCAAAUAUGAAUACUUGAGCCCAGAAGUUCCGAAUUGUUCCCAGCAUACUUUUGAUCAAUGUUGCUCUUUCUGCAUAAGAUAGAAACUUGGUUGUCGAUCAUUGAAUUCUAUUAAGCAUUUUAUCAAUCAAAGGCUCACAUUGAAUUACUGAAAGUCUUUUUGUACUCAAGGGAACACCAAGGUAUCUAAAUGGUAUAUCACCUUUAGUGAAUCCUAGUACUUCCAUUAUCUUCAGUUGUGUCCUGCUAUCAACACCUCAAAAUUAUACACUGCUUUUGCUAGUGUUUUCCACUAGUCCAGAAGCUGUAGAAAAUAUUUGGAAUUAUUUAUGCAAUACCACGACAGACUGCACAUCUCCCUUAUAAAAUAAUAGCAGGUCAUCAGCAAAUCCCAACUGUAUUAGUCUCACUUUAACACACCUUGGAUGAAAUCUGAAUUCUUUGUUGUUUCCUAAUUGCUUCAUUAGUCUACAUAGGUACUCCAUAGCAAUUACCAAUAGGAAUGGUGAAAGGGGAUCUCCCUGUCUUAAUCCUCUUUUUGUUUCAAAUGGUUUGAUUGACUUCCCAUUGACAAUCACUGAAUAUGAGACAGUAUUGAUAUAGACCAUUACUCAUCCUACAAAUUUUUCUGGAAGUCCCAAUAGCCUCAUAACCUGUCCAACAAAUACCCAUUCCACAGAAUCAUAAGCCUUUUGCAUAUCAAUCUUCAACAUACACCUAGGUGAUUCUUCCUCCUAUAGCCUUUGACUAGUUCAUGGCUCAUUAUAAUAUUAUUUGUGAUAAAUCUUCCUAGCACAAAAGCUAUUUGACAAUUGUCAAUCAAAGCUAGCAUGAAUUCCUGCAGUAUAGAAUUUAGUAUCUUGGAGAUAAUCUUAUAUAACACAGUACAACAUGAAAUAGGUUUGAAUUCUUUGAUAUUACUGGGGUUCUUUACUUUUAGGGUAAUUAUUGUACAGUUGAUUGGUUUGCACAUUACAGACUCCUCAAAAUACUCCAUCACAGCUUGAGUCACCUCUUUCCCUAUAAUAUGCCAUGCUUUCUUAAAGAAGAAUGCAUUAUAUGCAUCACAUCCUGGUACCUUAUUAUAAUCAAUACCCUGCAACGUUUGCUUGAUUUCAUCUUCAAUUACUGCUCGUAUUAACUUUAUUUCUUGUUGUCUCCUUAGGUUGUAGCCUUGCUGCAUCACUUCUGUAUUAACUGCUGGUAUUUUUGCUGUUGCUACUCUAAGUAGUUGCUUGUAAAACUUCAGUAUUUCUACUUCCACAUCAUUAGCAUUCAAAAGAAGUUGCCCUGCACUAUCUGUCAAUCUUCUAAUAUAGUUAGUUGCUUGUCUAUUCUUAACACAUGCAUGAAAAUAUGCUGUAUUUGAAUCUCCUAGGUUUAGCCAUUUGAUCCUUGAUUUUUGCUUCAUUAUACUUUUCUCAAUUUCAAGCCAUUUUCCAACUCCAUCUUUACCUCUUUUUCUUGAUCUAUACUUUCACUACUAUUUCCAGGUCCAACCAUUUGUUCCUGGAUCCCUUCCAACAUUUCUCUUGCUACUAUAAUUCUUUGUUCAAUACUGUUAAAAUCUUCGCUAUUCAUUUGCUUCAGCGUGGUCUUUAGUAUCUUGAGUUUUAUCCACACCUUGUUCAUUGUUGUUGCACCACCCCUAUUUGUCCAGCAUUUGUAUACAAUAUCCUCAAAAUCUUUGUGUUGAGUAAGGCAAUUGAAAAACUUGAAAGGUCUCUUCCAUUUUGUUGGUUAGUAUCAAGUGAUAUGCUCAAGGGGCAUUGAUCAGAGAAACCAGGUUGCAACACCCUCCCUUCCAUUAUAGGGCAUUUCUGAAUCCAUGUAGCAUUGACAAGUAUUCUGUCUAUCUUGCUAUGAACAUGAUUGUUUGUCCAAGUGUAUUUCCUUCCAACUAUUCUCAAUUCAGUUAGUCCAACCUCCCAAUUGAACUCUUUGAAAUCUUUCACUUGAAAUUCCUGUAUUGGGGUUCCUUGUAUCCUGUUUUCACCAGAUAAAAUAUUAUUAAAGUCCCACAUUAACACCCAAGGUCCAUUAAUACAAGCUAUGUUUUUUCCUAUAUCAUCCCAUAAUGAUUUUCUAUCUUGGAUAGUAUGCAUUCCAUAAAUGGCUCCAAAGUUAAAUUUCUUGCCACUCUGAAAUUCCGUUACCUGCCCUAUUAUGUAUUACAUGUGUGUAUCAUACCUUUCAAACUCUAUUUUUUUCUGGUCCCAAACAACCAUAUUCUUCCAUCUAGAGUUGCCGUAUAGUUUGCUAUCAAUCUCCGGCUACUAAACACUUUCUUUAAUAUAGCUUCUGCCUUUUCUUCCUUAACUCUAUUCUCUAACACAUCUAUUAACACCACCUUAUUUUCUCUAAUAAAUUUUUUUAUAUCUUUUUCCUUGUACCCCUUAUUCAAUCCUCUAACAUCCCAAGAGAUGAUGUUCAUUAUUUUAUGGAUGUUUAAUUUAUAGUACCACCUCUACCUCUAUAUCUAGGCAGCUCUCUACCUUGGUCUUGUUUUUAUAUCAUGUGGAUUUUGGACUAUCUUUUGUGCAGUAUCAACCAAAGCUUUGAAAGCGUUACCUAUAUUAACUCCAUUCUCAUUUCUCCCAUCUACAUUCUUCUUUGAUGCAGACUUCCCUCUUGCCAGUUGCCAUUGCUCUUCAUUUGGGUUGUUAUUUUGGGCCUCUUCUUCAUCCUUCUCCACUUGCUCAAACAAUCUUCCACUUGUGUCUAUUUUAUCAAUAUUUGGAUCAAGUUUCCUCAUAUCUUUCCAUACCUAUUCCUGAUUUUGUGUUCUAUAGUUUUGUUUUCCCCUCUCUUGUUUCUGGAUUUGCUGGUUAUGACAUGAGUGGCCAAUUUGACAACAUGUUUGGCAAUAUUGAGGCUUCCAUUUGUGUUACACCAGCUGCUAAAUCACCUUACAUGUAGGCUCAAUCAGUUUAAUUGUUCCUGGUAAAUCCCUUGUUAUGUCUAUUUCAACUAGAAUUCGAGCAUAUGAGGUCCUAUUAGUCACAUUUGUGCAUGCAUCAGCAUGAAGAGGUUUCCCCAGAAAACUCCUAAUUUUGCUCAAGGCUAGGUUACUCCAAUACCUCAAUGGGAGUUUAACCUAUAGAGUAAUAGUUUUCAGCAUCUCUUCACUAAAAUCAAAUCACUUACUCUAUGGAUUUAAUAUUAUUGGUCUACUACUCAUAGUAUAAGGACCAUUCAUCAAUAUCUCAUAUCUUUCUUCUAAGUUAUGCAUCAAAAUUAUAAAGUACCCAUCAUUGUGAAAUAGUGCCUUUGGCUUCCCGAUCUUUCCCCAUUGACCAGCAACAAAUCGCUCAAUAGCUCAUAUAGUUGGAGUAUUUCCAACUACAUACAUAAUUAUUGCUGGAUUCCAUUUUUGCUUCUUCUCAACUAUAUCUUCUUCCAGAAUUUUUAAUAUAACUUCACCCUCUUGUAUCACCGGUGGUAUAUAUGUUAGAUCCUUCCCUUUUGCAGCAAGUUUGUUUUCAUGAAGUAGUCCUACCAAUGACCUUCUAGUAUUGUUUGUUUUCAUCUAUUUAUGCUUCUCUUCCUCAGCUCGUACAGGUACUAUUCCAUUGCUCUGUUCCAUUAAAAGGCUAGUAAUUACUAUUAUAUUGGACUUUUCUUUGCUCAUUCUUGCUCCGCCACUAACGAUCGGCGAUGUGUGCAAUUUAGGUACCGCUUGACUGACUGGGCUUACUAGGCCGGCUGAUGCUAGUCGAUUGCAGCUUAGAUCUGGCCAAUUCAACUCAUUGUCACUGUCUAGAUCUUCCUCGUCCUCCUAUAUUUUUCCCUUUGCAUGUUUUUUUCCUCGAUCCCUUGUAAUACUACUUUGAUUCCGCGUUCAAUGACUAGUGUUUUGCUUUGGUUCUUCCUAGGCCUCCCUCUUCCUCCCAUUUUCGGCGAGUGGCAUAGGUUAUCAAUCUAACGUGCGCCUAAGAGAGAGAGAGAGAGUACCACGAUUUAUACUUAUUCAUUUUGUUUGUUUACUGUGCCUCAUAUUUAUUUACCUCUUUACUGUACCUGAUAUUAUUGGAUCACUAGUAAGUGUAUAUGUCGAUCCCUCGUCACUACUCCUUAGAGAUUAGGCUAGAUACUUACUGGGUACAUGUUGAUUUGCGUACUUAUACUAUACUUGCUGCAUAUUUUAUUCAGGUCCAUUUAUUUCUGGUGGUCCUUUGGGCAUGGAGGCGUGGAUGAUGCGGCGACUUAUCGCCAGCUAUAUUUCAUCUUAUGAUCCGCAGCCAGCAGAGUCGCCUUAUUUAUAUUCUCCUAUCUAAUUUGUAUUCCGUACAUAUGGUGUAUUUUGUUUUUACUUCCUAGUUAAUGCUUAUGUACUUGUGACAGCGGGUUUUAGGAGUGCUUACAGGCUCUUAGUUGCCCUGUAAAUUUCAUUUCUUACUAUUUAAUUAAUGAAAAUUAUGAUUUCUACCUCUAAACAUCCAAUAAUUUUCUCUCCGUACAAGGAGACUGCCUGCUACACUAACACGACAGUGGUGAUAUGGCCACUGUUUUGUCGUCCAUCGGUAAGAUGAGUGCCUUAUAAAUGUGCACCCACCCUAACAAACCCCAUUCCAAAACAAUAUCCAGUCGCAACAGAUCUUAAAAAUGGAGCUGCAAUCACUGUUCAUCAGAAUCUCCUGGAGCUUCUGAAAUUUCCCAAGUGAUUUCUAAGUCAAAUUUGAAAAUUUCAAGCACGGAGAUUGUUCUCCAUCAUCAGGUGCACUUCUCCACCAAAUUUCUGGCAAUUCCACUUUGGGAAUCGUCUUCUCCGAUGAGCUAUAAAGCGGUUGUAAAACAAAACUGGCCAGAAAUGGAGUUACAGACGUCCAAAUGGAAAAAACUUGAUACUAAUCUCUUCGCCUUGACGAGGAGAACAUCAUCAAUUGUACAUGAGUAUCAACCAAUUGCAUCGAUUUUGCAAUCGAAGACCAGUGAUAGUCGAAGCUCACCUGGCAUUCGAUAAAAUGCAAAUUCCACUUAUGGGUUAAAUUGUUCUCAACCACGAAAUGUAAAUACUUCUACGACACUAAAGGAAUAGGUAUGAAAAGUUUCAAGUCAAUCUAACAUGGCACUUGAUCGCCAUGAUCAAUUGAAAAGCGUAGAACUGCUCUAGUUGGUCAGUCGUGGUGUUCCAGUAUACCAAUGGCACAAAACCAAUGGCAAACGAUUCCUGAUGUUCAGGAGAUUAUUUCGUAUCCCUCAAACCUGAUUUCCAUUGAGCCAAUCUCCACAACAUUACAAAAAGGUAUUUCUUCGGACUUUAGUUUAUUAGGUGUUCGACGAAAUGCCAUAGCCACUUCUUCCACUCAAUUAAAUGAUCCAAGCAUUGCUCAGGUGUCAUGAUCCUCAGGAAAUGACUCGUGAAAAGAAUUUGCAAGAAAUAACUCAAAAGGUUGAUGGCCAAACCUUAGCUUUUCCUUCAGUACACCACGUAAUCAACAGUAGUGAGCAAUAUUCCCAGUAGCCCCAAAACCACUCCUAGGUAAUUCAAACAAUACUUGUUAUCCCCUACCAAAGGUGCCAAUGUAGAAGUUGCAUUAGCAACCAACCAAAACCAUGAAGAUCGAGCUAAUCCUCUAGAACCAACUGCCCAAAUGGUUGACAAUGGUAACAACUCCACCCUUGUUGCUCAACACCAAUCAUAGAUACAUCCCACAACCUCAUCCCCAAUUUUCUAUUAAAGUUUCCUUGAACUUUGAUAAGCCAAACCAUACAAAAAAACUACAAACCUCCAGCUAAAACUGCAAAAGUCCCUUCACAUGCACAACCAGUAGUGUAGUCCCUUCCAACCACUAAUAGCACCACUCACUUACUAACCCCAACAUGAAAACCAAAGCUUUAGCAAAUUGACCUUCCCCUCCUUCUCCAACUUCAGCUAGACAUGAAGUUGAAGUUGCUCUAAUCCAGUUCACUCCACCAAUCAUCAUAACAAAACAAGGUAAGCUUGCUGUCAUCUUGAAAUGGGAGGAUUACAUGGUUAAAUUACUGACAGAUGCAAGUAUACUGUGGUGGUAAGUUCCUCAACACCAUGCCUAAAAUGGAAGUAAUUACAAAAAGUUUCAUUGCUUAGACUGAACUCAGGGGUGGAGUCAAGAUUGCCCACUUCAAUGCUAGGACUGUGUACAUAGACUUAGAUAAUGAGUAUGAUCACUCAACAAUGUGGACCAAGCAAUACAUGUAUAUACAAGGCCAAAUGAUGAAAUUGGAAGCAUGGAAUCAUGUCUAUUAGCCCAAUGAAGACUCUCCAAUUGUUCCUAUUUGUAUUGUCAUUCAUGAAUUGCCUUGGAAUCAUUAGUACAUGGAAAUAAUCACUAAAUUACUGUCUCCAGUUGGUAAAUCCAUGUUCCUAGAAUUGGCUUCAUUUCAAAAAACAAGAAGCAAUGUUGUCAAGGUAAAAAUACAGAUAGACCUCACCAAAGAAAGGCCUUCCUAUGUAUGGUUUGGACAUGAUAAAAAUGUAAAUGAAGAUGGUCAAUGGCUUGAGAUCCAAUAUGGCAAUGUAUCUGAGUACUACACAUAUUGUAGACACCAGAGACAUUCUAUUCAUGCUUGUCCAGUGAAGAAAAUAGAUGAUAAGUACAGAAAAAAGGAAGAAGAUGCAGCUAUUUCCGGUGAUCCACAACCUUCAAGGAGCAUCAAUGACAUAGACCAUAUAGGGGUAACAAGACAACAACAAAUAAAGGCAUAUAAGGGCACACCAAACAUCCUAAGGCAAUACCAAAGCAAAAACCAAAAUGCUACUGAAUCACAAAAUAAUGAAGAGCACCAAAGUUCAGGAGUUGCUUCUUC
RNAcentral lists this long non-coding RNA (129679 nucleotides) under Nicotiana benthamiana. RNAcentral's name for it is "long non-coding RNA (NBEN_LNC010207)". Lineage: Eukaryota; Viridiplantae; Streptophyta; Magnoliopsida; Solanales; Solanaceae. The record is from RNAcentral.